CAAGCCUAGAAGCCUUCAGCUUAAUCUUCUUCCUAAGCAAGUUCGAGCACUCGACCGAAGAUGUCUUGCUGCGGAGGAAACUGCAACUGCGGGUCAUCCUGCAAGUGCGGCAGCGGCUGCAACGGCUGCAACAUGUACCCUGAAGCCGAGGUCCAGACCUCCAGCCUCCUCGUCGUCGCCACCGCCGCCCACAAGGCGUACGUCAUUCAUUUAGAUCAUAUAUACUACUCCAUCCGAUACAUAAUAAGCGUCGCUGAUUUAUUAUUACAAUUGUCGUCAUGGAUGGUCUUAUAAAGUUUGGUUGUUGGAACAUAUGUGCAGGAGCUCCGGCGGGAUGGAGAUGGCCGCGGAGAACGGCGGCUGCGGCUGCAGCACCUGCAAGUGCGGCACCAGCUGCGGCUGCUCAUGCUGCAGCUGCUAGAUCUCAAUCUGCUGCAGCAGCUUAAUUUGCAUGCCAGGGACGCAUGCAACGACCAUCUACAUAUAGCUACUCGAUCUACCGCUACCAUGAACCGAUCCAAGGCUAGCUGCACAAGCUAGGCCCUUAUUUCCCUUUGUACGGGUGCAUGCAUGCCAUCCCAUGCCAUGCUUGUAACCCCCCAUAAAUAAAAUCGCCCUGGUUUAACUAUACAUGCACGUACGUGUGUGUUAUCUCUGUGAUCAUCGUCUUAACUAUUACUAGCAAAAGACCCGUGCGUUGCUAUAGAACAACAGAAAAUUGUAUCAGAAUGUCAAAUUAAUUGCCUCAGGCUCAUCCCAUCGCUGUCCAAGUCCUGUGUGGAGCCACCGGUACGCACGAGCCGGUGGAGGCGGCGCAGCCGCCUUUCUCACAUGGACGGCGCCGACGCGCACGAGCUGGUGGAGACGACCAAGAGCGGCGGCGGGCACCGGCGAGAUCCCAAGGGAUAGUAAUUACUGUGCCCGCGCGUUGCUACAGGUCAAUAAAAUCACAAACUGUUUAUUUUUAUUUUCUGUGUAGGCAACUCAUGGCGCUGUCGAGGUCGGCAUGCGGGUGUGGUGGCGUCGGUUGUAAGAUGGAGUAGAAAAAAUCGUGAAAAAAACUGGAGGAAAAGAAAAUAAUGGACAGUAGCAUAUUGGUGAAAAUAACGAGUAGUGACAUAUUGGUUGUAAUUUUAACGAAAUUAACCUACGUCGACCACGACUGUACCAUCACCACCAACUCCAAUUUAAUAACGAAGUUAACCUACGGCGACCGUGACCGCGACCGUACCAUCACCACCAACUCUAAUUUAAUAACCCAAUUUAAUAGAUAGUAAUUCUCACAUGGAACAACGGAAAGUGUAUCAAGCACGAGCCGGUGGAGGCGAAGUCUGGACAUUAAUUUUUUGAUUGGAUUGAUUUCCAUACUGAGAUGGAUACGAAGAAUUUUGGAUUUCAUGCUAAGGAGAUUGAUUUAUUUUAGGAUUGUUCGUAUUAUGUUGUGACAAAUUUGGACCGUACAAUAACUUUCGGUAAAUCUAAACCGUAGAAUUUCUGCUACUGAAAUCAUGAAUAAGACGGGAGGAAAAAAAAAUAAGGGGCAGUGGCAUAUUGAUUGUAAUUUUAACAAAGUUGACCGACCAACGGCGCCCACCCAUCACCACCGGUUCUAAUUUAAUAUAUUGUAAUAGAAUAUAUUGUAAUAGAUCAGUUAAAUUCUAACAAGGGAGUUCUAAAAUUAGUUCUGCUCAAGAGAAGAAUAACCUAAGCGAAAUCCAGAUCGAGGACUGUUUGCACAUGGAAAACAUGGAAAGUUAAUUUCAGUGGAGAAUGCACGAGACAUGCACGCACGCUAAGCCUAAGCUGAUGCAAAAUUAGACUGCCAAGAGUUUUCUAGCUUAAGUGUAAUAAAAAGACCCUGGACAAAAGAGAAAAGACAAACGUGUUUCCCUUUACGUAGUUUUUGUUAACAGUUGAAGGAAAGGAAAAAAAAAUAGAUGCAUCUGUUGCUUUCAACCGUUGGUGUCGGCGGUACGUCAUCUUUUAGAACCCUGCCACCUGUUGAUUCUGUACAAACCACUAAAAUUCGAACGAGUAUGAAUUAUUUAAUCCGAGGCAAUUCAUACAUGCUCCUAGACCGGACAUGAAAACCACUGUCCUAACUAACUAAGAGAAUGUGCACUGUGUUGUCCUUGCGAGGUUUAUUGUCCUUCGAAUCUUCACACCAUGGUGAAUCAAGUGUAAAAUUUAUGUGUAGAAUACAUACGGAGUACUCGUUUUUUCAAUUUGAAGAGUACAUUUAAAAUGAAAAAUUGAGAGGAUGUCUUUCUCAAAAAACAAAUUGAGAGGAUGUAAAUGUAAAGUGAGCUCUCACUACUCUUCUUCUCCGCUGGGGUCACUCCCCAAAGAUAAGCAAACGCGAGCUCUCCCCCAUGCCCGCCGCCGUCACCGUCCACCUGGCGCCGCUCCCCAAUCACCCACCAAAACAACCUCCGCUGCCAAAGCCCAACGCCGCCUCGCUCCCGCAAUGGAACGGGCUCCUCGCCGACCUCUCCCGCGCCGGCCGCCACGCCGACGCCCUGGCCAUCCUCCCGCGGCUCCUCGCCGCCUCCGACGGCGUCGCCCCCGACAGGUUCACGCUCCCUCCCGCCUUAAAGUCCUGCCGCGGCGACGACGGGCGCCAGGUCCACGCGGUCGCCGCCAAGCUCGGCCUCGCCGACGGCGACCCCUUCGUCGGCAACUCCCUCGUGUCCAUGUACGGCCGGUGCGGCCGCGUCGACGACGCUGAGAAGGUGUUCGAGGGAAUGGCGGGCAGGAACCUCGUCUCCUGGAACGCGCUCAUGGCGGCCGUCGCCGACCCGCGGCGCGGCCUGGAGCUGUUCCGGGACUGUUUGGAGGACCUCGGCGGCACGGCGGCGCCCGACGAGGCGACGCUGGUGACGGUGCUCCCGAUGUGCGCCGCCCUCGCGUGGCCGGAGACCGGCAGGGCGGUGCACGGCCUCGCGGUGAAGUCCGGGUGGGACGCCGCGCCGCGGGUGAGCAACGUGCUGGUCGACAUGUACGCCAAGUGCGGCGAGAUGGCCGACGCCGAGUGCGCGUUCCUGGAGGCUCCGCCAGGCGCCGGGAGGAACGUCGUGUCCUGGAACGUGAUGCUCGGCGGGUAUGCGAGGAACGGCGAGGCUGGCGCGGCAUUUGGGCUCCUCCGGGAGAUGCAGAUGGAAGAGCGUGGCGUGCCGGCAGAUGAGAUCACCAUGUUGAGCGUCCUGCCGGUUUGUUCGGGGCUGCCUGAGCUGGCGAAGCUGAGGGAGCUGCACGCCUUUGUGGUCCGGAGAGGCUUGCAUUUGACCGGCGACAUGGUGCCGAAUGCGCUUAUCGCAGCCUAUGGGAGAUGUGGGUGCUUGCUCCAUGCCUGCCGUGUCUUUGACGGCAUCUGCAGCAAGAUGGUCAGCUCAUGGAACGCGCUCAUCGGCGCGCACGCGCAGAACGGCGAAGCGAGCGCCGCAAUUGAGCUGUUCCGUGAGAUGACCAAUGCUUGUGGGCAGAAGCCUGACUGGUUUAGCAUUGGGAGUUUGCUCCUGGCAUGUGGCAAUCUGAAGCACCUGCUCCAUGGCAAGGCAGCUCAUGGAUUCAUCCUGAGGAAUGGACUGGAGAAGGAUUCCUUCAUCCGGGUUUCGCUUCUCUCUGUUUACAUCCAAUGCGGGAGGGAGUCUUUGGCUAGAGUCCUGUUCGAUGCGGUGGAGGAAAAAGAUGAGGUUUCAUGGAACACCAUGAUCGCCGGUUACUCACAGAACGGAUUGCCCGGUGAAUCCCUCCAGCUCUUCAGGGAGAUGCAAUCCAAGAAAGGAGGCCACUGGCCAUCACUGCUUGCAGCAACAAGUGCCUUGGUGGCUUGCUCAGAAUUACCAGCUGUUCGACUAGGGAAGGAGAUGCAUUGCUUUGCCCUGAAAGCCGACCUCUGCGAGGAUUCGUUUCUAUCCAGCUCAAUCAUAGACAUGUACUCAAAGUGCGGAUCUGUGGAUGAUGCCAGGGUGUUCUUCGAUCGGUUGAAGGCGAAAGAUGCGGUUUCAUGGACGGUGAUGAUCACCGGGUAUGCCGUCAACGGUCGUGGGAAAGAAGCUGUUGGGCUGUAUGACAAGAUGGGGAGGGAGGGGAUGGAACCUGAUGGAUUCACCUACCUUGGCCUACUGAUGGCAUGCGGCCAUGCUGGAAUGUUAGAAGAUGGAUUGUGUUUCUUCCAGGAGAUGAGAAACCUUCCCAAAAUUGAGGCAAAGCUAGAGCAUUAUGCUUGCGUUAUCGGCAUGCUGAGCCGAGCAGGGCGCUUUGCCGAUGCCGUGGCGCUUAUGGAGGUGAUGCCAGAGGAGCCUGAUGCCAAGAUACUGAGCUCCGUGCUCUCUGCCUGCCACAUGCAUGGAGAGGUAGAGUUGGGGAAGAAGGUUGCUGACAAGUUGCUUGAGCUUGAACCCCACAAGGCUGAGCACUAUGUUCUCGCCUCCAACAUGUACGCAGGAUCCAGGCAGUGGGAUGAGAUGAGGAAGGUGAGGAAGAUGCUCAGGGACGCCGGUGUCGCCAAGGAGCCAGGCUGCAGCUGGAUCGACAUUGCAGGCAAGGUGUACAGCUUCGUCGCCGGGGAGAAUUCACUCCCGGAGAUGCACAAGGUGAGGAAGAUGUGGUACUCUUUGGAGGAGAAGAUUCGCGCUGCCGGCUAUGCUCCUGACACCACGGUCAUGCUGCACGAGCUGGAGGAAGAAGAGAAGGUAGAGGCUCUGCGAUGGCACAGCGAGAAGCAGGCCAUCGCGUUCGGGUUGCUGAGGACAGCCGGGCCGACGAAGGUGAGGGUGUUCAAGAACAUCAGGAUGUGCAAGGAUUGCCACAAUGCCGCCAAGCUCAUCUCCAAGGUAGCAGACAGGGAGAUUGUGGUCCGGGACAAGAAGAGGUUUCACCAUUUCAGGGACGGGCUAUGUUCCUGUGGGGAUUACUGGUGAAUUAGAAGGGAAUGCAAAUUCUUUUGCAUUUAAACGUUGUACAGAAUUGUAAAAGGUAGAGUUCAGGAACAUGGUAUGCAAAGGGAUACAUCCAAAUUAGCAGCAAAACUGUUUUUGAACAUUCAAAAGAAAUUCCUUUGGUCCCGCUACACCAUUUACACUUGCUCCAGCACGAACCUACGAAUCAGAUGUGUUGUCUGGAAAUGCAUUGACAAUGUUUACUUCCAGAUAGCAAUUACACCAGCAUUUUAACAUCUAAGCUUUUACCCCCCAAAAAACAUCUAUGACUAUGUUACAUACGAUGGAAAGGCAGGUAAACUAAACAAACACACAAUACAAACUAUCAUUAUCGAUCCGAGCAUGCCUCAGAAAAAAGAGUUGUGCUGGCUCGAUCUCAAGUCUUGGCACUGCAUUAGAAAACUUGUAGGAGUUGCAUUUAUCAACACCAUCUCAUCCUAACUCAUUCAUCACUUCAUUGAGAUAGUCAUGACGGUGGGAUGUUUAUAACCAGAUGAUCUACAACCCAUCCUGCAAUUGGCAGUGACCCCCAGCUGGAUGAUCUACAACCCAUCCUGCAAUUGGCAGUGACCCCAGCUGGAUAAUGGUUCAAUUGUUCAGAUCCAAUAAAGAAUAAAGAAAUUCAGAAGCAUGUGCAUGCAUCUGGUAGAAGCGGUACUUUACAUGAUCCACUCAUACAUCUGUAGAUUUAUCAAAACCCGUUAGCAAGCUCAUCAAGUACAGAGAGAAAGAGGAGUGGGAGCUGGUGAGUCAAGAUGGGAGACUGAAGUUUGACAGCACUCACCUUCUUUAAGUUUGGAGCAGAGAAGCUCAGCUACAGAUUCUUCUACACUAGGUAUGGUCAAUAGUAGCAAUUCUUACUGGAAGCUUUGUACAUUGAAAUGUCAAGCCAGAGUGGUUACUGAACUCCUAGAUCAUUUGACAACUGCAAUAUCCCGCGCAUUUGAAGGUAUGGAUUCUCCAAAAGUUUUUCAUUGUUACACUGAAGACAACAUAAGUAGCAUCAGUGCCAAAUUAAUUUAUGAAGGGAAUUAAAUUUAUUAUCGAGCUUGAACUGCCUGAACAUAUCAGCACGAGGUAAUCUAGAUAACAGAUGCAUAUAAACAAGAUCCCUGUACCUUUCCAAAAAAAUUAAUUUAAAUUUCACCCUGAUGAGAUGAGAAAGGCAAGGAGCAUUACCUGUUGAGCCUUUGAAAUGAGACUUUGAAGCAUCCGUUGGUAGAUCUCUGGUUCUUCUGUCAUCAUCCUCUGUACAUCCAAAUUUCAUUAGCGAGAAGUGCAAUAGAACUAUCAGCAAGAAAUUAACAACUGCAACAGGCAUACCUUCAAAAGAAAAGCAGCAGAAUAAUAUGCUACCCUUGAGUCUGUAUCAUCUAGAAGCCCCCUAUUGGUGUUGGGUGGAGAAAGGACAAAUAUCAAGCAUUAGCUAUGCACGACACUUUAACCGACAAAGAUAUGCAGCUUAGAAUAGACUACCUGAAGAACUCAUUGCCUUCAACUUCCUUAAGUGCUUCCUGAUCCGCUGUGCAUUUCCCAAUCAAAAGCAAAAGAAGGGCCGCUCUAAUAUCUGAUGUAGCGCCAGGAAUAUUGCCUCUACCUGUGCUACCGACAGCAAUACCCAAUGCAAUAUCAUCACUGGCAGCACCUUCAAGUUGCAUCAAUGGCCAGAAAAACAAUGAAGUUGGUACACAGGUUACAAGCUGCAUCGGAGCUAUUGCAAGACCUCUCAGAAGUAGUGCUGCCAUUGAUGUUUCACACAACAAAGUGGAUUGAUUAUUCAUGCUUAUAUCUUGCAAUGUCUCAUUCCUGCAAAGGUUCUUGGUUCCUGUAUUUUGGUGCGAUGCAAGGGUUUCCAAAGGGCUCUCAAUGUUCUUAGUUGUACAACCAAAAAGUUGACCAAGGGAUUGAAGGCCUCCCAGUUGUAUCACAUUCGUGGACGGAAGCCUCAGACAUAAUUGUGAAAACAACAUGUCACACAUCUGUAUGAGGAAAGUUCAAAUUAGAGAGGAUUAAAUCAUAAAGCUCAAGAGUACUACUGGUUGAUAUAGACACGUCAUUCCACAUCCAACAUGGGAUCCAAGAGGUAAACAACUACCUUCAGAACUUAAACUGGCUGUAGAACAACUUGCUUUUAGCAGUUAAACUGGACAUUCAGUUUUUAAUCAGGGGAGUCAGGUACAAAAUUAAUUUCAGUUUUUGCAGGUAGAAAUUGAAACUUAGAAGCCUAUGCUUUGUUUCAGUUGCCUACGAAUAUCAACAAUGAGAUCUUUCUAAGAAUCCGCCAUCAAGUUCUAGCAUGCAAGAAUAUUGACACUAACACACUAAUCCUUAUUGCUAAACGGAAUAAGCACAACGACCAAGCAGGUUCAUUGCUGUCAAUGAUUACAGAUGUCCACCCCAUUAAAAACUAAGAAAGGCUGCCGGUCAGUAACAAGUUCACAACAGAAAGCAACAUGCCAGCCUGACAGCAGAAACUGCUAACUGGGAACUUUAUGGGUCGUAAUCAGUAACAAGGAAUUGUCAACAAUGAGAAAAAAUUACGAUGUUACUAGUUUUUUUCUAAAUAUAAAUAUACCAUACAUUGCCUCUUGCAAACUUUUAGUUGUGAACUUUCACUUUUUUAAGGCAACUUUAAAAUAAACAAUUAAGGGUAGCUUGAAGCACAUACGCCAAAUGCCUGCUGCACUUGGGUGAAAGAAAUUCACCUUUAAGAUGUUGAUAUGGUCUGUCUCAUUAUUUUGAACCACGAGUAACAAAGCACUACUCAUAAUAUCUAUAACCACAAAAGCUUUGUCCAGACGAUUUUUGCUAUGAUAAGCAACUGAUUGAUCUUGCAUGUCACUGUCAUCCAAUAAUAAUUUGCAGCGCAUCAGAAAUUUCUCUAAAACAUAAAGAAAUCCCCAUCUAAUGAAGUUGUGUUUUGAUUUCAGAAGCCCACAUAGCAGACAAACGGGCAGUGAAACUUCUGAACAUGAUACGUCUUGGCUGCCAGCCACUUUAAUUUCCACUUGGAGCUUUUGGACUUUAGACCAGAUAGAGCCAUCUGUUUCUUCACUAAUUUCCGAGAGGAGCAAUUCAACUAACCAAAUAUAUCCAUGGUGCCUAUAUGAUGAGAUUUGUGAGUGAAGAAGCGAGUGCAAAGUAGCCCAGCAAAGCCUUGCUCUAUGUGCAAGAUCACCAUCUUCACUUCCCUCUUUAAUGCUGCUGAAACACUUGAAGGAUUUUGUUACUUGGAUCAUGUAAGUAAACUCAUUGUCAAUCCUUGAAAAUGUGCUGACAGUUGCAUCAAUUUUCCCGAUAACCUUUUCUAGAAGCUACAAGUAUUGAAUUUUUUUAUCAGAACAAACACAGUAUUUCAAAGCGAAUAUCAACGUAUAUUGCCGUGGUUCGAGACGAAAACAUAUACUGCAGUUUUUAUCAUGAAAUGAAGUCAAAUGAACAUACUAAGUGUGAAUAGCAGAAUGUUGCACGAUCUACUCGGUUAAUUAAAUUAACAAUGGGGAUUCUUGGUGAUGACUACCGCAUGUUUAUGUGCACGCGUACAGACCUCAGUUGAGAUACACAUUAUAGAGUUGAUUACUGGAGCCCUCAAUGUUGUGGAUGCAACUUACAAGCAAUGCACAAGUUCAAACAUGUUUUCAUAGUUAAUUUAUUUGGUAUUAGGUGUUGAUACUCUUUUGUAUAAACUUGGUCAAACAUAAAAAAAGUUUGGCUUCGAACAAAAAUUAUAUGAUUUAUAUUGUGGGAAGGAGGGAGCAACUAUCUACUCUUAGCUUCAUAAAGAGCUGGUUGUGCUCAAUCCACAUUUAUCACAUACUAGUACCAUAUAGUAACAUAUAGUCAAAGGCAUAUUACCACAUUUAAUUGCUCGUAUUCUGCUGACUGUGAUAAUGCCGCAGAUAUAGCUUUUGUCAGCAUGUCCCCAACACCUUCAACGCCAUGCUUCACGGAUAUAUAGAAUGCCUCUGGGGCAUCAGCAGAUGCAAGAAGGGAGGCGAGGGGCUGAGCAUCAUCAUAAGUAUAUGUUGAAAGACUGCCAGCCAAGCAUGUUUCAUUUAUCUGAUGCAGUACGUAAUCAAAAAGGACAAAGAACAAAUCCCGCUUCUCUUCUGCUGAGUUAGCUCGUGAAUACUGUAAAUGACCAGAAAUUGCAUUUAUUAAUAACUAGACAUAAUAUUGUGGAAAUGCCCAUCCUGCUAUCCACAUAAGGGUCACUAGAUGCAGAAACAUUUGUUAUUUCACGAAAAAAUUCCUAUCUAUGUUGAGCUAUUGCCUGAGGUUUGAGGAGCUUGGAACAAUGGACAGCACAGCAUGCUGAACUGGGGUUCCGAUUGCAUAUGGUUGCAGUCAGCAAUCGCAACCAGGAUAGUCAAUCCUGUCCAUUCCGGACGUUUGACCAGAAAUUGAGACAAACCAAUGUUGUAUUUGGCCUCUCAUUUUAUGGAACAGAAUGGGAUAUUCCAGAUAGUACUGGAAUGGGAUAGAUAAGGUUAGCUAGCUAGGACAUGACAGUGAUGCGCUAGUGGAGACUGACAAUUGAACAGGUGAUCCAUAUUCCUAUGGAUCUUCGGGUCUAUUGUUCACUUGUACUUUCUGCACAACUGAGAUAGCAAGAUGAUAAUAUGUUACAGUAGAAUAGACAAAGUGCUCAGCUGUCAACAUCCAUGCAUGAAACAGCAAAAUCCAACUAAAUAUAAGGGUAAUACCUCAAGACAGAUAUAGUCAACUCCACCAAGAAGAUCUAUCCGUUCUGGAGCAAACUGUGUAUCAAGGGCACUGCUCUGAGUUUCAUCUGUUACUUGGUACAGCAUAUUUGUCAGCAUGCAAAUGAGCUUACUGUGCACUACUUUUGCCCAUGAAUGUUCCACACUAAUCUCAAGAAGAGUUUUAACAACCUGCUCAUGAUUAAAAAAAAAAAGGCAAAUAAGUUCUCAGGCCCUUGUGAGCAAGAAAUAGCACAAUUUACAUCUUUUAGAAACCUUUCGCAGACCGAGAUCAAACUGGCUUAUCAUAUGUCAAAUAUAUGAGAAAAAACCUGACUACAUGCAUCAAAGCCAUAAAGAAGCAGAAGAAGCAGUCCAAGUGCAUUUCACAGCCUGCUAUGGCAGAAAAAUCUUAUGCUGGAAGCCUGGAAUACCAUUCUACACCAAGAUAUCAGAAACACGUCAACAAGACGACGACAACAAUAGCAAUAAUCUACUAAAACCUGUAAUUCAGUAACGCUGCUAGUUGUUGUUUUCAUUUUUCAUUAAUACAUUUGCGUAAUACACAAAUACUCCCUCCGAUCCAUAAUAAGUGUCUCAGAUUUUGUACUAACUUAGUACAAAGUUGUACUCCCUCCGUCCCAUAUUAAGUGACGGAAUAUUACAUGUAUCUAGACGCUUUUUGGGUAUAGAUACAUCCAUAUUUGGGCAAAUUUGAGUCACUUCAUAUGGGAAGGAGGGAGUACUAAAUCUGAUACACUUAUUAUGGAUUGGAGGGAGUAGUGGAAAACAAAAGUGUACGUGUAUUGUCUAGUAAGCUGAAAUUCAUAGUGCUCAACUGAUAUAUGUUUAGCUUGAAUGAGACAUAAAAUGUGUACAGUUUGAACUACAACUCCAAUAUUCACCAUACCAAUCUUCAGCACUUAACUUCUAUAUAGUCCAAAGGCACGUGAAUAACAGGAUUGAAAAAAUGGGAACAGAUAGAGUCCAAGCACACUGUUCAAGAGAAUGAGUACAUAAACUCAUAAAGAAAGAUGUGUUUCUUUACCCUUAUGUCCAAACCUCCAAGUCUGCUCCGGAUGAUUUUCCCUCCAUCGCAAACAAAGUAAAACAGACAACUUAAAGCUGAUGCCCAUACUAUCUCUUGUCGCUCUUCCAUCUACAAAACCAAGAAGAUCAUAUAAAGCUAUCAUAUGUAUCAGCCUAGCAUAAAUAGGAGCUGUCAGUGAAGAACUUAAAGAUGUAGAAAAAUAUUAGAGGCCUAAAUGAAUACGAAAUUCAAUAUUCUAACCACCUGAACUAAGAGAAGAAGAACUUCAAAUAGUAUUUUCAGAAGCCAGGACUCAAACUGAUCGAUAGCAGGGCUAAACUGAUCGAUAGCAGGGCUAAUCCUCUGCUCUUCUUCAGGUUCUGCUGCCUUCUGUUCAUCCAUACUUGGUCCGUACUCGUUCAGAUAAGAGUUAUUUGCAGUUUCACCUUUUUCAACAGGUGGUGCGUUAUAAACUAUCAUAGGCUCCAGCAGGUGCGCAUGAAUCCCAAGGUUUAGAAUAAGAUCAAAAGCCUUUGUUCUUGCAGGCGAUUUUUGAGAGCUCAGCAUACCCUGGAACAUAAAAAAAUAUUAGAAAUAUUUCACAUGUUCCUUUUUGGGAUGCAUACAUGUAAAGAGUAUAACACCUCGAGCAUAUAAAGUGUCAGAGGAGCUGCAGCCUCAGGAUCCAUCAUAUACCUGAACCAAACAAAACAUAAUCAUUAAAACACAAAACAACUGUAGUUCUAUGGUUUCAAAGGUAGUUUUAGCACCAAAUCGAGAUAAGUAUAGUUUCUACGAUUUUGAGAAAAACAUUUGCUCACAUGUCACAUCUUGCAAGAAUUGUACUUUGAUGCAUAAACCUCUGCACCAUUACAAUGUAACUAAAUUACUGGAACCACUUAUUUUGGUAAAAAGAACUAUGGUAAACAUGGAAAUCUUUAGUACACAUACAUCAGCCCAAAAAUAGAAGUUAAUAAUUACAAAAGCAAAGCAUCGAGCAAGCUGACAACACAAGAAAAAAAACACAUGCUUAUACGAUAAAAUAAAUAGCAGAACAAUAUGCAAUUCAGACAAAUAAGAAUAACAUGGCAGAUCAUGUCACUUAGAGAUUUAUGUAUUAAACUAUACUAUCAGUUCACAAUGGUUCGUGAGGCCUGAAAUCUGCAGUAAUAAGAGUACUACCUCUAAUGGAAGCAAACAGCAGAUUAAAAAAUAACGAAAAUAUGCCAACACAAUUCCAGGGGAAAAAAAAUCUUGAGAGCAUUCAUCAAUCUGUGAACUGGACAAAGAAUGAAAAAGGGUGUAAGAUUAUAUACAUGUCAAUGACGAGUUUAAUGAGGACACUGAACGCCACAUCCGCUGAAGGUUGCCGGCUCUGGGUGGUCAAUCUUGAUGGAGCAUUGAACUGAUUUGCAUUUGAAGUUAUUUCUGAACAAACUUCAGCUAUGACUUCAGAUAUUUCAGCAGGGUUCAAUCUUAAGGGUUGCUGCUCACUAUUGAACAAAGGUACCACAAUGAGCAGCCAAUGCAUGUAAGCACAUUGUUAGACAUGAUCGUAAGUUCGUAACACAUUCAUAAACACGUGAAACUCAAGCUGAAUCAUGGUAUCCCUACUAUCUAGCUAACACUAGUACUAAAUGGUUUCACUGGGGCUUAUUGUAUGACGUACUAUAAAUGGACAAAUGUUUCACAGAUGGAAAAUGAGAGUUAUGUGACAAAAUACAAUUUUGAAUUUCUAUACUGCCUUGUUAACGAAGUACAGAUUAUUGUCAGAGCCCCAUCACCAUCAAAAUGCAUGUCUAGCUAUUUUUUUUCUUCUUUCUCUAUAUCAUGGUUGUGAUGGUAGAAAAUUGGUUCAGCCAUAAUUAACUCAGGAUAUUUCAAGUUCAGUGAUGCAACGAUGAUUUUACAAAGUACAUUUACACUUCAAUAUAUACAGUCCUGUACAAAAUGCUAUGCUAGAUCCUAGAUUAUAUGCAAAGUAAAUAAAUGAAAUAAGGAAAUACCUGUAGUGCCUAUACUGAAAAAGGGGGCGUGCUCGAGGCUGGUAUGUGUUUGCAGGUAUGUUCAUCCUACAAAAGAGUAGAUUUUUCCCCAUGUAAGACCUUUUCUAUUCAUUUUAUUAAUCUCAAUAAUUUAACAGCUUCGCAAUAAUGACUUUGUUCAUAAUGAUAUGUCAACACAGACAAAAAAGUUUUUCUCAAAAUACAAAUUUCAUCAAGUUCACAACUAGAAAUAUCGACUACACUAAUGGGAAGAAAAUUUUCAUAUGAGCAAACUUUGAACAGCAUUUUAAAAGUCAAGAUAACCUUCUCAAAAAAACUGGAAAGGAAAAGGGACAGGGAAGGGAAGGAGGAAUGUGUUUGAAGCAUGCAAGGAAACCUAUGCUAUCAUCACAACUUAGUAUCGGUAUACAUGAACAAAAAAACGUACCAAACUUGACUUGGGCCCGAUUUCAUGCGUUUUGAGGCGGUUAUUGCUUUCAAAUGACCCUGUGAUGAAGCAUAAGUACUAGCUGUAGAAGUUGAAGGUUGCAACAAAUCAAUAUCGGGAAAUUCCUGGAUAACAGAAUAUUUCCAUUGUUGAUCAUUGAUCUUUGCCUCCAUAUCUCCUACUAGAAGGGCUGCAGCACCAACUUCAAGAAAACCCUGUGUAUGAAAAUCUUGAAGGCCUGCAAACUCAUUGCUGGUGAUAAAGGAAACAAACAAUGCAGUCAGUGUUUGCAAGACUAUUAGUAUCAUACUUCUAAAUUCCAUUCCAGCCAGAAUGACUGGGAUGCUUCAUUCCAGCCAGAGUGACAAGAAAACCCAUACAAAACACUGACCUUAAACAAUAAGCACAAGAGAAAUACCUUUCUUUGGCAGAAUUCGAUGCUUGUCGUUCACCAUGUACAUGCCAUCGCCAGUUUAAAAUGUCAAAGGAUAUAUACUUGAUAUCAUACCCAUGCUCUCCCCCAUCAACCUUUUCGCUUGCUGAUGAUAUUAAAUCGGAAGGAGUAUGGCUUUCCUUUGAUUCAAGAUGUUCUCUGUUGGUAAUAACUUCUGGAGUCAACUGAGACACUAAGGACUUAUUCAAAAAUGACGAAAGUGAAGGAAGUGAUUGUUUUGUAGGAUUUGAUAUAACGGAUUGAGGGAAUGACAGCUUUGGAAUAUGCCUUGCAACUAACAAGCGGACAUAGUUUAAAGAUUUCACAAGAGACGCGGAAGCAAAGUUUGAUAUUGGUGGGGCAGCAUGAGAGGAAUUUGGCAAAGCCGCUGAUGAUACAAGAGUCUGGCCAAAUGAUGAUGUUCUGUGACUUGCCACCGGGUCAUACUUUACUAUUGUAUUUGCACAAAAGAGAUCGAUCUGACGUAGUGUCUGCACCCUUGGAAUAUACCUUGGAAUGCAAAAUUGUAUAGUGUAUUAGUGUUAGUGCAAGCAAUUUUCGAGAAGAAGUACAGUACUCUGGCAAGGGACACUCCGCUUACCUAAUAAGAUAUCUCUUUAACAAUGCCACACAUCUUGGGACAACCGCUGGGCUGGUUGAAAACAUUGUCCAUGUUAGGAAAAGGAGUAAAAUCAUACAUAUUCUAUUUUAAGAAGCACCAUAGAAAAUGCAGAUCAAAGAGUCAAGAUGCACCAAUAAAUUGUGAAUAAUUUCCCUCUCCGAUUUCUAUUAAAGAAACCAGGGUUCUACAUGAGAAUAAUUCCAAGUAUUCCAUAUUUUCAUUCGUUUUGAUUAUGCCAUAGAGGAACAAGCAAAAUAAUUGGAGCUUAUGACUUACGACACAAGGCUAGAUAAGUUUCUUAAGAAUAAUGCAGGAGCUACAUAUAAUCCACAUAAGCGCAAUAUGGUGGACAAUCAAAAGGUAUUCCCCCCUUCUAACUUAAAAUGGAGGGGGUGGGGGGGGGGGGGGGGAGGUAGAAAAGGCAUUGAAAUAUCAAAGCUGAAAGCAUACCUGCGAUCUCUUUCUGCAACAGCAUGGUCAAUCAGGACAUUGUAAGCCAUAUCAAUGGUUGAUAGAUUGGCUAUAUAAUCCUGCCAGUAUAUGAUCACCUCAUUAAGAAAUGGCAUAUGUACGAAAUGACUUGACGUAUACCAAGUAAAAAGAAUACUAGUGAAUUAGAAAACUUUGUUUGUGUCCAACGCUUACAACACAGACAGCUGUAACAGACAAAGCAGAGAACCUAAAUAUGCUGGGCAGUGAUGGAUCAUAACGGAUAUACCAAACAAUUAAUAAAGCGAGCGACAAAGCAGCGAUACUAACAUAUGGUAAGAAGAAUGUAAUUAAGAAUGAGAAUUGAUAAAUAAAAUGUCCAAAUGCUGAUAAUCGUAACGUAUAAACUGCCUUUACCUUGCAUCUUCAUUAUCGUUUCACUGGAAGGAGAUGGUAAGGUUUAAUCCACCACCAAAAUAGGCCAUAACAGCCUGUUAGUAGCCUUAAAUAAACGACACGUGUUCCGUUCACGGAUCAUGCAGCCAUAAAUACAAGAAUUGGUCAAUGAGUACGCGACAAGUUCCGUAAUGACGCCCCCUGGGCAAGGAUUGUCUCUUAGCGCCACUGAAAUAAGCUGGGGUCACGUUUCAAAUUACUAGACCUAUAGAUGCAAAUUCUGCGUGUUGUUCGAUGGAUUUAUGCGGCGUAGCACUGGCAUCGCACACGGCAAAGCAAAUUGAGGAGCUCCAUAGGGCGCCGGUGACUCGGCGAUGUAUCUCAGGGCAGCAAACAGCGGCGAGCAUUGCCAAAUCAAACCAUUUGCAGCUUGCUUGACGUGAUCCGGAGCUAUGUAGGCGGGGCAUUGCAGGCGUGCGAGGGGCUAAAACGAAUGUUGACAGGAUUUAAAGGGAGACCGGGAGGGAGGGAGGGACUGACCCGUAGAGUCCGGGACGCCUCGGUGGCGGCGGAGGCGGCGGCGGCGGGCGGGCCGUGGGUGUGCGGCGCGGGCGGGGAGAGGCAGUCGGCGACGGCCCUGCGGAGCGGCUCGGGCGGCUUCCGCGCGGAGGUGACGCCGGAGAAGGACGGCGCGGUGGACAUGGACCGCGGCGGCCGCUGCGGGGGCACCACGGAAGCGGCGGCGGCCGCCAACGCCGCCGCCGACGACGACCCCGCCACCCCCGCGUCGUAGUAGUGGCGGCUGCUGCUGCUGCUGCCGGCGGCGGCAGCGGCGGCGGUGGCAGCGGCCCGCUUGGACGGCGCGUCGCGGCGCCGCAUCCUUCUGCGGAGGCCCGUGACAGCAGGUGGCGAGAUCUCCUCCGAUGGGUCUGGUGGCAAACCCUAGGCAGGCAGGGCAGGGCAGUCCUCGGCGUCGCCAGUCAGUCCGCGCGGAGGAGCAUUCGGGAGAGCCAGCCAGUCGUCUCUGGCCUCUCCUGCAGGGAUCAGGGUGCAGGGAUCGUUCCUUCUUCUCGGGUGGCUGGUCGUCUGGGGAAGAAGAAGAAGAAGGCCUCUCCUGCAGUCUGUGGGCUAGCUCCCUCCUAGCUGGUUGCCUGGUUUGCCAGAAUUUUAUUUAUGUUUGUGAAAACCAGCUCUAAAGAACAAAACAAGAAAAAAAUGGUUUUUAUCUUUAUCGAAAAUUGACGUAUUUUGUUUCGUUAGAACAAGCAUGUCUUAACAAAACAAAAGGAGGGAGCAGUAGUAUUAUACUCCUUCCUUCUAAAAAGGCUUUGACCAAUAAUAAUUCAUUAGUAUGUCAUCUGUAUGAUAAGAAACCACGUUUAUCAGGAAGAACUUGAUGACAAAUUUAAUGUGUUAAAAACACAUGUUGAUAAAAUAAUCCUUGGUCAAAACGUUUUUUUCCAAACGGAACCAAACAUCCAAACCUUUGUGAAAAGGAGAGAGUAUUAUCCAAAAUGAAAAUUUUCAGUUUCAGAUUCUUGCCCACUGAAAAUUUGCCCCACUUAACUUUUUUAUCCAUCUAUUGUUAUACAUACUUACCACAGUAUAUACCCAAGCCACUGAGAUGCUAUAUACUUUCCGUUGUUAAACACAUACACUAUAUGGUACUACAUGUUGUCAUUGUGUCCGUCAUGUUGUACGUACAUAGUGGUUUUAUUUAUCUCUCAUCAUGGUAGCAUUAGAGGUUUGUUCUUCCAUUUAAGAUUGAUAUCCGUUUUUUAUUUGAUUUCUAGUAGUUGCGAAAAUGUUCUAACGGGCCAGCCAUCCUAUAUAAUAUAGCCCGCUCGGCCCACGGACCUGCUUCCCAUCGAACCCGAGACGGCCCAUAACCCAAUAAACUAUCCUACCCGUGGUCGCAGUCUAUAGACAGCCUGCCCGACUCUGACGUCUGCUCCUCUUAUCCCGCUCUGGCCAAGGCCGUGCGAGCAGUGGCUGCCAAGGGCCUCUUCCUUGGGGCUCUGUGUUGCAUUCGUGGCUCCGUUUGCCAAUUAAGGAUACAUAUACUAGGUUUGUAGGAAUGCAAAACAUAUGAAUAGGAAAAAUCGUAUGAAUAGAAUAGAAAACCAUACGCAAAAGUGAGAAUUGAAAAACAGAAUCGGCGGCUCCAGAUGCUGUGAUCGCCGUCAGCCAGGGAGGCAACUCUGGAUGGACGUACGAGGAGAUGGCAUAUAUAUUCCGAUGCGGCGGAGACAGUGGACAUGAACUCCACAUCCCGCUGGCGACCAAGAUUUUGUUGGGAAUAUGCCCUAGAAGCAAUCAUGUAUGAUGUAAUUCCCAAUGUAUUCAUAAAUAUUAUUAAGUUGUCCUUGUUUGAACAUCUGAUAUGUAUCAUUGAAUAUGUGAUUUGAUUGUGGAACUAUGUAUUCAUGUUGUUCAUACUAAAUUGUCCUUAGUCAUUGAGGUUGUGCUGGACACAUAACCUAGACUAAUGUGAAAGUUGGCUGAUGACUCGGUUUCACUUGUCAUGGGCAUGGUGAUGUCAUUCCAGCUUACACGGACUCGGCUAAAGAGUUUAGCGAGUUGGACUGACCCAUAUUGAGAUGCAACGAGUAGGUCGUCAUUUGCAUGUCUCAAUCAAUGUAAUCCUUAGACCUGAGGUUAUCGCACAAUCCGAGUUGUGGAUCACCAACUUAGGUUCUGUCAAACGUUGUUCCGUAACAGGGCAGUUAUAAAGGCAGAGUUCGGGUUGACUGAGAAUCAAGCUGUGUGAUGUGGAUAACCAAGAUGGGAUUUUGCCCCUCCGACUGGAGAGAUAUUCUCUGGGCCCUCUCGAGUGAUAUGAUUCGGGAAGCAUGGCCAUGCGCGACUUGGUUAACUGUUAACCGGGUCGAUCGACUAAGAGUUAGUCGGAUGAAUCGUAUAUCACAGAUCGAGAAGAGAGUUGAACUAUUAAAGGGAUGACGAUUAAUCGCCUAUAGUUCGACAAGGUAUAUCGUGAGGCAAAAGGGACUAAGACGUAUGUCACAUUGGAAGGUACGUCGUCAUGACUCGAUGGUACUUGGGAGUCGGCACGUUCUGCUAGGAGCCGCUACCGAUUGAUCGAUUGUGAGUCAGACUCCAAUCGUGUCCAAGUCGCCAUGAGCCUGCGGGGUCACACACUUAAGAGCGGGAGCAAGUAUUUGGUCGGGUUGGACCCGAACUGGAAUUGGGCUGACAAUGCGAGUUGGACUCGCAGGGUGGAUGGGCCACAAGGCUUGGAGCCCACUUCCACUCGAUAUAUAAGCAGGGGCGUGGGAUGCCUAAGGGGCACGGUUUUUCCACUCUCAUGCGUUGAGAACCCUAGCCCGAUUCAGUUCAACCGUCGCACCGGACCUAGCAGUUCGCCGCCGGAGCUCCUCCUCGCACGUGUGGAUACCGGCAGAGGUGUUGUACGUUCAGCACUUCGACGAUCGCGGGAUUGGAUCGGCUGGAUCGGAUCGAGGGACUGCACUGCAUCAAGGCGCCGCAUCAAUAAUCUGCAACUGCGCGUCUAGUGGUAAUCCUCGUGGCCUUCUACCUCGGCUAGAUCUUGGGAGUUCGCGUAGGAAAAGUUUUUUGUUUAUCUCUACGCGCCCGUUCAGAUUUCUGUAGCGCUCUCCCUCCCUCUCCAUUCUCCUCCUGAUUCCUCUGUUGAAUCCCUCCGUCCCCUUGACAUUCCUCUUACCAAUCACUAAGAUCGUUUCUGCGUACCGAUUUGUCUGUGCGUCUUUUUUUUCCAAUCCUGCAUGCUUGCUUGCUUAAGUUUCGCGUGACUUCUUGUUUGCAGUUGACAGUUUGCCGUGUCAUGGGUUAAUGUUGCUGCUGUUUGAGACGCCCUCUGGCUUCGCACUUUACACGUUUUAUGGGGCUUCCUAUAUAUGGCUUUGGAUGUAAUGUUCUUCUUUCUAACCUUUGUCAACCAUGUCCUUGCUUGUUCAUGUGGUCUACGCCAAUGACCUAAUUUUCUAUUCCAUCAUUUGUCUCCUACAGAAUCUCUGGUUAGGUUUUGGAGACCCCCACCUGGCAAGGAUGGUUAGUUCCAACGACUUUCCUUGCUUUCCCUUCUGAUUGCUAUUGUUAUCUUAUAUGCUUGUUGUUAAAUUCCAUCUUUGCAUUAAGGGAGAAUAUGAACUCGUGCUCUUUGUUUACUAAUAGCCUCAAAACACAUUUUCUCCCCAAUUCUAAGCAUGCAGCAUGAUGCUAGUUUCGCUGAAAGGUUCAAGGAUUCUAAAUAAUCAAUCAAUGCAAUCCAGAGACGUGCAUGAUAAUUAAUUCCUUAAAUGUUUCUUUGUGCCCAUGAACAUGCUUGCUGCUAUUUCUUUAUCAGGCGGUUCAUCCGAAGGGAUUUCUAUCUUUUGAGGACAAAUCCAGCGCCAUCAAUGCUGAUACUGGUCUUGACAACCAGCUUGUUGCUCUGAUCAACGACUAAAGAGGACCGCUUACCAACGAGUCAAGGACUAAUGAAGUUCCUGAGUAAUCGUGGAUUUGAUGUCAAACUAGAGAUGGUGAGUUCACUAGUUGGACUUGACAUGCUUUCUGAUUUAUAGUUCCCUGCUAUUUAGUAUUAGUUUAUGUUGACAAAUUAGGUAAUUUCGAUGAAUAUUUAAUCCAGAAGGACAGUGUGUAAAACAUGUAGCACAUUAUAUCAUGCAAACUAGACAAAUUAAAUAGCAACACACAGCAAUAAAACUCAUCUAAUUUCACGGCAUGAAUAAUAGAACUACUAAUCAAAAUCAACAAGAAAGAGCAGAUUACGUACGGUGCUGUGCUCUUUUCUUGUGUUUGUUUGUUGAGGUCGGUGACGAGUCCGGUGGCGUCGAUGUUCAUGCCGGCAGCAGCAGCAGCCUUGACUACCUCCUGAGCAACGGCCAGUGCCUGCGCUUGCGCCUGUGCAGCAGUUGCCUGGGCUUGAAGUUGGGCAGCCUGCUGCUGUGCUUGGAGUUGUGCAGCCUGCUGCUGCUGAGCUAGAGCGGCAGCCUGAGCCGCGGGAUCUCCGAGGUCGUCGGCCAUUGGUGAUGAAGAUGCCGAUGAAACAGAAACGUGAAGAAGCGAGCAGUCCCGUGAGAACGCUCCCCAAAAACCUUAUCGACCGUCUCCCGGGCAGGAUCUCGAAGGUCGGGGUUCCGGAGGCCUGCUCUCCCGGCGAUCUGUGCACGCAGUCGACGGGAUGGAGUAGCAGUUGGCGGCGAACAACGAGAUUGGAUCGUGGGCGUGACGGCUAGGGGUUUUUUUGCGUCGUUUUUCCGGAGGCCGGGGUAGUCUUAUUAUAUAGGCAUGCAGGCGGACUUCGGUUCGGUUUAGGAAACCAAAACCGACUCCGCAAUUAUCGGGAUUUGUUACGCGUCCGCAACGGAUUCCGACUGCCAAAAAGAUAAGCACGACCCGGGACGGCUCGGGCUCGGGCUCGAUCCACGAAACGCGGCGCGCGCGCGUCGUGACGAGGCGAGGCGAGCGGAGGAGGAGGAGCGCGCGUAGGGAUUUCCCUUGCUCACUUGCUCAAGAGGUGAGAACCAACAUACCUUAUAUAUUGGUCCAACUCCCCCUAAACUAGCAAUGUGGGACUAUUCCCACUUCCUCAUCCCACUACAUGAAUGGGCUUUUGAGAUUUUUCAGAAAUUAAUUUCAGAUUGGUCCUUGGGCCUAACCCAAAAUUCCAAUAAUCCCCCACAAUAUCUCAUAAGCACAUAAAAUUGCCGUUGAUCCAAAACUCUGUUUUUGAUAUACCAGCGUUUCAGUGGAGACCGGUUAAGGUUGAACAUCUACCUAAACAAAUUGCUUCACUCACGCACAACUGAACAAUGGACAAACCUUGAAUUUUCAGUUUUCUAUGUUAGAGCUUCACUAAAUUGUUGUCUGGUACUGGGCUGCCGAAUGCUACCCCGCAGUGUGGAGCAUACAAGUCAUUCUCCAGGCCUUUUCAUGAGCUUACUAGAGACCACCCAAAUCUCAUAGACUGCGACCAACAGUCAGGCUCAUAUAGGUGUGUUAUUUAGAGACUACUCUGUAGGAUAGUAUCUCCCUUGCAAAUUAAUGCAACGCGUUAGAACACAUUAAGUUAAACAACCUACCAUACAGUACACGAGAGUAAUGCAUCGUCAACGAAGUGGGAUAAAGAAUGUACACUCUCCUCAGUUAUCCAAUGACUUGUUUCCCAGGUCCUAAUUCACGGGAUCUCCGAUCACAUAGGUUGGUUUACCGCCAUGGUAACUCACGUGGGUCGCAAUCCCAUCUCCCUUGAUGCAGAUUCUAUCACAUUUCUUGAUAGACCCUUUGUAAAGGGAUCUGCCAGAUUUUUAGCCGUUGGGAUAUAUCCCAAUGCUAUUAUUCCGGAGUUUCUCAUUGCUCUGACAGAUUUCAGACGUCUCCUGACGUGUCUUGAUGACUUCAUAUUAUCUUUAGAACUGUUCACUUUGACUAUCACAGUUUGAUUGUCACAGUUCAUAAGAAUCGCCGGUAUUGGUUUUUCAACAAUCGGCAAGUCCAUCAAGAGCUCACGAAGCCAGUCGGCUUCAACUGUGGAUGUAUCUAAUGCUGAAAGUUCUGCUUCCAUUGUUGAUCUGGUUAAGAUCGUUUGCUUGCAAGACUUCCAUGAAACAGCGCCCCCUCCGAGUGUGAACACAUAUCCACUCGUGGCCUUUAGCUCGUCAACAUCAGAUAUCCAGUUUGAAUCACUAUAACCCUCAAGUACCUUGGGGUACCCAGUAUAGUAUAUACCAUAGCCCAUUGUGCCCUUUACAUAGCGCAUGACCCUCUCGAGUGUUGGGUUCGUUGCAUAGGAAACAAAAAAUUUCCUACGAGAAGUGCGGAAGAAAACCCAAGAAUAUAUAUACUAGAUGUAUGCAACGAGAGGGAUCAUGAACACCAUACCCUCGUAGACCGCUAAGCGUUACGAUCACGAGAUCGUUGUUGGUGUAGUGGAACUUUCAAUGAGAUUAAUCUCAGUGCCGAACGGACAGCACCUCCUUGGUAUCCACACGUUCAGCUUCACGUCGUCUCUUCCUUUCCUUGAUCGAGCAAGCGAGAGGGAGAGGUAGAUGAGAUCCCGGCAGCACGACGGCGUGGUGACUAUGGUGAAUAUCCCCACGGGCCGUGCACGUGAGAAGAGGAGGAGAGGAGGGCUCAGGGGAGAGAGAUCCAACUGAACGCUUGGUGUAUGCUCCCCCUUGCCACCCCCCCUCUAUUUAUAUAGGGGUAGGGGAGGGGGUGGCCGGCCAGAUCUGCCCCCCUUUCCAAAAGGGGGCUGGCGGCUAGGGGAGGGAAACCCUAAUAGGGUUUCCUCCCCCCCCAAGUUACCCUUUAGCCCUAGGGUGGGCUGGCCGCAUGGGCCUUGUGGGGGGCAGCCCCCUGGCCCAUUAAGGCCAGGGUACUCCCUCACAAGCCCAUGUAGCCCAGGGAUAGGUGGGCCUCAAGGUGGAAACCCCCGGAUCCCUCCGGAACCUUCUAGAAGCUUCCCGGUCAAAAACCGGAAAAUAUUCCGAACUUUCCGGAACCUGAAAACAACUUUCCAUAUAUAAAUCUUUAUCUCCGGAACAUUCUGGAGCUCCUCGUUACGUCUUGGAUCCCAUCCAAGACUCCGAAUCAUAAUUCGAUAUCAUCAUCAUUUAUCUCAUCUAACCCAAGCAACAUGAAACGUUAAGUGUGUGACCCUACGGGUUCGAGAACAUGUGGACAUGAUCAAAUAUCAAUAACCAAUAGUGGGACCUGGAUGUCCAUAAUGGUUCCCACAUAUUCCACGAAGAUCUCAUCGGUUGAACCACUAUGUCGAGGAUUCAAUUAAUCCAGUAUCCAAUUCUCUUUGUCUCGCGAUAUAUUACUUGCCCGAGAUUUGAUCGUCGGUAUCGCCAUACCUAGUUUAAUCUCGUUACCGGCAAGUUCUCUUUACUCAUUCCGUAAUAUAAUACCCCCGCGACUAAACAUAUUAGUCGCAUGCUUGCAAGCUCAUUAGGAUGUUAUAUUACCGAGAGGGCCCAAAGAUAUCUCUCCGUCACAAGGAGUGACAAAUCCCAGUCUUGAUCCAUACAACCCAACAAGCACCUUCUGAGAUAUCUGAAAAACACCUUUAUGAUCACCCAGUUACGAGAUGACAGUUGAUGCCCACAAAGUAUUCUUCCGGUACUAGGGAGUGGCAUGAUCUCAUGGUCUAAGGAAAUGAUACUUGACAUAAUAAAACAUAAGCAAUUUAAACUUAAGUGACACGAUCAAAAGCUAUGUUUAGCUUUGGGUCUGUCCAUCACAUCAUUCUCCUAAUGAUAUGACCUCGUUAUUAAAUGACAACACAUGUCUAUGGUUAGGAAACCUUAACCAUCUUUAAUCAACGAGCUAAUCUAGUAGAGGCGUAUUAGGGACACGGUAUUUGUUUAUUUAUCCACACACAUGUAUUUGAGUUUCCAAUCAAUACAAUUAUAGCAUGGACAAUAAACAUUUAUCAAGAACAAUGAAAUAUGAUAAUAACAAAUUUAUUAUUGCCUCUAGGGCAUAUUUCCAACAUCGAGUGCAUUCCCAUGAUCAUCUUCCGGAUUCUUAUUGAACCGACUCAGUUUGCUCACAGCAAAAGAGAUGUCAGGUCUAGUUGCGGUAGCCAAAUACAUGAGUGAACCAAUAACCUGAGAAUAUCUCAGUUGGUCUCUUCCAAUUCUGUGAUUUUUUCGAAGCAGAACGCUUGGAUCAUAAGGAGUUGGAGAAGGUUUACAAUCAGCAUAUCCGAAACGACUCAAGAUCUUCUCUACAUAGUGAGAUUGCACCAAAGUGAUCUCACCAUUGUCGCCUCUCACGAGCUUGAUGUUCAGAAUAACAUCAGAUACACCAAGGUCUUUCAUGUCAAAGCACUUCGACAAGAAAGUCUUAACCUCUUCAAUCACUUUGAGGUUAGUCUCAAAUAUUAGUACGUCAUCGACAUACAAGCAAAGUAAAACUCCCCCACCCCCACCAUGGCGGUAGUAUACACAUUUGUCAGCUUCGUUUACAACAAAGCCGUCAGAUGUUAAAGUUUUGUCAAACUUCUCAUGCCAUUGCUUAGGAGCUUGUUUCAGGCCAUAUAGAGACUUUAAUAACUUACACAAUUUGCCUUCAUGACCCUUUAUUACAAAUCCAUCUGGCUGGUUCAUGUAAAUUUCCUCGUCCAACUCUCCGUUAAGGAAAGCUGUCUUAACGUCCAUUUGAUGGACGAUCAGACCAUAUGAGGCAGCCAGUGAUAGUAAUACUCUGAUUGUGGUCAAUCGAGCUACAGGUGAGUAAGUAUCAAAGAAAUCUUCACCUUCUUUCUGGGUAAAACCCUUGGCCACAAGUCGCGCCUUGUACUUCUCAAUAGUACCAUCAGGCCUAAGCUUUUUCUUGAAUAUCCACUUGCAUCCUACAGGUUUGCACCCGUACGGACGGUCAACGACCUCCCACGUACCAUUAGCCAUGAUAGAAUCCAUUUCACUACGAAUGGCUUCCUUCCAAUAGUCUGCAUCCGGAGAUGCAAAGGCCUCAUCAAUGGUUUUAGGGGUGUCAUCUACAAGGUACACAAUGAAAUCAUCACCAAAGGAUUUAAUAAUCCUUUGUCGCUUACCCCUAAGAGGGGCUUCAUUGUCAUACUCCUCAGGAAUCUCAUCGCGUGUUUGUUCAAGAUUUUCCACUGGGAUGGCGGGUUCAGGAGCUACACCAUGAUCCUGAUGUUCCUCUGAACUGACGGGUUCAGCAGGUACAUCAUGAUCCUCUCUAGAUGUGCUAUGCAUAUCUCUCAUGGGAAAUAUGUCCUCAAAAAAUGUAGCAUCCCUGGACUCCAUAAUUGUACAGACGCUCAUGUCAGGUACUCCAGAAUUUACAACCAAGAAUCUAUAGCCGACACUUCGAAAUGCGUAGCCAAGAAAGACACAAUCAACCGUUUUUGGUCCAAGCUUACGUUUCUUGGUGAUUAGCACAUUGACUUUCGCCAAACAGCCCCAAGUCCGUAAGUAAGAAAGUGUGAGUCUCUUCUUUUUCCAUAGCUCGUAUGGGGUGACUUCUUUAUCUUUUGUAGGAACACGAUUUAGGACAUGACACGAAGUCAAUAGCGCCUCCCCCCACCAUGCCUUGGAUAAACCAGCAGUGUCUAACAUGGCGUUGACCAAGUCAGUCAGCGUGCGGUUUUUCCUCUCAGCAACCCCGUUUGACUGGGGCGAAUAGGGAGGCGUCCUCUCAUGGACUAUGCCAUGUUCCUCACAAAAUGAAUUAAACUCACUGGAGAAGUAUUCUCCACCGCGGUCAGACCGCAAACGUUUAAUUUUUUUCUCAACUUGAUUCUCUACUUCAGCUUUAUAGAUCUUAAAAUAAUGCAAUGCUUCAUCGUUUGAUUUUAAUAAAUACACAUAACAGAAUCUAGUCGCAUCAUCAAUGAAAGACAUAAAGUAACGCUUUCCACCUUUGGUUAAUAUACCGUUCAUCUCACAAAGAUCAGAAUGUAUAAGCUCUAACGGUGCUAGGUUCCUUUCCUCAGCAGCCUUGUGAGGCUUGCGAGGCUGCUUCGCUUGCACACAAUCUUGGCACUUCGAACUUUUAGCCACAGUGAUUUUAGGAAUUAAACUCAGAUUUGCUAAUCGCGUCAUGCAACCAAAAUUAAUGUGACAAAGUCGUGAAUGCCAAACAUUAGACUCAUUAUUAAUAGAAUUGACGCUGUUCACGACCUUAUUACAAAAAUCCGAAAGGGAUAAACGGAACAAACCUCCGCACUCAUAACCUUUACCAAUAAAUUGUCCAUACUUAGACACGAUAACUUUAUUGGACUCAAACACUAACUUAAAUCCGUCCUUGCAAAGGAGGGAUCCACUAACAAGAUUCUUCUGAAUGGAGGGCAUAUGCUGCACGUUCCUCAGCUGCACGAUCUUUCCCGAAGUAAACUUCAGAUCCACCGUGCCAACACCAUGAACAGAAGCAUGGGCGCCGUUCCCCAUCAUCACUGAGGAGCUGAUGGCCUGAUAUGAAGAAAACAAGGAAAUAUCAGCACAAACAUGAAUAGUUGCGCCUGUAUCGACCCACCAAUCGAUGGACUGACAUACAGAAAAUAUAGUAAAUAAAUUACCAUACCUGCCUGCAUCUUCAUUGUUGCCAAUGGUCAAAUUAGCAAACUUUUGCCGAAUCUGUCCUCUUUUGCGCUCCUUGCAGUUACUCGCCCAAUGGCCAAGUCCUCCACACACAAAGCAAGGAUCCUUGUCCUUGUUGCCUCCUUUCUUCUUCUUCUUGAAAGUGGUAGUGUUCUUUGGACCAGCAUUAUUGAAUGCCUUUCCCUUUCCCUUGUUGUUACUGUUGUUGUGGUUGUUCCUCUGAACCAUGUUGGCAGUGGACGUACCCUCUUGUGUGUUGCCUUUGGGGCCAGCAUCUUUUGCUCUCGCCUUCUCCUCAACAUCAAGAGUCCCAAUCAGGUUCUCCACAGAGAUUUCUUGUCUCUUGUGUUUUAGUGAAGUAGCAAAGUUCCUCCACGAGGGAGGAAGCUUGGCGAUGAUGCCCCCGGCGACAAACUUGUCGGGUAGUGGACACUUGAAUUGCUCAAGUUCCUUAGCCAUAGUCAAUAACUCAUGAGCUUGUUCCACUACAGAUCGGUUUGCAACCAUCUUAUAGUCAAAGAACUGCUCCAUGACGUACAGCUCACUGCCAGCGUCAGAUGCGCCAAACUUGGCAUCGAGCGCAUCCCACAACUCUUUGGCAUCCUGAUAGUGCAGAUAAGCAUCAACGAGCUUAUCUCCCAGCACACUACAGAUCGCACCGACGACUACAACACAAGCCUCAACAUACAACUGCUGAGAAGCAAUUGUUUGAGUCUUCCUGUGUUGUACCGCCCACCAUGCGCCCAUAGCCACGAGCCACAUAUGACAUUUAUACUGCCACCUCUUAAAGUGCAGUCCAGUAAACACAGGUGGUUUCAAUGCGACAGCAAAUUGAGACAUCGAAAAUUGCCUACACGCAUAAGGUUUUUGGAUUGUUGACAAAUUAGGUAAUUUCGAUGAAUAUUUAAUCCAGAAGGACAGUGUGUAAAACAUGUAGCACAUUAUAUCAUGCAAACUAGACAAAUUAAAUAGCAACACACAGCAAUAAAACUCAUCUAAUUUCACGGCAUGAAUAAUAGAACUACUAAUCAAAAUCAACAAGAAAGAGCAGAUUACGUACGGUGCUGUGCUCUUUUCUUGUGUUUGUUUGUUGAGGUCGGUGACGAGUCCGGUGGCGUCGAUGUUCACGCCGGCAGCAGCAGCAGCCUUGACUACCUCCUGAGCAGCGGGCAGUGUAUUUAGGAAACCAACAAUUAUCGGGAUUUGAGAUAAGCACGACCCAGCUCGGGCUCGGGCUCGAUCCACGAAACGCGCGCGUCGUGACGAGGCGAGCGGAGGAGGAGGAGGAGCGCGCGUAGGGAUUUUCCUUGCUCACUUGCUCAAGAGGUGAGAACCAACAUACCUUAUAUAUUGGUCCAACUCCCCCUAAACUAGCAAUGUGGGAUUAUUCCUACUUCCUCAUCCCACUACAUGAAUGGGCUUUUGAGAUUUUUCAGGAAUUAAUUUCAGAUUGCGCCUUGGGCCUAACCCAAAAUUCCAACAGUUUAUACGUAGCUUGUGUGCUCUGGACUUGGAAACCUUUAUCUCACGGACCAAUGUUUGGGAUUCAAGCUUUCAUAGAAAGACUUGCUUUUAAAUUUUCUUUAGCUAUGAAGCAUUGCCUUCUGUAUCCAGGUCAAUGAGAAGAUUUAUUUUACGGCAUUCGCCUUGUUUAAUUGUGAUGAUGACGACAAGAGGAAUUUAGCAAUCUUACGCGAUGCUGGUCUCUACAUUAGAGAUAUUUCUGGCAUUGCUUGUGAGGAUUGGGAGAUACUGAAGCUUGCAAUAGCUGUCAAGGUGAUAUAUGUCGCCCUACAGAAGAACUCACAGAUUUUCAUGUGGUAAAUAAUACUUGCUAUUUUUGUAUGCGGUCUCUGCUGCUCGGUGUGCAUUUCAUGGAAGCUUGUAUAUAUAUCAUAUAAUGUGUUAAAUCAUGCUCCUUUCAGGUUCUUGCAGAAGAUGUGGUAUCAAAGUUGAAAGGUGAUGCAUGGAAAUAUGAAGGUGUCGCAGUUAAGGUCCAUUGGCUGACUGCCUACAGAUCAGUUGCGUCUAACCAUGGUCUCAGGAUUGAGAAGAAGAGAAUGUUGGGGUCCUUGGUUAGGGAAGCUAAGAAAGCAUAUGAAGCAGAAGAAGCGGAAGUAUGUCAGAAGGUUAAUAAGUUGCAUGAAGAGUCGCAGCAAAAUUUUGAAACGAAAGCUGUGUGACAACAGUGGUGAGGGUACUCCCCAUAAGCGACAUAAAUACUGAUUAAAAUGCUGGGCAGCCUACCAUCUAUAGGUCAAGCAUUCUGAUUCAAGGGUCUCAUGCUCUCUUGUCUAUGUCCGAGGGUGCUCUUUAAUAAGAUGGGAGUCGGGGACAUGAGCUUGAGGUUGUCGUCGAGAUUGGAAUUCAUGGACAACUUAUUACUUGUUCGAGUUCAUGAUUAAUUUUAUGCAUUGUGGUAAGAUAUAGACCUGCAUGGUGUUUGACAAAACAAAACGACCCUCGAUCUCGAUGUAGGGCUGUAUAAUCGUGCUGUAAAACUAGAGAUUCCGAGUAGCAUCGCCUCGCCAAUGAGGAAGAACAGUCACACAAGAUAAAGUAAAAAAAGAAACAUAAAUGAAUGUGGAGCACUUCUCUUUAUUCAAUACUAUAAUCAACUUGUGUUUACAACACGGGGCACUCCAUUUAUAUAGGGGUGCCUAUUCAUGGUAAGAUUCGUAUAUUACUAGUCAAGUAGCCCACACGUAGGACUAGGACUAGACCUUCCAGAGUCUUCCUAAUUCAUCUCCUAUUUGGUUUCAUGACAUAUACUCAACCUUGUGCUAUUUGAAGUUGCAAGCUAAGUUUGCCUUAUUCCAGGUCACUUUUUGGCCUCAACAGGAAAAAGUGACUAAAACCUACUUAUUUCAUACACUGCUUCCUAGCUAGCUACUCCCUUGGUUCUUUAAACUACUCCACUGUUCCCAUGAAUUAGCCUUUAUAGUGUCAUUUUCCCUCACGGUAGGUCACUAUAAGGGGUUGAUUCAUGGGAUUGAGGGAGUAAUUAAUUCUUACACUAUUAUUAUUUAUCCCCUCCUUUUGACUUUUAAGCCUUCCUUUCAGGGAUAUAUAAACCUAAAAUACCCUGGAGAAAAACUGUCCAGCAUCAUGCCACGCAUGCUCAGCGGUGUGUCCAACAUCAUACCACACAUGCUCAGCAGUGUUUCCAACAUCCUGCCACGCAUGCUCAACAGUGUUUCCAACAUCAUGCCACGCAUGCUCAACAGUGUUUGCAAAGUUUUGAAGUUCAUUAUAAGCUUCUUGAGCUAAGCUCAUUGCGCUGUGAUAACCUUGUUCUACCAUGUUUGGAAGAUUGUCGAAGAAUUCCUUCAAGGGAUGCUCUAAAUAAUCAGUGUAAACAUUCACAAGAACAUGUUCAACAUGCUCAGCUGCAAUAGUUAUAACACCUGCUUUUACAGCUUCCUUGAACAUGCCUCCUAGUCGGUAUGGAACUUUUCCGACCCAUACCUGCCUCAUCCCUGGCAUUUCGCACCUCUUGUGUUGCUAGAUAUGUACGGCUGCAAAAAACAUUGUGUCACCGUUAAAUUAAAUGUUGACCUUGCUUUUAAGUAAGCUUCCUGGUGACAGACUAACUAAGUUUCAAAAUGGUAAAAUAUAUGUGGUCAAACUUGUUGCGAGAAUCAAAUAAGAUUACGAUAUGAUGAAGAGGAAGAAAAGUCAAAUCUGCGAGGAAGAAAGUCAAACCAAGAAAUGUGGACUUAAGGAACCAAACUCUUAACUGAGCAACAAGUUAACCUUGAGUGGUUCGUAGACAGAGAAAAUAGAGGAACUCGCAGAUCAAAGAGAAAAGGGAGAGAACCCAUGAUAUGCUUGUUAACACUGCAAAUCAGAAUCAGACCAUCGCUUGCUUCAAAGAAGCUCUUAUCCUGGGAUGCUGGAAUAUUUGGAAUCAUCGAAACCAUAUUAUUUUCCAGAAUGAGAAUAGGAGAUUAGAUUCAGCUUUCCAACUUUUUUUAAAUUAUUUUACUCAUGUCAGACACCGUGCCAAACCAAGUCUGAAAGAAGGAAUGCCGGCAUGGCUAGACACUUUAUGAUUUUCCUCGAUCAAUUUUGUAAAUAUCCAUUGUACAUACCCAUCUUCUAUAAAUGAAAAUGACACGGUAGGAACCUUCCCUACUGUUUUGUGUCUAAAAAAAAGGGAGAGAGCCAGGUGUAUGCACCUCAAUUUGCACAGGGGUUGUUCUUCGGUCUUCAGCUCUUUGCUCUAGGGUGGAGGACGAGAGGAACGGAGGGGCUCUAUUUAUAGCCGCAAAGCUGGGUUUACGUCAUUCGCUUUGUACUAGUAAGAACCCGGGGCCUGGUUGUAGCCUAUUUGUCUUGCAUCACAGCCAGGUUAUUCGACAUGGUUCUGGAGCAAGCAUAAAUUGAAUGGUUGGCACCUCCAUUCCACUCCUGGGUUCGGCCAUAUCCAUAUGGCAUAUUCCAUUUUCUAUAUGUGGCCUUCAUCAUAUAUGCUAGGUUAAAGCUUCAGAUUCGCGGGCCGGUCGUUCCGUUGCCACACCUGUGUUCAUAACGAUCGGCUUAGCCACGGCUCCAUACCUUCGCAGCUCGCGUUGCGUCUGCUCGGCUCCAAAGUGUCGUGGAAUGUCCGAACGUCGUGCUCUCGGCGCACUGGCAAAACGACCAGUCGAUGGACGCGCCGGAGCCCUACAUCCGCAUGCGCACCGGCGACGAGAUUAAUCACUCAGAGAUCCACUACCAGGAACUCCAUUCAAUAGUGAUGUAAUAGGUAUAAAAGACCCUGAGAUACCAUCAGAUUCUGCUUGAACAGUAUUCAGCCACUCGAUAUGAGACAUAAUACCGUUAUCCCUUCCAACUCUUCGUUUAGGCAUCAUCACCAAAUCCUGAGACCACAAUCAGUAAAUAUAAAUAAGACAUGAACAGUGAAAAUGGUAUCAACACAAAGACCUAUACCUCUGUUGUAGUGUAAGAUUUCAGUGGACUGGACUCCACAAAUCUCAGUCGGUGUUCUCUUCUGUCACUCUGCAGGCAUGGAAAACAUAAAUUUCUGAGCUAAGAAAACGCACAAGCAACCUUUUGUAGUCUGUACCAACAUAUAUGACGGACAUAAACGUUAAGAGAUGUUAGAAUUCAAGUGAACAACCUACACACAAACAACAUAUCAAGAGCAAGCCUAUUGGCACAUACAUCAUCCUUUUCCAUAUGUGUCUACUGUGUAUGGCUAUUGGCAGAUUCACAGACAACAUGUGUGGAUGUCAAUUCAACAAAUUCCAAUUAAAGAAGUUAGAGCUGGUAUGCAAUCUAUUUGCACUGAUCAAAAGCUGCAGUCCUGUGAGUACUGAGUACUGCCAAACUACAGAUGUGAACUGCACAUAGUUUAUUGCACAAGUAGCAGGCUAUGGUAAUACUAGAUACCAGUUAAGAUAUUUAGUGUGGAAUAGAAAUAUGCAAGGGCAAGUGAAAGUCAGAAAAAUUUAGAGGCUAGUGAAACAUCUUAUCCUUAUCUUUAAGCAUCCCUGAAACUAAUGUCAGAUUGCCCAUUUGCAUCAAGAAAUCUCCUAUAAGACAUCUCCUUCAAUCGUUUUUGAACAUCAACAUUCAACAGCUUGCAAUUAGAAAAAAAAAACAGCAAAUUUUUAUUAGAUGUAUAUAUAUUAUCCCGCCGCCGGGCAUACCUCCCACCCCCACCCCGCCCCUGGCUAUCCCGACGGGCAUACCUCCCCCCUCUCUCCUGCGCGUCCUAACCCUAGACCCCCAACCCUAAUCCUAAGACCCUAACUCUACUCCUAAUCCUACCUGUUCUACUCGACUUGCAAGUGAUCCAAGGCUCGCCUCUAUAUGCCGGUGCUCUUCCAUCUCCGCGAGCCGUGUGAGACUAAAGGAAAUACAGUAGCACGUACCGGAAUAGCCUGGCCGCCUUCCCCGGCGCGAAUCCACGAGGACGCCGACAGCACGGGAGAACUCCGCCGCCUAUCCUGGGCCUCUGGUCGCCGGCCGGCCGGCCGGCCGGCGAGCUCCUCGAAGCAGUCCGCCUGAGAGCGAGAAGACGAUCCAGGGCACAGAGAGAAAGAGUCGGUCCGUUCAGUAAUAUAUCGGCCCAAAAACGCUUCGGCCUAAAAAGAAUCGAGCCAGUAAGCCCAACGGCCCGGCCCAGUAAAACAGGAUAGGUCAGCCCACCUAUGUCUUCUCGUCUUCUUCCCCUUGCCCUCGCCGCAACCGCAAGCGCAACCAACCCUCUUCUCCUUCUCCACCCGCAGCGCAGCCAGCCACGAGCUCAAAUCUCAAUCGAUCGGAGGAGGCGGAGAACCGGAGAUCGGAUCGGCGAUGGCGACGUUCGACCCGUGGCCGGUCUUCUUCCGUAGGGAGUGGAAGCGCAACUGGCCCUUCCUCGCGGGCUUCGCCGUCACCGGCUUCCUCAUCACCAAGAUGACCGCCGGCUUCACCGAGGAGGACCUCAAGAACUCCAAGUUCGUCCAGGAGCACAAGCGCCGAGCCUGACGCUCUCAGGUCACCCUUCCCCCUGCUUUCUUCUCCCUGCUUCCCGUCGUAUCCUGCCGAUCCGCCGUGCAAUUAGGUCUUGGUGACCCAUCCAGCGCUGUUCGUUCGCUCGUUCGUUGUCUUCCUGCCGUAUCCGGGCGCCAACGUUGCGUCGAUGCGUUGAAACGAGGCAAGACCAACUGAGACCGAGAAUUGCAUUGAUCGUUUGAUCCUGUGGAUGGAUGUUUGUUUUCUGCAUAGACAGUAGGUCGUAGGAAUUGCAUCCCCUGACGCAGUCAUUUUGUGUUAUCCUUCUACAUGUAUUCUUAGGUUACUGUGGUUCUUAGGUUACUGUGGUUUGUUGUUUGGAUACGUAGCAGCAAGCUUCAAGAUGUUGAUGCCAUUGCAAAAUGACUUGUCUUUUUUUGUCUGGACCAUGAAAAUGAUUUUCAGAUGAUUCAAUAUGGUGUUCCUGUUUUCUUUCCUGGGAUAAGCUGUUUCAGAAAAACACUAGUAAACCAUUUUGGAACUACAAACAGCUGCCGUUUAUUUACGCUUUACUCCCAACAAUAACAUGGUCAAAGUGCUUGAAGGAUCUAGUUUGUGUUCAUUGUCAGUCUUUUGUCAUAUUGCCAUGAAUACAGUAUCUGCUUUGGUUGGUUGCUGAGCUAACCGUGAGUUUAUGCCCUCACAUUGUUCAAUGUUCAUAUGUUGACAUGCUGCAAUUGAACCAUGUAUGCUGCAUAGUUGCCUACCACAAGGAUCAGGUUACUGACAGGUUGAUGAUUUUGUUUCCUCCAGGUGAAGGAAUGGCUGCUGCAGUUCCCAGUCAUUAUAAGCGUGGUCGGCAAUUUUCUUACGUUAUUUGAAUGAAUUCACCAAAGGAAUGACUUAGUCUACCCAAGUUUCUACUGUAAUGUUGUAAUAAGAGGCUUUUGAAUACCUAAACCAACAAAUGUCAGCUCCAAUCUAUAUUUCAAGUCAGAUUAUUGCAUAUCUUGUUUUCUUUUCACAUGGUUAUGCUUGGGGCAACAUUUGCGAUGUGGUGACUGGUGAAAAACCAGAUCCUUUGUUAUCAUAUCACCAUUGUGCGUUGCUGUGUGAUUGAUGUGUCCUGUUCUUUUGGGGGGUGGGAGGUAACCUGUUUGGUUUGUUGUGCGCCUGAUAAAUCACAAUAGAUGCUUAUAGCUGAUGUUCAUGUUCUUUCCAUCUGUAACUUUGGCUAUGGCGACACGGAGCAUUGUUGGAAAGGGUAACUGCAUCAGGUAUAUGCAUGAUUGUCCGGGAUGUGCAUAACUGGAGCAGAGGCUGCCCAUGUUGCUUGUUUUUGCAAUGUGAAAGACUGGAAUUGUUCAUGCCGCAAUUCACUAGGCAAUUGGUGGGAGUGCAGCUUGUCUGGAUUGCUUGAUUGCAUUUGCAGCUGUUGAACAAUUUAGUUUUCCAGUGGAAAGGAAACUCGAUCGUGCCCCUCAAGGUGCAGCCAGGUUUAUUGCUGGAACCUGGCUCCCAAUUCUUCACAGAUUCAUGGGCAUGCACAAUACUUUUGUCAGUUUCACAUUCGUGGGCUGUCUCUGUGUGAAAAGUUCCCCGACAUCUAGUAGGUGAUUCAACAAAGCAUGCAUUGAACAAGGUCUUUUACAAGUUGGACAAAUGCAAAUUCAGCGACAAUCACGCCCAUGGGAUGGGUUAGAUGAUCCUCUACUGCAGCUAGUGCCCACCAAGAACGUCUGAUUUGCUGAUGCAGCGGCGAGCACCCGAAUCUUGGAAGAGAUGUCAAUGAUAUUUACAUGGUCUUCAACUUUGAAAGUGCUUUCUUCCGCUGCCCAAGCAUGUAAGUAUACAUAUGCGGGCUCCCUGCGGUGAAAAAUUAAUUUAAAUUGUCAAUAUUAAGACGAGCACACAGUGAAGUUGAAUGAACGGAAAUUGAUGCCGGGGACAAGGGAGGUACCUGGAACAUAAAUUACAAGUGCAAGGAUUGAUGCAUAGAGGUAAUCAAAUGAAAAGUUCCAUUUAUUGGGCAUUCUAAGACAGUACUUCUCUGAUGCCUGCAAUUAUCAAUUUGAGUGCAAAAAGCAUAUUAGCAACAUAAAUUAUGUUGAUGUACUGAUCAGUUACCUUGAUAGAUCUCCUCAGAAAUUAAGAGAAUACCUUAAUGAACUGCAAUGCAAUGUAUAUCAGGCCAACCUCGCUGCUGAUACCAGUUGGGUACAUGACUAGGAAGGAACUAUACCUGUAUAAAUUCAGGUUUGAUCUUUUGAGAUAAUGAUUCAGGUCUAAUGGUUGCAAUGUAAAGAUCUUCUCUUUUAUGAUUGAUGCUGCUUUAAAUUAAAUAAAUACGUGAUCUUAAGCAAAGUUAAUAUUGGUAGCAGUGUAGCUUAGUCUCACCUAAGCCAUAGAAGCCAUGACGGAGCGGAUCCAAAAAGCUCUUUUGUGCCGAAGAAGGAAUACCUGAUAAUCUGCAAUGCGACACCCGACACUCGAGUAGUUAGGUGUCUGGAUGCUGCAGAAUUUGUUUCUAUCCAUGGAGUGUGAAGUGGUAAAAUCAUCUAUAUCAGCGGGCUCUAAGAAAGCAUGGGCCGUAUGAAUAUGACAUGGCUUGACAACCUAUGUAUACAAUACGCAACACACUUUAUUUGUAAUCCGCCGCUUUAAAGCAAUUAUUCCCUAGUGGUUGCUAAUGUUGUGUUUCUACAAGAGCAUCAUUGCACUGAAGCCUGAUCCACCUCAUUUGCAACUAAUUGUACUGAAAAUAGAAGGCAUGAUUGAAUCUAUAAACUGCAGUUACGCACACAUUUUAGUGCCUUUGACUUAAAGCUGAUUUCACUCAUGUAACAGUAUAGUCAAUUAAGCUAGGACAAUCAUGUGUUAAUUUUCUGUCAUUAGUAUCUUAAAGUUCAACUUGGAACAGCAAUAUCUUCAUGCCAAAAGCAUCCUUGCAUCACUUUAGGAAGAGAUUUUCAGUUAGUCUGACAACAACAGGUCCUGCCUCUGACAUAGAGUCUAACAUGUAUUUCUAGUGCUUAUUUCUGCAGUACAUACAUAUAUGCCAGUCAGUCAAUGAUGUAUACCUCAGUGAUAGACCAGCUGAUGACCAAUGAGCUCACCAGAAUGUGUGUCCUGACCUGCAAGCCCAAUCACAAACAGCAUGAAGCAAGAUGAGCAGCAAGAACACACACGGCGGCAUGGUACUAAUGGCAAAGGUAGAAGAUGACUGGGAGAGCAGUGUGAGCCAUGGGCACCUCAGGGAAGCUCCAGAGGAUGCCCCAGGUGACGAAGAGCCGGGAUCCGAUCUGCGGCAGCGUCGCCGACACCGGCGACCUCACCAAUCCCACCAGCCCGUGAAGAAUCUGACGGAGAGAAGAAAAGAAACAGCUCUCAGAAGUCGGACAGAUCAAGACUCGAGACACGGCAGCUGCAAGAUCCAUCUAUCCGGCCGGCAAGGUAAUACCUCGAGGACGGCGGCGGUCUGCGCGAGCUGGAGCGGCCUCUCGACGGCGGCGUACACGCCCUCGUGCCCCGCCCCGAGCAGCGCCGUCACGGCGUAGUACAGCACCUGAGCCCUGCAAAUCCAUCAAUCAAUAAUCAAUCCCAAUCCACUGGCGAGGACACAAGAAUUCCUAUCGUGGGAAGGAAGGAAAGGGACGAACCAUCCGAAGAAGACGGCCCAGUUGUAGACGGAGAGGUAGGCGCGCUUGAGUGCCGCCGCCAUGGCCGCCGCCGGGUGUGGAGGAGACGAUGGGCGGAGGAGCGUGUUGAGUUAUAGCUCUCCGCCUCCGCGUGGACAGUGCAAGAAACCGACAGGGGCGGUUGGGGGUGGAUUCUUGUCACGCCUCAGCUGUAAUUGUAGAGCAGAGCUCAGCCUCAGUUCAGCUCAGCUGCCUGCUACCAGCACCAUUAAUUCAGUACUAGCAACCAAUUCUACCAGCCAAAUCAAUGCAGCAGCAACCACCUGAUUCACACACUGCACUCACUCGCUCGCCGAGCUAGAGGAAUCCCCAACGGAAUCGAGUUCGUCAGCAAGUUCUCGUGCGGUUCAUCGGUUUUGUGUGCGUGUGCAUGCGUGCACAACUCUGCUUCUCAUGUAAUGCUUCUAGAUUUCUUCCUGGCUACAAUUUUCUGAUUGAUUGGUUCAUGGAAUGUUGCAGUCUUGCAGAGUGCACGGCAGCUGACCGAAUAUAAUCAAAUGAUAUCUAUAAAUAAUCUAUAAAUUGAUUAUGAAAUCCUUGAUAUCCGUCGAAGUUUAUGCUUGAUGGAAUUGUUUCUCAACUUCUCCUUCGUGUUCAUGCCGAAUAGGUCGAUGGGGACGAAUUCUGUUGUCAGAACUUGAUGUUUUUGCAAUGCCAGCAGUGGUUAGGUACGAGAAAACGUCGUUGUAAGACAAUUUGACAAUCAAAUGAUGCCAUUCGUGCUGAAAGGAAAACACCGCUUGCUACCUCAUCAUUUUCUACCAUGCAUGGAGACUAUCUUUGGUACACUCCGUCCCAAAAUAACUGACGUGGGACGGAGAGAGUGUAAAAAAAAUAUGUGACAAUGUUAGAUAAUUUAUUGAUGACAAAUUUGUAAGAAGGGUGUUAUCUCUAAGAGGGAUUUUUAAUUUUCAAAAGGAAUUAGGUGUAAACUGAAAUUGGAAAUUUGAGACGGUAUGAUAUAAGGUUUUUUCAAUGGGUUUUCCGGUACCUGAUGGCACAGACAGCCAACAUAUAAAACAAAACUAUAUAUGUACUCUCGUCUGAGCUAUUCUACGGUGCCCCUAAAUUAAUUUAAACCGUCCAAUUUUUUGAUCUAAAGGCCCAGAUUAGCAACUACUCUUUGAUACUCCAACUAGGAUCCACGGAGUAUGGCAGUGGAGUAUCAAACAGACAAGGGUAAAGAUGUAAUUUAACCCGAUAAGAUUUGCGAUUCAGCCGCCAGCGGCCAACCACCCUCACCUGCCGCCGGCAGUCAGCCCGCAACGGCAGCAGGGUAUUCCGACCGUCUCCUCCUUCCUCCUCUCCUUCUCCCUCGAUCUCAUCCAGGACGAUGGCGCCAUGGUGAAGACCACAUCGGAUGCCGCGCACCCGUGCCGCGAAAGCCGAUGAGCCAACGAGGAGCGCGUCAGCCGCGACCAGGGCCUCCGCCUUGGCCCUCUGAGGCGGCGGUUGCCAGUUGAUGUCUUACUUGUUUGCAGCGUCCGACGAGCGCGCACCUGCGUAUAUGCUAAACGCCGUCGUGGCUCCUCGUGGUCGGCAGUGGCUCGGGGCCAGGGGAUGGAUACACAGUCCGCAUUUUGGUUUCAAUCUUGUCCCAUGGAUGCUGCCAUGCCGCUAGGCUGGUGCUGCUCCGGUGGAUUGCCGUCGUUAGCGUCGUGUGGAGGCCACUGGAUGGCUGGAUCAAAGAUUUGAAGUGGCCGGCGGAUGCUUGGUCUCGGUCGAUGCCUGAGAAGAGACCUGCGGCGGGCCGCCGACAGGAGCAUACUCUCCGUUUUUUUUUAUUAAUGGAAAAGUCAAAAUUGUCCUUCUUCCCUAAUACUCCGUUCAGACUAAUGGAGUAUUAGGCACCGUAAAAUCUCUCAUAUAUAUACACAAUAUGACAUCGAGUUAUUCUAAAGUACAGGUACUGAUUGCCAACAUAUGCAUGGAUCAAUGCUGUCCAAAGGGAACGAUCGAUCGACAAUCCUACACAAUCUCUAGACGACGAGAUUCGUUAAAGAAGUGAGAAGCUAUAGCUCUAGCUGGAUAUAGGAGAGUACUAGGGGCAUAUAUUUGUUGCAGGUUACAUCGAUCGUGUAAACAAGCAUCCAUGCAUCGGGGAAGACGAAGAUCAAAACAUGAACAAAAGCAAAGAUCCUGCAUGUGUUUUGCCAUGUUUGGUCAGAAAAAAAGAAACAGCAAUCUGAAAAUAUUCCUCCAAUCCAACCCAAUCAAAUUAAUAGUUAAUUAGUUAAAGACCAAACCAUAGAGAUGUGUGUGUGUGAGAUAGAGAGAUCUAGAGAGAUAAGAUGUAGAUGAGUAAAAUGGUGCAUGUGCAUGGUGGUUAGCUUUAUUGCCCCAAUGGUCAGGAGUGUGUGAGAGGGAGGGCUGGGGAAGAAGGCUGGAAGGAGAGACUGGGGCAGGCAGGGAGCUGCCACCUAGGCAUUGGAGAAAGCAUUCUUCAAGUAAAGCAUGAAAAUGAAAGCAAGUUAAAGGCAAAGAGAGAAUCAGAUUCCCCCGACGUCCGGCCGGCCAACAUGCCUGCCACAUGCACUCUUCUCAAGGAAAUUCAGAAUGCAGGAUCUUGGACCAUUCCAUGCAUGACCACCAUCAACACACACAAACCCUAGCUCUACCAAAGCACAGACCCCUUUAGCUUUUUGUGCCAGUUUUGCUCCCCCUGUGCUUUUGGGCACACCAAUACUGUACUAUAAUUCUUCAUCAUCAUGCAUCUCCUAUGGACUCAAACUUCUAUGCAAAUCCAUAUAUAUCCAUCGAUAAUAAUAUAUGCAUGUGCAUGGUUUUGGGUGAGCUAUAGUAGUCCUGUCCGGUUGUACUUCUCAUCGAUCCCAUUUCAUGCAUCAUAUAUGUUGAAACUACCAAUCAUAUGCUGCUGAUGCAUCAAAUCAAAAGAAAACAAAUAAUGACUUUUGUUCAUGUUAAGUUUAUAUAUGAUCAUAUUUAAAAGAGAAUUUCGCACAUUUGUUAGUUCCAAUGAUAAACGUGGAUUCAUACUAUGCAUGCAUGUGUCACACAUUUACAACACAUGUAUGACAAAUGUAUAAGGCAACCCUAAAGGAAAAUUUGUGCUAUUUAAAGAGGCUGCAAAGUAAUGAUAAAUGUGUGUUGUAGAAUCCAUUUAAAAAGGUAUAUUGUAAGAGAUAGCAAUAUAUUGCUACUGAAAGUAUUGCACUUUUAUACCUCCUACGUAUGUACAUAUAUACUCUAUAUGCCCUACAAAGAUACUUAUAUUCCUUUUGCUACUUUUUGUGUCUGCAUCAUGCACUCAUGUGCUUGGGGAUUCGAUUGCAGGGCCGGUCGAGAUACUGAUCAGCUACUAUAGUAUAUAUACACCCCUUAUUAACGGUACAUUAUUGGUUAUUUGAUCAUUAAUUUACACAUUAAUCUUUUCAUGGACUAUCACAUCCUUUGCACAUAUAACGCAUGCAGCGUGGCACACCCUCGCUCCUUUUCGAUCAGUUUGUUUAGACCUAUCUCAAAAAGCGCUAGAUCAAAUUAUGAUGCAUUGUGUAUUAUUCAACUGUAUAGAAAAAAAAGGCAAUUUAAAGGGCCUAGCAUUUUGACUAAAAAAGUUACGCUACUCUUUCACCAGGCCACUUACAAGAUGAGAAGAACUUGAUUAACUACUAAGAACUUAGCGUACAUUACAUCAAGAUGACAUGUCCAAUCAAAAUAAAUUCAGCAACAAUUAAUAUGCUCUCGCGCUCUUCAAUCAUAAAUCGGCUACAUUACACAAUUCAGUGCAUAUAGAUGGAUGAUGAUCACAUAGAAAAAAAAGAGUGAACCACCGAAACGGUGUACAAGUGUAGAUCUCCAUCGAUCAAUGAACAAGCUAGAAAACAACAUCUUAGAGUCAUUUUACAAAGGUAGAUCAGAUAUGACAUAUGAGAAAGAAACGACAACACAAAGUAUUAGAUUAUUGAUGGCACGAUACGAUUGAUCUAGAACAUAAGUGUACCCACAGACAGAAUGCAUGAAAAAACGUACUAAAAUUAAUUAGAGCUAUAGCUUAAUUAGAUUGGAAUAGGAUACCAUGCAUGCAUAACGAAUCCCAGCAUGCAUGCAGAUGCAGGAGCAGGACUGACGACACACACACUUAGCAGUUAAGUAAACAACAAACAACACAAAUUUAAGAGCUAGCUAGUGACUGAUCCAUGAAACACUCGAACAAAACAAAGGUUUAACUAAUUCUCGUAUGCAUUGAUAUCCCCCGCCCCCCUCCUCUCCAUCUUGUAAACAUAUCCUGAAGAUUUUAUACACACCAUUAAUCCCUCGUUUCUCUCCAUGCAUACUAAUCUAGCUAUAGCUAGCAAGCAAACAAGCUCUGUUGAUCGACCAUGAAUUAAGCUCGAUCGAUCGUCACAAAGAACUUGCAUGCAAGAUGUGGUAGCUAAUUACCAGCUGCACUACUGCUUGAAUAGAAAGCAUAGCCGCCGCCGCCAUUGACGACGUGCUGAUGAUCUCCAUACAUGCUGCCAUUGCCGCCAUGCCUGCCGCUGCUAAUUUGCGCGUAAUCCUGUUGCUGCUCUGAAGAUCUCUUCCCCGGCGCCGGCGGCAGCUGAGCCAUGUGGUGGCCGCCGCCGAAGUGGGCGUUGUCGUCCCCGGCGCCGGUGUGCAGUCCCAGGUGGAACAUGCCCUGCAUCGUGGCGGCCGGCAAUGGCAUUGGCUGCCCCAUGCCCAUGUCCAUGGCCUGCAGGAACGGGAAGCUCUGCUGCAUCUGCUGCGCCCACUGCUGCUGCUGCUCUUGCUGCUGCAGGAACGGGAAGCUGCUGCUGCUGAGGCCAAGAUCAAACAUGUUGCUGCUGUUGUUGUUGCUGCUGUUGUUGCAGAACAUUGACUGGAGAGUACUACUCUGCGGCGCCGCUGCCGCAGUGCUGCAAGUAGUAGUGGUGGCCGGCGCCGGAGAAGAAGACGCAGCUGCAGCAGCGGAGGUGGAGGAGGAUUUGGGCUUGGAGGAGCGCUUGGCGUGGCGGCGGUACCCGCCGCCGACGGGGACGUUGCGGAGGGCGCCGCCGCGGGUCCAGUAGCGGCGGCAGGCGCGGCAGAAGUGGCGGGGCUGGGUGAGGGAGUAGUUGUUGAAGUAGCAGAACUUGGUGUUUGUGGAGUCGCAGCGCGGGCAGUUGAGCCCGGGCUCCGGCUGCGGCACGCGCGCCAGCCGCGCGCGCUCCGACAUCGACAUCGCCUUGCUGCUGCUGUUGUUGUUGAUUGCUGCUUCAUCCCCUCCGGCGCCGGCCGCCGUGGGCGCCAUUACCUGCAGUCCUCCUCCUUCCUGAUGGCCCAGCUGGUUGUUGCCGUUGCCUCCAGCAGCAGCAGCAGCUGAAGGGGAAGAGCUAGUGAGAUGGUCGCUGCCAUUAGCUAGUUGCUGGAGCUGCAAAAUUUACAGGCAAGCAUGUAUGUCAGCAAAAGAUUGAUCGAUGCAUAUUCCAGGAGAGGGAGAUACACAUAUGCAUGAUGGCGCAAUCAGCAAACCCUAGCUAGCCAGUAAGUAUAUAUGCUCUCUCGAUCUCCUUUCUCUUUGUGUGAACAAAAUCUAGCUUAUUGAGGGAAUAAUAAUCAAUAAGCUAAGAUAUGUAGCUAGAUCGAAGAACUGCAAAUUAAAUUGAAAUUUUUACCUGGUUGUUGUGGUUGGUAUUCCAGCAGCUUGAGGAGUCUAGGAAGGCCGGAGGGAAGAUCAUGCUUCCUGCUUGCUUGAUCUCUUGUUGAGUAACUAUCAAGCAGCUAGCUACUAGAACUAGAGCUUGAGCUGGAAAAGAGAGAGUUGUUGAGACUUGAGACAGAUGUGUUUGGGCGGCUGGAGGUUGGAGAGAUAGUGGGAAGCAGAGACUUAGCGGCUGGGGAAAUGGAAUCAGACCAAGGCAAAGAGAGAAGGAAUGAGAUGGAAGCUAGGCUAGCUAGAGAGACAGGGAGGGUCUAGCUCUUGACUGCUUUUAGAGCCGGCCCAGCUGAGAGAUGGAGAAAAAGCAGAGAGAGAGAGAGCGCCAGGUUGCAAUGCAAGUAGCUGCUAGCAAUUAUAAGAGAGAGUGAGAGGAGGACCUCAUCUUGUUGUUGUUUGGUUCCUUUAUUUUGCAAGCUUUUCCUUUUUCAUCUUCUUUUUCUGGUGAGCGCUGACGGGGUUGAGUGAGUGCUACCCAUGCUGAUGAUGCAUGCAGGUAGAUACUGUUUGCAAUAGCUUGCUAAUUAGCUAUAUAUAGCUAGUUUUGUUGUCACCAUAAUUAAUUGAUUUAUGGACAACCUCAUACACUUCUUGAUUUGGUACAAACUUAAAUUCCACGAUUAAUUAAUUAAAUAAUUCGUAGUGCAUGUGUUUGGGUUUAUUUCAGACCGGAUUCCACUGUCAAACAGAUAACAUAGCAAAAAGGUCGUUUCACCCUGCACACACUUGCUCUUGCAGUCCUGGGCAGCAAGAACACACCCAGAUCAAGCCUAAUGGCAAGAGGUUCCGUUAAUUUGUUCAUUUGCUUUCGUUGUCGGGCAGAUUUUGUUUAUGACUACCUUGGUCAAAAGGAGCACAAUUACCGACCAAGUGUCCGUAUUUAGUUUGGGUGUGUGGCAGACUAGCUAGUCAUCCAUAAUAAGGGCCGCCUCCAUAAUAAGUGUCGAUCUUAACUUUGGUCCGGAAAACUAUAAACAUAGGUAUCAGCAAUUAACAAGUCAAUAAAAACACUAAUUAAAUGUCUUUAAAAUUGUACACCUAAAAAUCAAAACUUUCCUAGAAUGAUUGAAGUCCAAAAUGCCGUCAGCAUGAACAAAUAGGUGUUUGAAUCAAGCCAGUCAGCAUCCAGCAAGCUUAAUUAUAAGUUUAUAACUCAUAUAAGAGCGAACUUAAGAAGAAGCAAACAAGCUGAUGGGAUAUCAGAUGGAAGGACAUGCCAAAAAUUCUGAGAUGGUCACUGUCUUGUCUCCAUCUAGCCACUGUUUGAUUCAUGGUACACUCACUGUGCCCGUCCACAGUCCACACAAUCCAUAAUCGCAACAUCUCACCAGUUAAUCAAGAUACUAUUUCAUAACACCACAAGUCUUUAAUGUUCCAAGGACAUAUAUAGAAAGAUUAAACUAAUGGUUAAAUUGCACAUCACGGAUUAUGCUCAUACUAGCAUAGUGACCCCCCUCACCAGUGGCUGGCUUCUGGGAACAGCCACUGGUGAGGGUUCAUGGAACUAUGAAAGAGGCAUUUUGUAGUAGGCUAUGGAAUCACUAAGAAAAAAAUUAUAGGUAAAGAAAACAUGAUAGUCAAACUAUGGGCCAAGCUUGAUGAUAGGCUUUGUUUGAUUUGAAUUAUGAACCCAAACUCAUGGAAAUUGGAGAGGAGCAAAAAAUAGUAGAAAAUUGGGAAACAUUAUGACUUGCUGUUAUAACUCACGGAUUUGCAAAGUUUGACUUGUCAAGGGUGAGAAGAAGAAUGUUCGGAAGGAGUGAGCAGACAAUCGCCGGAUCCAAACUUUAUAAGUAGGAAGAUAUAUCUAAAGCGUCUAUUUUAAGAAUGGAUGCAGUACUUAGAGUUUGUGCUUCUUUUGUGCGUUAAAGUGGUUGAAAACUGAGAGAGAAUAGAAGGAGUGUGCCAAAAAGGAGAGUGCAUGUGCAUACUUCAAAUUGAUCGGUCGCUAGCUAGUCAGAUGAUAAUCAGAGGUGCCUUUUCUUAAUUACAGAGGUUGAAAACUCAAAAUACUAGUAUGAUGGAGACAUCUUAUCUAAUCAGAGGUGCCUUUUCUUACACUGCUAAGCAGAGGUACUUAAUUAAUCUAAAGUGCAUUAUAAAGCAGAUCCAAUUAAUUAGUGAUGACACUAUUGGAGUUUAACAAAGUUAGGAUUGCUUAAAUAUGCAACUUUUAAUUUCUAGAGGGUAUCAGGAUCGAACAGACAUUCUGAGAAGUAAACCUUGAAUCUUUAUAUAUGAGUCUUUCUACAGUACCCUAGAAUUAAAUUAGACCAUAUAUUUUUUAAAUCUAAAGGCUCAGAUUUGUUGAUACUCCCAACUACUCUGAUUGAGGCGUGUAGAGUAACAGUAUGGAGUAGUGAAAGCAGCGACCUGGAGUAACCUCCCCCCUCCCCCAAACCACACACGACCGUGCCCCACCACCGCAUCCAACUCUGUAGAAGAGCUCCCCGUUCGCAGCAGCCGCCGCCGGAGACCACCGCCGGCUCCCCUCCUCCUCCACCCCUGCCCCGACGGCCUCCCCUGGCAACUCCACCCACCGUGUCCCAGCUGUAGCCACAUCGCAGCUUCGCGUCCGCCCGCGCUCGCCAUGGUCGAUGUCCACGGUGCACUGACGCCGGCCUAUUGAAGCCACCCCGAGCUUGUCAAGCACCUCGAACCACCUCCUAUCUCCCUCAAUUACUUCGGGCUAGAGCAUAUAAUCAAUCUCACGCGUCUCCACACGCUCUCUAGUUAAGCUUUGGGCUGGGCGUAGGAUGGCAGCGGCAGCGGCGUGCGCUGGGGCGAGGGCGGCGGCGGACACAGAAUUAGGGAGGAGAGAGGGAGACAUAGUUUUUCCCUUUUUUUUUACUAAUGCAAAAAUGUGAAAUGACUGAUAUGCCCUUCUCUAAUACUCCAUUGGAGGUGGAUGGAGUAUUGGGCACAGAAGAAUUUGCCUUAUAUAUUGAUCGAGUAGUUUUCAGUUUAUUCGGUAACAACAUGUACUUUCUCCGUCCAACAAAGAAUGUUUCAACUUGACUAAAUUUGAGCAUCCUUAUUUUACUUAGACAGAUCGAUCAUCUAGAUAUUCAAACAUCGCACUAGAACUUAGUAAAAAGCUGCACAUAAUUGGAUACCCAUAUAUAUGUUCGCUCAAUAAUUAAUCCCAGUAUAUAUUGAGGUAUUUAAGUGUGAUAUACUCAUAUGUUAACCAAUAUCAAUCUCUAACAAAGAGCUUAAUUAGCAUAUUGACUAAUAUAGUAAUUAAGAAAUGCACCAGUUAUCUCAACCAAAAGUCUGAAGUGAUGGAAAGAUACUAGCUAGACAAUUUAUCUGCCCUUUGGCCUACUGUGACGUUUGUUUGUGGAGCCACAAAUAUUAUUUUUAAUAUUGUAUUUGGCCAGGAUUUGAACCGAGAGCUCUGAUACCAAGUUAAUUAUUGAAUUGUAUGUCAACCAAAAUCUCUCAAACUAAUGAAAAAAGACUAGACAAUUGAUUUCAACACCGACCGCCAUCCAACCAGAACAGGUAGCAGGAACAUUUGUGGAGAAGACCAGAGAGAGGCGCUGCAAGACGAGAGGCACUGGAUCGGGAGAAGAGAUCUGCGUUGAACCAAGAGAAAGAAGAGGAGCGAGAGCUUGGUGUUACAUAUGUGACUAUGUUGUUGUCCAUCAACUCGAAGUCAUGACUCGGGCGAAUGGCUAAAACCAUCGUGCUAACAUUGUUUGAAGAAUCAUCACGGCGUUUGGAUCGUCUUUAAUUUUCACACCUAGAGAAAACGAUAGGACAUGGUAUAAGGAGAUAAUGGGUCAAGUAAUUAAUUACUAGUACAGCUUUGCCUCUUAACACUAGUUAUACGGAAUCAUCUUUGCUUUGAGACCGGCCGUAAAAUAUUUGUAGGAGGAUAUACGCCGAAGCAAAUAUGUGCAUACUAGUAUAUCUUGAUAGAAUCGUGCCACCCUAGCUAUUUGCUAGUACUAGAAAAGGAUGCCAAUACAAUUAAGCUAUCCACCAGAAGAGAAGAAGCAGUAUACUCAUACAUUGUACUCCAUGCAUGCAUGUAUGCUAAUUAAUCUAUAUAUCCAGCCGCGCUAGCUAGUCAAUAUGCUUAACAUGAUGAUUAUUGUGUUCCUGGCGUGUGACUUUUUGGAGCAAAGCUCGCAUCUCAAGGUUGGAAGCUCGCAGCUCAAGGUUGGAAGCAUGCAACUUCCUCAUCUCCUCCCGGAUCCCCUUGAAUUCUUCCUCGUUGGCCUUCUUAACAUUGUACUGCACCUCGUUUCGCACCCUCGGACCGAACACCGCCAAAGCAAAAGCCGACAGACCCACAGUUAACAUCCACGAUCCCUUUGCAAUAUAAUGCACGCAGCCAUCAAUCAGUUCAGAUUCAUUAUCCAUAUCAUGGAGCUAGUACUACACUAGUUAAGCAUCAUACAUCGAUAAUAUAUAUUCCCUCCGUCCCAUAUUAAAUGACUCAAAUAUGCUUAAAAAACGUUUAGAUACAUGUAAUAGAAAGUCACUUAAUAUGGGACGGAGUGAGUAUCAAAUUGAGAGUAAAAUACAUAUGCAUAUUCAGAGAAUUGAACCUCCAUUAUCUCGGAGGAGGCAGAGCAGGAGGAGGCCAUGGAGCGUUGGAUCACGGCGGCGGACGGCAGGCCGGCGACGAGCCGCUGGCGAGCAGCGUUAGCGGCAGCAGGUAGGCAAGAGCAAGAGCCGGGCCGGGUGUUUCCUGGACCGUGUCCACAUCUGACACCCUUCCGGGCCCAACAAAGUCAUCCUUACUUCUGCCCUUUUCCUUUGCUUGAGAAAAAAGAAAUUUUGAUGUGUUUAAAUGGUGGCCGAACUAUACCCUACAUUUUUUUUUAUCAUGAUCCAAAAACUGGUGUUUGUUACCAAAAUUUUGGUAAGCUAAUUCCUCUUUGACAAAUCUAGUUUGUUUUUUCUUGCUUCUUUGUUGGCCAACUCUCCCAAGCAAAAUCAUAACAAAAAUAAAUUUCGUCCAGCCAAUUCUUGGUACGGUAAACGUAGGCUAGAUUCUACUGGAACUAAAAACAACAGACAGAGCCGUCUCGGAUAGUUGACCAUCCACACAAUUUAUCUGUGUAUUAUGAUCAUGGAUGUUACAUGAAGGGAGUGUCGAUUGCUGCUAGCAAUUUGACCUGUAACUCAUGUGUUGGGUCAUUCGGACGAUAUCGAAAGCGAGAACCCCAGUCAGGGUUUACAAGUUUUGCUAGCUACUCAGUUCGAACCCAACAAUCCACAAGAUAUGCAAUUACCAACUGAGGAGAGUUUGAAUGAAAACAUAUAGAAAGCAGAAAUGAUCAACUGAUGCUCUCUCAAGCGCAAACUCCGGCUGGCCGUGGCCCGUCUUCAAACUCAGCUCUCCUUGCCACUGCCGCCGCCGCCGUCGACGCUCUCCACCGCCGGAAUGGUCUGCAGGAUCACAAAAAAAAACCAAGAGAUGCCAACAUGGGGGUGAGCAGGCUCGCAGGCAUUGCGUCGAACAGGUUGCGUGCAUGGGCAAGCAGGGGGUGGACAGACCAUGUCGGGCUUGUAGAUGUUGUGGACGACGGAAGCCCCGGCGAGGAGGGAGACGACGACCACCACGGAAGACCACGCCAGCGACGGAGUCCCCGUCGGCAGCCGCCCGCCGCCGAACUUCUUGCCGCCGCUCAUCCUCCCUCCUUGAGCCGCCGUUGAGAAGAUGGUUGUGCCUGUGUGGAAUCUGAAGAAGAAAGAAUCUACUAGCAAAACUAAAAGGAGGUGUUGCGUUUGGGCUAACUGAGGAUGGGCCUUGUACAAAUGGGCCAACCUCGCUGAGUCCGGACGAUGAUUUGGCCCAUUGCAGCUGCCCAAUAUUGGAUUAUUGAUCGUGUUGUCUAUAUUGCAGAUUCUUUUUAUUUUUUAUUUUUUUGCGAAUGUCUAUAUUGCAGAUUAAUUUGCAGCCGGGAAGAAAUUGGAGGAGGAUGGAAUCACACGUAGACACAAUUACACGUAUAUACGCCAUGUCAUUAUCUGAUGAUUCAUCAGUUGAUCCAAGUUGCAUUAUUAUUAUGCUGUUGGUAAGAAUACAAUCCUGCAUACAUACAUGUCGACUGGUGAUUUGAAACUUGACGUGUCCGUCGCAGCUCAUGCCCAUGGGGACGAUGAGAGCGAAACAUAAACAAAUAAUUUGUACCAACGCCAAUGUUGCUAGUCCACGUCAUGCAUGCAACUUGGUCGACCUAUUGCUAUAUAUUAGGCUAAUUACUUGUUACAGUUAAAUAUAUACACGACAAGAAGAAGAAAAGUUUAUUUUUUGUUGUGCCGCUUCCUCUCACGCCUGCAGCACGCCGUACCGGUGGCAAGCAUGGCUGUCGAUAUUUUCUUUGGCCAUUCCUGCAAACUAAUCUUGGGUUUCUGUCGAGUCAUAUAUGCUGCCAAAGAGACAGCGAAUAAGCUAAUGCAUAUAUGAUCGAGCAGAUAAAUAUGAGUUAGCAGAUCUUAGAUGCAACUGCUCUGCUCCUGCCCGCUGUGUAUACUGAUAUAUCCAUUGAGCUGGGUGGAUUAGAUCUUUCUGGAUCGGAGCCAACAUGUUACUAAUUUCUUGUCCCCACUGCACACAUGAUUUAGAAUCGAACACAUACCAGGUCUACGUUCCAACCGAAAUUUAGAACAGACUUCACGUGUGUAUAUAAUCACCAAGCUUAGCUUAGCUUGGAUAGAUGGUAGGUGUUGAACAAUGACAAAUCAAUCACCGUGAAUGCAUGCGCGUAUAGGACUGCUGGUGGCUUAAAAUGAAUUGAUCGACGACCAAUAUGAUAUGUAGAGUUGGUAGUUGCGUAAGAAGCUGGAUUAAUUGGGUUGAUGUAUAAGAUACGAAUAACGAAUCAAUUAAUUAUGGAUUAGAAAGAGUAGCAUAUAUGACAUGUGGUUUUACUCGUUCUUCGUUGAAGGAUCCGUUGGCAUGCGAGUAGAAGUUGCAACUUACAAGGGACAGAAAUUCAAAACCCGGUAGCAACUAGCUAUACGGAGAGUAACGACCCAAAAAAAAAGACAUGCAUGAAAAAUACUUAAACGGAACAAUUAAUUGAAUGCAUGAAAACUACUAGUCGCACAAAAUGGCUAGCCCACCAUAUGUAUGGGCACUAGAGCUAGCUAGCAAGUGGCCGGGGAAAGAGCUAAAAUCGAUAUAAAUAUGCCUUGUUUUGUUCCUUUGAAAGGGAUUUUGAUCGAUCUUGAUGUGCUAAGUUGUCUGGUCGUGCCACCUAGCGAUCGAUCGAGAGCUAAGCUAGGCCAUUCGUACAUGUCGAUCAUCGAUCUCCGAAGAAUCUAAUACUAGCUGCGGCUUAAUUGGUACAUCGUCGAUCUCAUGGAAUAUUACAUAUGCGAUAGAUGCUUCUGAGUUCUGACGUACACGUACAUGUAUAUCGAUACUAACGAUCGAUUUGCAUACACUUACGUGCUAGUCCAACGAUCCUAAAUUCUUGUCUCAAAUUGUCAAAAUAUGGAUGUAUCUAUUCUUAAAAAACGUCUAAAUAUAUGUAAUAUUUUGACAACAAUUUAGAAUAUGAGGGAGCAGUGAUUAACAGGUGAUCCUCUUGAGUGGGUCUCCUAAUUAUUCCCAUGCAUGUUAAUCCCAUCAUAGUAAGAUCAGGUUCAGUGAUCAGCACGACGUACAUGCAUGUGUUGUUGAGGUAUAUUUUUUUAAUUCGUUUGUUAAGGGGUUAAUUAAGAUCGGUUGGGCGUGAUUUAAUCCUAGCUAGAUUCAGAGUGAUGGUAGUACUACGUACCGCUACUAAUUAAUUUCCCACUUUCUUAUAAGAAAAGAAAACCACAAAUUAAGCGGUGGGAAAAGGUACGGCGAAAGCAACAAGCCAACAAAAUGAACAAGAGAUAUGCAAACUACCAGCAUUUUUGUGUGUGUAUCCUUUGAGGAUAUGGGAAAUGUUUUGUUGAUAUUUUGAUGUAGUAGGCACAUAAAUUAUUGACGAGAUGAGGUGCAUUUAAUUAACACGAACGGACGCGUGAUUAAGGUAGGAGGGAACACGCUAAGUAACAUUGUUUAGGAUCGGUCGCACCGACGCACGUGAAUUAAGGUAGGAGGGAACCCACUAGCAAAUUUUAAUUAGGUGCAUGCAUGCAUCUCUCGAUCAUAUAUGCACCUAGAUUUUUAUAUGGAUCUUCACUUUAGGUUUUAGCUUGGCAAUUUUAUUUUAUUUUAUUUCGGAAUUCCCAUGAAGCUUAGCUAGCUGUUCAUCGUUUCUAAGCCACGGCAUAGAGAGGACCGAAGGACAUGUAAGCUUCAUUAAUGAGCAGGCAGUAGUACUAAGCUAGCCAGGAUGAGAUCUGACAGUCUAGGACGUAGGUAGGGUUGGGAUCCUGUCAGGUAGACGAAUUAGUAAGCCUUGGCUAGUCACAUCCUAAGGUGCUGUCAGUCAAGAAAAAGGUAAAUGAAGACGACGAAGAAACAAAGGUCGAUCAUAUCAGGGGUCAAACGCAGACUGUCAGCUUGUACUCCUAUUCAACACCUCCCCUGAUCUUCUUCCAGCUCGCGCGCCUUUUCACACACACACACAGGCAGCCAGGCAGAGACUUCCACGCACACAAAAAAGGCAUUUUGAAUUUCUAGCAGUUCCCAAAGUACUAUAGGUUUUAUGUAUGUCACAUGAGAGGCACAAUUCCUGGUUUUCUGAACGGUAUGAAUCCAGGCUUCCAUAGCUAGAUCAACAACAAUGAUGUUUAGUUCUGAGCAAACGAGUGUUUAGAGAGCUUGAAAUAAUGCCUUGUGUAAAAUUCUUGCAGUUGCUAGCAGCGAUCGACUAUCUUGUGCCUAAGGCCGUGUAAUUACAGAGGGAAAGUUUUGAACUCAAACUUGUAGAGCAUGUUUUCCACACUUUCACCUACUGCGCGCAGGUUGUACCGCAGGCCAAGCUUAAAUUCAGACAAGAAUAGCGUGUCAAACAAAAGAUGUCCAAAAGCCAAAAGGAAGAGGAAGCAAUGGUGUUCAUGUUAGUUACACUGCUGUCUUUCAGAAAAAAAAGGGGAAGAGUUUUUUAUUUGAAAGAGAAGCUUAUGCUAUAUAAUUAGGUUGGAGAAAGGCAGUUAAUAAGAUAUGGUGAUGGCCCCAUGGUUAAUUAGGCAUGGCCUCUCUUUCUUGGACAACAUCGAUCGACCCCUCCACAUUUCCAUCACCAAAUAUUAGUAACACGCACCUAAUAAAUAAUGCCGCAUUAAAAACACUAAUAAACUCCGCCUCCGUUGAACACGCAUGUGUGUCGACCGAAUAGAAGAAAGGAAAAGGAAAUCACGAAGCACCAACAGCAACCACAGGAUGGGGAACCUUGCAUGAUUACCUCCCUUUGAUUCAUGAUCGUUUGGUCUGAAAUUAAAGGGCGCCGACAUGUGGUCAACAUCAUGCCAUGCUGCGCCAAUUCACAAACCUUCAAUUAGCGGUGCGUCUUAGUACAGGAGUACUAGUUUCCUGGUCAAUAAGAUGCUUUGAGUAGGUACAACUUACUCCCUCUGUCAAAAAUAUACAAGGACAAAAAUUCUAACCUGGGACGUCUAAAAAUGCAAUAACAAUAACAAGUUGAUCCUUGAGAGUUGAGAUCCCAUCACUCGUCCCUAUGUACGUCGUUGCCAAAUUGAUUCACCACUUGCAUGAAACUGCAUUUUGUUGAGUUCAGCUUACUUAAGAAACAUAAGGCAACUUUGGGAGUAGAAAAAAAUAUUGAAAUUUGAGGCACCAUCUACCAUGGGGAAGAUAUUAAAAAAAAAGAGUACAGUAGUAAUAAGCCAAGCAGCACAUGUGGCAAGAAAAAAACAAAACCGUGGAAAAUAUCUGGAGAGAAGAAAAAGAGAGGGAGAUUUAAAAAAGGGGGAGAAAACGCCAAGGUGGGUGGAAGUCAAGGCAGCAAGGAAGAAAGAUCCAAGCUUGGCGUGCUCCAUUAAAAAGGCACUCUCAAUUCUUCUCAGGCCAAAACUAAACCUGCCCCCGGCCAGGCCGCGUCUUCUUCUUCUUCUUCCUCCAGACCUUCACGGGGUGGCCGGCGGCAGAGGUCGGAGGGCGAUGGGGCACGGGCUGAGCUGCGGCCGCGACGGCGAGGAGCACGAGUUCUUCCGGGCGGCGCAGUCCGGCGACGCCGACGCCAUGGACGGCCUCCUCGCCGGCGACCCGUCGCUGGCCCGCCGCGCCACCAUCUACGACCGGCUGACGCCGCUCCACGUGGCGGCCGCCAACGGGCACCUGGAGGCGGUGUCCCUGCUCCUGGACCGGGGGCGGGCGGCGCCGGACGCGCUGAGCCGGACCAAGCAGACGCCGCUCAUGCUCGCCGCCAUGCACGGCAAGCUCGACUGCGUCCUCCGCCUCCUCCACGCCGGCGCCAAUGUAAGUCAAGUCACAGCCGCCGCCAAUCCCAAUUCGACCCCUUCUUCUUCCUCUUCGUCUUCUACCUCGCGAUUUCGAUUCCUACCGAAUAAAACUUACUCUGUUUUUCUUCUCUUUGGUUUCAGAUCUUGAUGUUCGAUUCGGUGCACGCCAGGAGCUGCCUGCACCACGCGGCGUACUACGGCCACGGGGACUGCCUGGCGGCGAUCCUGGCGGCGGCGCGGACGGCGCCGGUGGCGGCGUCGUGGGGCUUCGCACGCUUCGUCAACGUCCGCGACGAGCACGGCGCCACGCCGCUCCACCUGGCGGCGAGGCACGGGCGCGCCGGGUGCGUGCACGCGCUCCUCGACGCCGGCGCCAUCGUGUCGGCGCCGACGGGGUCCUACGGGUUCCCCGGGAGCACGGCGCUGCACCUGGCGGCGCGCGGCGGGUCCCUGGAGUGCGUCAGGGAGCUGCUGGCGUGGGGCGCCGACAGGGUGCAGCGGGACUCGGCGGGGAGGAUCGCGUACGCGGUGGCCGUGAAGCGGCGGCAUGGCGGGUGCGCGGCGGCGCUGGACCCCGGCGCGGCGGAGCCCAUGGUGUGGCCGUCCCCGCUCAAGCUCGUCGCCGAGCUCGACGCCGGCGCCAGGGCGCUCCUCCAGGCCGCGCUCGCCGACGCCAACAAGAAGAUCCUCACACGCCUCAAGGCCUCCGGCAACACCUCCGCCGGCCGCGAGGAAGAAGAAGAAGAGGAAGAAGAGGAUGAGGAAUUGUGCAGCAUCUGCUUCGAACAGGCGUGCAGCAUGGAGGUGGAGGACUGCGGGCACCGGAUGUGCGCGGCGUGCACGCUGGCGCUCUGCUGCCACAGCAAGCCUAACCCGGCCACGUUCACCGCGAACCCGCCGGCGUGCCCGUUCUGCCGCACCUCCAUCUCCCGCCUCGUUGUCGCCGAGUCCAAGGCCAAGGCCAAGGCGGUGGCGAUCACCGGCGAUGAGCUUGAGGAGAAGGCGGCGGCGAUGGUGGGAUCGCCGCGGCUGAGCCGGAGGCGGUCCAGCAGCUUCAAGGGGCUGUCGUCCGCCGUGGUGGGGUCGCUGUCGUGCAAGAUCGGCCGCGGCUCCGGCAGGUUGGCCGGUGACAGCAACGGCGGCGGGGGCGGCUUCCUCGACAAGCCUGAGCACGACCCAUGAUCAUGAUGAAUGAAUGAGCGUGACAGAAGAAGAGAGCAUUUUGGAGCAGAGCAGUAGGCUCAAGUGAAGCAAAACUGCCGCCAUUUUUUUGUGAAGAUGGUCCCAGACGAUGAUCAUGGAACAACCGAGUUUCCCCAUUGCAUCCAUCAGAACUCGUGAUCAAGAUCCUGGCUGGGUACUACAUGGGUCAUCAAAAUAUCAAGGUUUUACCAUAUGGGCCGUUACCAUAUAUACUCGGUAGUGUAAUUUACAGCAUUAGCAGAUUAGGAAAUUGAAUUGUCAGUCUUGCGCUUGCUUAUUGGUUAUUUUUGGCUUGGCAUGUUUUGGUUUGAUCCAUUCCAUUGUAUUGUAGUACUAGUACUAUUGUAUUUGUAUGUAUGUACCAUCAUCAUUCAUGUUAUAGAGUCAAUCAUCCAUUGGCUAGAUUGCAAUGAGACGCCAAGUGGUUUUUUUUUUCUGGGUAGUACUCCAGUGACCAACUGAUCCAAGGAGCAUGUGAAUUGUAUACUGGAGAGCAAAGGUGUAGUACAAGUGAAACAUUUUUGUAAAGUUAUCAUGGGGCGCUGGGGAGCCGGGAAGCAUGGCGAUGGCAUGUGAGGUGAGAACAUGAGAGGGGGCAUAUCCCAUCCCAGCUUUGGCAUUUGUCUCAUGUUUAUGGAUGGACUCCAUCUUGGUGAAUGCAAUAGCAGUGUCAGCACUGCUCACUGCUCCCUGCCCUGCAGAGUUGGCAAAUCUAAUGGUGUAGCGCUAUCAUGUGGGCAUUGUUUUGUGUGGUUGUACCUGACAUGUCCUGCACACUGUGGAUCCUUAAUCACCAGGCUUAGCUACUGCUGCUUAAUGGUCUAUUUUUCUUGGUAAACCAAGAAGGAAGGGAGACUGAAAUGAGGGCAGUUGGGUGGUCCUGACCCAAGAUCCAACGGUGGUCAAUGCGUUCCAAAUCCAGGCGCAACAACAACUGGAAUCAUUCGCCGCAUUGGACCAUUCCAAGAAGAAGAAAGCUCCUAGUCCAGGGUACAGUAUAACUGUACAACUAGCAGCUGAGAUCCAUUUCCUUGAAAAAACUAAAUUUGAUCCAUUUCCUUUUGUUCCCAGAUCUUAAUCGAAACCGAGUUUUUUUUUUCUCAACUGAUCCAUAUGCAUGUUGUUGGUUGCACAACGCAACCUUAUAAGAUGAAAGAUGACUAAGAUCUGAAGCAUGGUCCUCUUAACUAACUAACCGUCCGAAAUAGGCCGUGAGCAGAGAAAAUUUAAGGGAGGGAGAAGCCAAUGGGCAAUGGCCACUCGCCAGUUGUUGUUUCUUUGUUUGACCAUCAUAUGGUGUUGGAGAAACUUGUACAACGAAUUCCAACAUCACAUGGCGUCAUAAGAUGCCAUGACCAAGUAGCACUUCAAUUCAUGCAUAUGACGGAAGCAGCUAGUGUAGAUAUUUACAAGGCCCUAUCAUUUGAGCAAUAAAUUUGGAGAUAAAAAGAAUCUCUGAUAAGUGUGAUGUGUGCCUUUUAUCUCUUUGUACUUAGUGCGGUGUCCACCUGCAUAAUUAGCACUCGGUCUGGCUUCUCUAUCUACACUAUCUAGCUGCCAGAAGAGCAGCCGCUAGGACCGGACUUUUCGGGUGACGCCGGAAAUUUGCGAGAAAUUUUUCAAUCUAGUUUGCACAUGAUUUGAGAAAGAAAAAAAAUUCCAGACGGGGUCAACACCGUCGCCAAAUGCAGCCAUUUUAUUAUUUGCAAUUAACCGGAUCCAGCAGUAAGAACAAAGAGUUGGAUUGUUCAAAGGGACACGGUAAUUGCCAUGCUGAGACUGAAGAUGUAUUUUUUUUUUUGAGCGGGGAAGAUGUUUACCUGUCAGGAUGACAUGAAAAGUUGAAAACCGUGUUCCAGGAGUGAAAGCUGGGACAUCAAAUAGGUCCUGCUUCGUCAGUCUCUUCUUACCUUCCACCGGAUGAGCUUCUCUGCAAACAAAAGGAUGGCUUCCUUCCUCUGUCACAAGGAGAAGACUGGGGGGUCACUGUCAGGUUAGAUCGUUAGAUACACCAUACAGGAAAGAACAGAAAAACUAAAUACAUUAAUACAGGUCGGGUGAAGAGUUUUUUUCUCGCUGCAAAUGCACAAUUCCUAGUAUAUAUUUCAACGGUUCACAAGUACAUGUGUGAAUCAAAUCUGGGCGACAUUCGACCGAGUAAAUCAUCGAAAUGCUAAAGCGGAAAACAUUGUCAUUCUUCCUUGUACGCCUGGCUGAGAAUGGCAUUGUGGCAUGUCGGGUUGCAGGGGUAUUCACAGUCUAUUUCCUUCACCUCUCUCCGGUUAAAGAACCAGUCUCCCACUGAUUCAGCGAUGGUCUGUUCAUUGGAAUUGAAAUUGGAUUAGUAUAUCAGUAACUGACCGCAGAACCACCAGUGUGUUGUGACAGUAAAACUAUAUCACUAGUUUCAAAAAGAGUAGCUUGUUCAAAGUUCAGGGUUAUGUUCAAAAUGCCGGCUGUCAAUAGAUCAAGCUAUAUUAUGAAAUGGAAACUAUAGCAUCGCAGCACUAUUACUGCUCAGAUACAGAGCGGUGGGGGUUACCUUGCCAUUCAUUCUAGGGCCAGAUGGAGAGUGCCAAGUCAAGGCAUUCAUUGACUGACAGUGUAUAAAGCAGGAGUUGAUGAACAUGCCCCAGUCUUUUCUCUUCUUGUAUUCACUUAUAGCAUCAAGCAACUCUUUUCGGAAACCUGCAAAAACUUAUACUCGUUAAGCUGGCAUGCACACAUGUGACAUGGAAGCGACAUGUGUUAUCAAGAAGAAGGCGUGAGUGCAUAUCAUGAGUUUGCUCUAUUAUGACCUUGUAGAGUUUCAAGCUGUUUAGAAUCACAUUUAGUAAUAUCCAAUCUGCAACUUUCCCACAAACGUUCGGUGUCAGACCCUUCUGGAGACAAAACAUGUUCAACCUGGAAAACAGAAGAGUGGCAACAAUAUAUCAUGUUCAUGUUGAUGUUGUAACAGGACAUUGAAAUGUUUUUGAAAGAUAUGGAUAACUGUACCUGCCAAACAUCAUAUGCUGGAUUGAGAAUGAACAUUGGGGUGCUGAUGCCUUUUGCAACUUCGCGUGGAAAAAUACACUGGCAGGCACAUAAAAUUAAGGAGCACUACUUAGCAUGCAUGAGGUCGAACAGUAAUGACUAAACCAAUGAUACUACUACUAAACUAUCAAAUGGCAACAAACGAAAGGAUAACCUGCCCUGGCUCCAUAUUUGAACUGCAACGAGGAAACUUUUUCCGCAGAUCCUGCAACAAAUUGUUCAGAAAAGACAUGAAACUUGCAGAUAAGACUAAUACAAUAAAAGGAGGUCCAUUGGAGGGGGGAGAGCUCUAUUGUCCUAGGGACAGGGACAGGGAGAGACCUGUAGGCGAGCAACAUCAUUGUAAAAUCCCCGCAUAUACCUUCUCCCAGAAACGUCUUCUCUGCAAUGAACCAAAGGGAAGGACCAGUCAAAACAGAGCGAGCAGUGCUUGUGGAUUGCUUAUGGGUAGUCCCUCAAGAGAAGUAUUAUGUUAGGCUGUGCAUAUGUUAACUACCGAAGUGGAAGUGUGAAUUAUGGUUACAGGAUAUCAUGUUAAAUGUCAGAAACCAGAAGCAUGCACAGCGAACUCACUGAACCAGCUGAUUCGUCUCGGGUGCACACAUGAUUCUCUCUUUUGGCUAGUUUUUACAAUUGGUUUAAAAUAUAAACAUUUAGGCAUCCAAAACUAACAUCAAGAUGAGGUUUUCAAAAGGUUCCAUGUGACAACUGAGUAGUGUCACAUGCUUAGACUGAACUGAAGCAGAUAUCAGUAUGAAUAAAUUAAUGCAUGUAUACGUUAGAACAGUCAAAUAGGGAGGAGGGGGUGGGGAUUGGGGAAAUACAACUUAAGAAAAAUAAAAUCAAGCACAUACACGUCAAGAAAAAAACCACCAUCCGCAAGACACUUAACAGUAGAUGCCUUUGGUACAAGGGCACGAAAGUCAUCACAGUGAAUGUAAGUGGAUAGACCCCCAGCCGAGCACCCCGUUAGAAAAGCCUGAAAUUGUAGGAAAUUAAGAGUUUUAAGAAAUCACAACAAAAGAAUCUUUGAUGCAUUCAUGGAGAAGUGAUAUCAUCAUAUCAAUAGAAAAGAUGAAGAAAAAACACUGUGUUAUCUAGCGACUGAUUAUCAUAUCAAUAGAAAGGCUGCCAAUCUAUGUCUUAUUUUCUUUGGGGGCUGGGGCGAAAAGUUGUUGGUGUGAUCAGUACGAGUGGUCUUUUUAUGGCAAUGAUAAGAAAUCUUGGGACUCAUGCAUGGUUCAAAUUCCAACAUUGCUUCUAUCUCUAACCCAGAUUUCCAUAAUCACACCUAUUUUUGUAGGAAGGCUACCUCUUUAGCACGGGAUAGACCCUUCGAUAGAAGUUCACUCAUAACUGCUUCCCAGAUACGCUGACCUCUGAAGAAGAAACUGGUGCCAUCCUGUAUAGAUUACAGAGGAUUACUCAGAAUAUCUGCCACGCAAUUGAACUGUAUGAAACAGGACUUGAGAAGUAGAUUACAGAAUGUUCUCCAAACCUGUAAUUCCUCUUCAACGUUUCCAGAAAACGAAGCUCCAUCACAAUACCUUACCUUCACUUUAUUCCAAUUGUAAAAAUCUGAAGGUUUAAAUGAAAUAUUUCUGAGUGGAUGACAAAGUGUAGUUGCUAUGUGAAGACUAUUUUCCAAGAUAUUACUGAAGGAAAGACUCCUCAAAUACGAACAGAACAACCAAGAUAAUACAGUGUUUGCAACGUCCAUUCCAGUCUGAAAGAGUGAAAGUUACUCAAAGUAAAUCAGUAAUGAUCCUGAUAUUGGAUAUUUACCGGGCUGAUCAGAAAUCGAAAAGAAAAGAAAAACUAGAAUGCAGGUAAGGGAGCAGUGUAAACUGUUCACUUAUGCACUGAAGUGCAGAACAUUGAAGCUAGACAUUCUCUUUUUAUUCUAACUAACUUUGCAAACUUUUGUUAUAUCUAUCUAUCCACACGUAAAAGCAUGUAAAUUACAAGGUAGAAAGUGCCUGCUUAGAAUCUUUCAAGCUUUUCCUCAAAAAAAAUUUAUCUUUCAAGCACAGAAUACUGUCAUCAAACAGAGUUUAACGGUGGGUUGCACAUUCAGGCAGCAGCGGCUCCUGUAAAACACCAAAAUGUGUACCUGGAUUCUGCAAUUCAUCGUCGCUCAAGAUGCCAACGAACUCGGCCCGUCUCUCCAUGUAUGCGGAGGAACCAAGACUAGUCUUCUUACGCUGGGCACACCAUGUCAAAUUCCUGCACCAGCUUCCACCCUGGAGCUCAAGAACAAAAGCUUCAGCCAUCUCCAUUGAGGUGCAAGAUCAAACAGACAAACAGAAAAUGUGUCUAUUUACCUCCAAGUGGAGGAGCCAUUUGUCGGAUCCAUCCCCGAAUCCCGGGAGCCAAUGGUAUCCAGGCGGCGUCCCAUCCAAGCACACUGCGGAGAGCGUGCAAAUCAGUGAGCAUAUAAGAAACCCUAGCAAGAAGAGAAAGAGUUGAUCGAGCAAGGUGGCUGCGCCUACCUGCGCCCUUGUCCUUGGCGCCGUCGACGAGGGUGAGGUCGACGAGCGUGGGGAGGCGGUGGCCGUAGGACGGGGAGGUGGAAGAAGAGGUGGAUGGGACGGAAGCGUAGCGGGAGAGGGUGAGGAAGAAGGCGGCGGCGAGGAGCGCGGCCCCGAAUGCCGCCCCGGCGGCGCCGCGGCGGCCGAGCCGGCGCCACCAGAGGCGCAGCUGGUGCGUCGCCGGCGCGGAGGCGGUGGAGAGAGGCGGCAUGAGCAGCAGCAGGUUGGUGACGAGGAGCAGGAGCAGCAAGUGGUUGGUGGAUCUGGCGACAUCGGCGACGACUUUUUUGUUUAAGCGAAGCGGCGUGGGUCUUACAAUACUGUAUUUAUUCAGGGAGUGCCGCCGGCCGCCGCAGUGGAGUGGAGCGGGACGCGCGAGCAAUGGCGCCGGCGUUUCCGAAUCUGGAUCGGCGGUCGGUUUCGCCGGUGGCGGCGGUUUGCAAUCUCUUGCCGCCGCCGCCGGUGGCGAUGCAAACCCGGGCCGCGUAGCGCUGGCUUACAGGUGGGCUCCACCUGUAAGGGAGCGUUGCGAGGGGGCGAAUGGAAAUUUCAAAUAUUCGAAGUCUAUUGCAUCUUUAAGUUUGAAUUUUCGCUAUUAUAGCUUAGCUUGGAUUUGCGUGGGGAAACACUUGAAAAAUUGAAAUAUUUUUUCUUGGUUCAAGCAAACACUCGACACAACAAAAAAUUCAAAAAUACCAUGGAGUAGAAAAUUAUGCUCAAGUUCAAUUUUGGUGUCAUUAGGAGAAACGGAAUGGACGGAUUUUGGUGUCAUUAGGAGAAAAUUAUCAUUAUUCUUCACUCUGAUGGACAAUACAACACGAUGAUUGCUUGCUGGGUUUGAUUUUGCUUUGAAUCUUUACAUCGUAAAUUUGGCGAUAUGUCCCACUUUACUUUGGAAUUUGAUCAUAUUCUUAGACAGUAAACAAAUAUCACCGAGGCAGCCGGCUGCUGCAUGUGGGGUUGCAGGGAUAUUGGCAGUCAAUCUCCCUCACUCUUUUGCUCCUUCCAAAGUACCAAUUUCCGACAGCCUCUGCAAUGCUCUGCACCGCAAAAAUUGAAAUGAAAACUUAUCAUACCAACUCAAGUUUGAACACAAUUCAUCAAAGAUAACACGGAUAAUGGCAGCGGCGAUUUUAGAGCUACAACAAUUUUCUGUGGUUUUCUGGAUCCCCUGCUAACCUCGUUUCCGAGCCUCGGGGAGAUUGGUGAGUUCCAUGAGAUUCCAAAAAGAGUCUGGCAGUGGGUGAAGCAGGAGUCGAUGAACAGGCCCCAAUCUUGCUUAUCUUCGACGACCAACUUCAAGUCAUCGACCAUGGCGUUCCUGAAUCCUGUUGACGGCGAGGAGCAAAUAAUAACAUGUAACUGUUCCAGAAAAACAUAAAAGGGAAGAUGAUGAAGUAGUAACAUGACAGAGGGAAAUGAACAAGGUAUGCUAACCAUGCAGGACUUCAAUCUGUGUGGAGUUGCAGUUUAUUAUGUUGCCCUUGCAACUCAGCCAGGACUUGUCAGGAGCAGAUGAACCUGGCACAAGAACAUUCUGUAUCUGCAGCGAUCGAUGAACCGUGCGUGUCCAUGGGGAUUUAGACAGGAAGAAUUUUAGCAUGGAGAAGUGGAAUAGUUAUAAAAUGUGGAAGAGAAGAAAUUACCUGCCAUGAAUCAUAUGCAGAGUUGAGAAUAAACAUUGGGGUGCGGAUGCUCUUGAUAAUCUCUGCCGGGAAGAAACACUAGGAGCAACAUAAUGUCAGCGAAUGAAUUACAUGAUGACAGACAUAAUAAGCAAAUCGAAUUUCACAAUGGGAGACUACUACCUCUGUCGGCUCCUUGCUGGCAAGGCAGUCCUUGGGCAACACUUGUUUAACAUUCUGCAAUAGAUAAAAAAAACAGAUGGAAAGACAAAAAAUCAGAAUAGUUCCUUUUACAAAGCUUUUUCCUAGUAAUCAGUAGUCACACGCUUUGGAGAAGUGCAAAAGGGAUUAGAAGAUGACCAAAAAGACUUGAUUAUGAAAUUCAUGUUUUUUAAACAAGCUCCAAGCAUGUCCACAGCUUACCUGGAGGUGAACAACUCCAUCGUAGACAGACCAAAAGGACCUUUCUCCAGAUAUGUCCUUCCUGCCAAAGAAAAGUGGUAGAGCACUUGAGUUUAGUUCAGGUAGGCAUUUAAAAUGAGGGUUACAUUUACUUCCAAGCAGUCUUACGCGUCAAGAAAAAACCCGGCAUCGGGAAGGCAUUUAACUGAAACUUUGUGUGGAAACCGUGCGCUAAAAUCAUCGCAAUGCAGUAUCGUAGCAAGACCACCAGCAGAACAGCCUGUAAGGAGGGCCUGAAAUUGUGUGUACACAAUGAGACAUGGAAAUCACAAGAAUAACGAGUGGUUCUUGUUAAAAUCAUAUGGAGCUGGUAACUGAAUCAAAUUAAGUGUAUGACCUGUGUGGCGUUGGCGAGUCCUUUUCCCAUGAGUUCAUCGAUGACCGCUUCGUAGACGCGCAAUCCUCUGAAGUGGAGUGUGGUUCCAUCCUACGUAUCAUUAACAAACAGCACAUGACCUGAAGCAACCAACACAUGGUCAUUGGAUCAGCAUUCAGAUUUCAGGAAAAAAGAUCACUCACCUGAGCUUGACCUUCCGAAUCCCCAGAAAACGACCCCCCGUCGCAGUACCUUACAUAGGCUCUGUUCCAGUUGUAAAAAUCUAGCAAUGCAGUGGUCAAAAUUAGCUUAAGUAGGUAUAUCAAACAAGUUAUAAAGGGUAGUUUAUACAAACGAACAGUAAAGAGAAACAUACAAAAAAAAUGAUGGAACAGAUGCCUGGGAUGUGAGAGAAGCAGCAAAUUAACUGUGAUUACUACCAGGAUUCUGUAGCUGAUCGCUGCCGAGGAUCCCGUAACCGCCAAACUGCAACGGUUUCAUGAAUUUGGAUGAUCCAAGCUGGGACAUCCUUCGAUUGGAACACUCACUGACGGUGCUGCACCAGCCUCCUCCCUGAUGAGUGUUCUCAACGGGCAAUCAGUAACUGAAUUACUGUAAUUCAGAUGAAAGAGAAGAGGAUGGAUGGUAAUACUGGUACCACCUCUAGGUGGAUGAGCCAGCUGUUGGAUCCGGCGCCGGAGCCUCUCAGCAGAUGGUACGCCGCCGGGGUUCCAUCCAAGCACACUGAAUCCAAAUCAAAUCAAAUUAACUCAAGAUGGAUCAUGGAUGGAAGCCAAAUUACGUCCACCGGACUGAAGAGAAAGAGGCCGUAGCUCGAGUACCUGCUCCCUUCUCUUGGGCGCCGGCGAGGAGGGUCAGUGCGACGGGCUCCGGCAGCCUGCUGCUGCUGCGACGGAGAAGAAGGCCGGUGGCGGCGGCGGCCAGAAGCAGGGCCGCGGCGACACAGGCGGCGGCGCGGCUGGCUGCUGGUGGUCGACGGCCAUGGCGGAGGAGCGGCUGAUCGGCGUCCGCCAUGGACUGAAAUUGUGUGUUUAAUUUUGAAGAUUGCUGGGUUCCAUCGAUCUGGAUUUCGUCUUCUUCUACUCCGUACUAGUAUUAAUCUAAAGCAAAUUGCAAAUGCAUGUGCUCCACUAUUAAAUGAUGGAAGAGACCCGGGAAACGCGUUGGCGGGAGUUUUAUAAUAGUACCAUUUUCAAAUGCUAAUGCCAAGCUUAAUCGGGUAUACUCCGUAGAGUAGUGAAUUCAGUUGUGCAGCACCGUUGUGCAGUUGCAGCUGUGGUUUCUGAGAACAUUGCAACGCGAUGAUUAGGAGACAACAUUUGAAGUAAACUUUAUUUAGUGCCAUACACUCUUGUUAUUUAAUGCAAUCCUUAUACAGCUUCUGUGCAGAUUAUUUAGCUUUUACAUGAAUAUUUGCUCAUUGCUCAAAGUCGAUUUUCUCGUCGUCUCCGCCACACCUAAAAUUUUGGGUUCGCCACCGAUAGUAGAGAAUGAGGCAGACGGCCAUGUGGGGCUGCUGCAUGUGGGGUUGCAUGGAUACAGGCAGUCAAUCUCUUUCACUCUUUUGCUUCUUCCAAAGUGCCAAUCUCCAACAGCCUCUGCAAUACUCUGCUCCACAAAAAUGGCAAACCAAAAACAUAUCAAGCAAAGUAACAACAAUGGGUUCGGCGUUUUUUACGGUCUACAGUUUUUGGCAGUUUUUCUAAAAAUUUCUGCUAACCUUGUUUCCAAGUCUUGUUGAGACUGGUGAAUUCCAUGAGGUGCCAGAAAGAGUCUGGCAGUGGGUGAAGCAUGAGUCGAUGAACAAUCCCCAGUCCUGCUUAUCUUCAACGACGACCUUCAAGUCAUCGACCAUUGUAUUCCUGAAUCCUGUCGAUGGUGAAGAACAAAUACACAGUGUUUUAGGAAACAGAAAAAGGCAGAAGUACCAAGUGACAAAAGGAAAGAUAAACGGAUCGACAAGCAGAGCCAACCAUCGAGGACUUUGAUUUGGGUGGAAUUGCAGUUUGCGAGGUUUUCCCUGCAACUCAACCAUGACUUAUCAGGAGCAGAUGAGCCUGGCACAAGAACAUAUUGUAUCUACGGCACGAAGAAGCGUAGAUUAAUAGUGAGAAUUUGAACAGAGAGAAGUGGAUAUCAGAAGACCAAGAAGAAAAAGAUUGAAAACCACCUGCCAUGAGUCAUAUCCAGAGUUGAGAAUAAAUAUGGGGGUGUGGAUGCUCUUAAUAAGUUCGGCUGGAAAGAAACACUAGGCACUAUAUUAUGUCAGCAAAUGAGCUUGCCGACAAGAUCGGAAGUGUGGGGGAGCGAAUUGAAUUAGACAAGAGAGAAUCACCUCCGUCGGCUCCUUGUUUGCGAGGCAGUCCUUGGGCAACACUUUUCUAACAUUCUGAAAUAAAAACAGCACAAAAAUACAGAUGGAUAAAUCAUUCGUGUACAAAGUGGCAUCAAUUACAUGAAAAUAUGCAAUUAUGGCAUUUGCAAAGCUUCUGUAGAAGUCACGCUUUGGAUAAGUACAAAGGGGGAUGAGAAGAUGACCAGAAGACUUGAUUAUAAAACAAGGAAUCUCUUUUAAAAGCUUCAAGCACGUGACACAGCUUACCUGCAGGUGAACAACACCAUUGUAGACAGACCAAAAGGACCUUUGUCCAGAUAUAUCCUUUCUGUCAGAGAAAAGUGUUACUUUAGUUGAGGUGCAGUGCUAGUGGAUUACAUUUAUUUUCAAGCAGUCUUACACGUCAAGAAAAAACCCAGCAUCAGCAAGGCAUUUAACUGAAACUUCAUGGGGAAACCGUGCACUGAAAUCAUCACAAUGCAGUAUCGUAGCCAGACCACCAGCAGAACAACCUGUAAGGAGGACCUGAAAAAUGUGUAGAAAGAUGAGGUUAUUUCAUUUCAUGUGGCUCUUGUUCACAGCUGAAUAAUAAUGGUCCUUGCUGAAACUGUCAGAAUAACCGAUGGUUAUUGGUAGAAUCAUAUGAACUCGGUAAAUUAAGUAUGACCUGUGUAGCAUUGGCUAGUCCUUUUCCCAUGAGUUCGUCAAUAACCGCUUCGUAAAUGCGCAAUCCUUUGAAGUGAAGUGUGGUUCCAUCCUAUACAUCAUUACCAAUUAACAUCACUUGAAGCAAUCAAGACAGCGACUUCGGAUCAGGAUUUCAGAGAAAGAUCACCUGAGCUUGACCCUCUGCAUCUCCAGAAAACGACGCCCCGUCACAAUACCGAACAUAGACUCUGUUCCAGUUGUAGAAAUCUAGUAUUCACAGAUUAACAUUAGUGGAAGAACAUAUGGAAAAGUAAAAAAAGAUAUGUAAGUUUGACAAUCGAAAUGAGCAGUAAAAGGGACAUGAGGAAGAGAUAGGGACUAGUCUUGUGAGAGAAGCGUCGAUCAGUAAUUACCAGGAUUCUGUAGCUGGUCACUGCCAAAUAUCCCAGCGCCGGCAAACUGCAACGGUUUCAUGAAGUUGGAUGAACCGAGCUGGGACAUCCUGCGAUUGGAGCAAUCCUUGACAGUGCUGCACCAGCCUCCUCCCUGAAGUGUUCUCAACGGGCGAACAAACAAACAUAUAUUAGGACAGUUAAUUGAGCACCCUGCAUCAAGUCUACUGCUUACUAAACACCCUCAAUCCUCAAUGAUCAUGAACACCUCUAGAUGAGUGAUAAAUACUGAAAUUAACCACCUCUAGAUGGACGAGCCAGCUGUUGGAUCCGGAGCCGGACCCUCUGAUCAGGUGGUAACCCGGCGGGGUUCCAUCCAAGCACACUGCGUAGGGGAGCCAACGGAUCGAUGAGAUUCAGACUAGCAUUUAACUCGAGAAAGAAAGAAGCCAAUAGGGUUUUUUUUUUGAAAAAAAGAAGAAGCCAAUAGGUAAUUUGAUCGAACACCUUACCUGCUCCCUUCUCCCGGGCGCCAGCGAGGAGGGUCAGCGCGACGGGCUCCGGCAUCCUGCUGCUGCGGCGGAGAGGGCCCGGGGCCGCGGCCACCAGCAGCAGGAGGAGGAGGACCGCCGCGGCGAAUCCCCAGGCGGCGGCGCGGUUGGCUGGUCGACGAUGCCGCUGCGGUAGGACUAGGAGGAGCGGCUGCUCGGUGUCCGCCAUGGUCGUGGCGGGUAAGCGGGGAAGGAAACUGCGUGCUGAGGACAGCGAGGUUGGAUGCUGGAUGCGGCAUGAUUCCUGCUUCUUCUCCUUCUUGUUGUAAUCGAGAGAGAUUGUCGUGGACUCCACUCCACCAGUAGUUAGCUCUGUUCUGCUACGUCCUUCCUCCUGUCCUCUUCUCCUGCCGUUUGUUGGCGCGUUGCUGCGAGGACAAACAAAAAAAAACCGUGCGAAAGUUUAUAAAAUCAAAUUUUUGUUUAAUUUAAAACUGCUUGCUGAAUAGCCUCUUUAAGAGUUUCAGCCCUACUACACCAUUUCUGCAUCUUCGUUGGACAACACGUUGAAUGGAAAACAGUCUCUGGAUUCAGAUAUAAACCACAGCCAAGAACAGGUGCAGCAGCGUGGAUUAAUCUCCAAAAUACGCAAUAUACCAGUACAGGAUCACAGGAUCAGUCGCUACAAAACUAAACGACUGGCUAACUGACUGGUUUGAAACAUCGCCGCAAGUAAGAAUUAUCUCACCUCACAUUGGGGGGUUUGUUUAUUUAUUUAUCUACACACCAUCAUCAUGUAUUUACAAAACCAAAAAAAAAAACUCCCUCCUCCAGAUCACCAUUUCAGGACAAACGCACUCGGGCGGUGGUCUCUUGCGCAGGAAGCCACUCCACCAGAGCUCGCAUCUGAAAUCUCCGGCUCGCCUGAUUCAUCAGGUCAGGCGGCUAUGACCUGAGAAACGAAAAGAAACAAAGAAAAAGGUCAUCAGCAUUAUCCGUCGCACCGCACAGGUUCGCCAGGAAGAAUGAAAGGGCAACAGUUUUUUGUAGCCUCAUACCAGCGCACAGGGAUUACGGACACCGUCGUGGCCGCUUUUCUUGGCGCCCCGGUUCCCGCUGCGCGACUUCCUCUUAUGCUUCUGUUUCUGCUGGUUCUUGUCCUUCUUCUUAGACCUGGGCCUCUGCUGUUGGUCGCUCUUCACCGAAUGGUCAACAGAAGUGACCGGGGGGUCGUACACAUCCGGGUCCCACUUCACGCGGCGGUUCUCAGCCAGCAAUGCUUCCCCGCUUUUCUCACGGCCUCCUUUCAUAGCAGAGAUGAGCCUCGGCAUCGGCUGGAUAGAUAUAGAACGGAGGAAUGAGGGUGGAUAAUUUUAACUCAAGCCACCCCAAGGGUAAAAUUAACUAUACAUGGUAGAAAUGAGAAUGCUGUCGAAAUUACAGUAUCAUCUAUCAGAAAUGUGAAGCUCAAAUGUACAAAUACCAGGCAGGAAGAGAACUAUACUAAGUGGCUAAGAGCAGUUUCAGGAUCAUUUAGCGUUGCAUGUUUAAGCUUGGCUUAUUCAUAUUGACAUCACAGAGUGCCAAGCCUACACUACUAGAAAUAAUAGUUUGAUAGGCUCCUCUGCAACAAAUACUACAAUUGGCCUGGGAAUUUAUAAUGAAUGGAAUGGGCACAAUAAUGAGUCAAAUAUAUUUUUCCUAAAUUAAUAUUUCCAAAGCAGAAAGGAUCAGUUAGCAUUGCAGUUUUUGUUCAUACAGAUAAUCCGAGAUGUAUAAUUUUCCAUAACACCAUACGCUAAGAGCAUCGAUAGACAACUAAAGCAAGCUCAACAAAAUUUAUCAAGUUGAACUCACCGGAAGGGACACUGCACGCUCGUAAGUGGAGGGUUCCUUUGAUUCGCUGUCUUCCAAGGCAUUAUGGGAGUUCCCAUCAUCUCCUUUGCCUCUCUUUGUUCCUGAGCUGGUAGAACCUGAGAUAUCCACUUCAAUCUCCAAAGACUCGACAUCCCUGCCUUGUUUAUGAGUUGCAUCCUCGCUAUGAUGGAGUUCCCCAACAGAACAUGGAGUUUUCCCUGCUGGAGGAAAUCCCUCCUCUAGCAGUGCUGCGUGAUCCUCCAUUGGUACUCCUUCAGAACCACAAGGCAAAUCACCCAUGAAGUUGUUUACCACUGCAAUAAAUCUGUUAGGUAUUAGUGGUACACAUAGAGAACUAGAAUCUACUCCCUCAGUUCCUAAAUACUUGUCGUGGUUUUAGUGCAAAUUUGCACUAAAACCACGACAAGUAUUUAGGAACGGAGGGAGUACUAUUUAUCAUAGAAAAAAAUAUCAUGGUUAUUGCCAAAGUGAAAUUGUAGGAAGAGACCACUUUGCUUGUGUUUAUUAGAGUAUAAUCAUAGGGUCGUGAUAAGGAUCAUGUAAAGUGCCAAUAACUAAUUAAAAUUCCAAAGAACUAAUCUUUUCUCAAGCAAUGUUAAAUUGUGGGUGCAAAUUGACUACAUUGAGUCGAGGAUGACCACGAAAGACAUUGGAAACAUGUUGACAAUAAUUUGAAUGAUACACGUGUAUCCGCAGUGAUCAGCACGCCACGAAAACCCAGUGUCCGGUUCGGUCUUACACAUUUAAUCGUCGAAUCUGCGAUCCCCUCUACAUACCGGGUCCGGACAUCCGUGAAUGCAGAAUCCAGUUUGCAGGCAUAACCAAAUCAUUAACAAGAACAAGGCAGGACUAACUAACUAUGCAAGGAUCGUACUAACAAGCAGGUCACAGCAAUCUUUGAACUACUCUCUCGUGUGCCGUCACGGUGAUCCCCCUCUAUAUACCCGGCCAUUCACUUGAAUACACGAUACAUCCGUGAAUGCAGAACCCAGUUUGCAGGCAUAAGUAAAUGAUUAGCGUAUUACCUCUACAGAUCCACGGACGGACGAACAGAUCAAGGAUUCCGCGGCGCGUCGGAUGCGGGGAGGCAGGUGGCAGACGAGAGAGUGGCGAGGGGGAGAAGUUCAAGUAGUGCUGAGAUACGAGCACGUUUAUAGGAAGCGAAGGGAGCUAGGCGAGCAGGGGAAUGGAAUCAGGAGAAGGAGGAGGAGAGGUGGGGGUGCCAGGAAGAGGAUAUGGAAGGCUUGAGGCGGUGGGAGCAGGAGGCGGAGGGGACGAGGGCGUCGCCGAAUGAGAAGGAGAAGGAGGCUGGGGCGGCGCCCAGCGCCGGUUGCAUCGCGGCCGCCUCCGCGCCGGUGGGGCGGCGGUCGACGGUGCGGAUGAGGGGGAGAUUGCUCGCCGGCAGCGGCAGCGCCGUCAGUGAGGUCAGAUCUGGCUGGCUGGAUGGAAGUGGAAGGGAAGGCGAGUCUGAGCGGAGACGACGACUGAGGCAAGUAUAUUGUCUGAAGAGAGGAACACUGGGCUGGGCUUGGAUAUGCCUGUUCUAGAAGGCCCAUUUUGCCCAAACAAGAUCAACGCCCAUGUAACAAACUGUUUGACUAAUUUUUGUUUCAGACAAAAACCUUUUUUUCGAAACUAUUCUAAGCCCUGGAUAAAACUCCCACCUAAACGAUCUUCCUCCAGCUAAUUAUCGAUGAGACAAAACAAAAUUGUCGAUGAGAUAUUCCAUGUCCCCCAGUCUCCCACAUACAUCGUCUGGGACACUUUUAUCGGCUACCACAAAAGCUUUUCGUCCGAGAUCAUUGCCGAGUAUAACUUGAUAGCCGCCUUCAACAAUGGAAGACGCUAUACUAAUUGGGUUAUCAACUGGAUUAUGGCAUUUAACUUCCUCACUCGUCACAACUUCCUUUCUUGUGCGCGAUAUGCUGAUGGCUCGUGGGAUGGGACACAUCAUCACACCCCACGAGGGUAUGGCGGUCUAGGGUUUUACCCGUGCACGUCGUCGGUUUUUACAGACAAGCAUGGCAUUAAGCGAGUAAUUGGGUACAUCCAUUCACUAAUUGAGACAAGUCGUCAUUGAGGUCACUGGCUUCGUGGUUGACAAGUGACUCUUUCCACCCCUCCUCGGCACCAACAUGCCCAACUCCUUCUGACACGCGACAACAAUAAUGGGCAUGAAACAUAGGCCAACAACAUACCAAUAGACAGUAUGGAAGCAAAUGCGAUUGUACACUAAUUAUACAUCAAAUGCUCUUGUGAUGCUCGUAUGUCGAUCUUCUAUUCACUAAAAGAGGCCUCAUUUCCUUUUAUAUGAGGGGAGGCCAAGGAGACGGGGAAUGGGAGCUCUGUUCUAGCGGCAUUACUACAGAAAGGCUUAUCAGUAAUGGUCGAAAAACAACAUCAGUAACGGUCGGGGCCGCCGUUACUAACUUCGUGUUACUGAUGGUGGGUAUCAUCAGUGGCGGGCAGCCUACUUGGUGACCGACAGUGAUGAGUUUUGAGCGAAAUCAAAAAAGCUCAUGGCCAGCAUAUUAUUAUGCUAGCCAUGCUUUUCUUUUUCUAAUUGUGUACAAAUUCUGCAGUACAGAUAGUAGAAGCAGUACGGGAAAAUCAACAUCAAAACGUCAAAUGCAUUCACAGCAGAAGAUAAUUAGCAAUCAAGUUGUGUGCAUUCACAGCAGAAUAGAAUUAGAAAUAAAAAAUUACAUGGUCGCAUCCAUUCACAACAAAGAUUACAAAAACAAAUCACGAAAGAAAAGCCGAUGUCCAUGAUCUGCUAUACACAACGACGAGAGGCCGGAUCCGACGGCGAUGGUCGUGGCCUGUGAGAGAGAGACAGUGAGAGAGAGAACGAGACACACACACAGAGAGAGAGAGAGAGAGUGGGGGGUUACGGGCGGCUGGCGACGGGGGAGCCCGGAUCCGGCCGCUGCUGGCUCGAGGGAGAGGCUGGAUCCGGUGCCGGAAUGGGUUGGCGCCUGCGGAUCCGGCGACGCCUCGCCACGAGGAAGGAGACCGGGGGGCGGGAAGAAGAUGGGCGGGCCUCCAUAGAAGGAUAGAGAAGAGAGCGUGAGAGAGGGAGGAUUGUGCGAGGGGAGAGGAGGGGAGGAGAUGGCGAGGGCGGAGGCGGCCAAGGACGGGAUCAGGGGCGGAUCCGGCGGCAGCUUCCCACGGCGGCGCGAGGCAGGCGGCCGGUGCCGAGGUUAGGGGUCGCCGGCUUCCCAUGGCGCUGGCAGAAGAAAGAAGGGGUGGGGCUUGGGGAUCUUGUGAGAGAAGAGAUCGCGCGGGCAGAAGAGAGGGAGAGAAGAUCGCGUGAGAGAAGAGAGCAGAGGGAGAGUUCGGGGGAGAGAAGAGAGAAGGGGUGGGGCUUGGGGAGGGGUUAUUUAUACCACCCUCUCAAACCAUAGCAAAUACUGGGCGGGCCAAAUUAAAGAGCUAGGCAGAAAUGUCUCCAGAGCUCAUCAGGGGCGGGCUUAGAUUUCAAGCCCGCCACUGAUGUGUGUUUUUGUGAAUUUUGUUAUUUUUCACAUCGAAUCAUUAGUGACGGGCCUCGCGAGCCCGUUACUGAUGAGUGGUCAUGAGUGACGGGCUCUGUGUGCCCGUUACUGAUGAGUGGUCAUCAAUGACGGGCGUGGUGUGCCUGUGACUGAUGAUGGUCAUCAGUGACGGGAAUGAAAGGCCCAUCACUGAUGACUCGUCACGUAUACACUGUUUUGUAGUAGUGCGGCGACGGCUCUUCAUCUCAGUGGAGAAGCUAGGAAGACAUCUCAUGGGAGGAGAAUCCUACAACACUAUGUUUUGGACAUAUGAAUCCGGGCUUCCAAUUGCCCAUCUGGUAUUUGAAGGCCCAGAAUCCACUGAUUGGAUGUUUUUGGCAUUGGCGCGUGGAAAUCAAAACCAAUUUCGAGCCUGCUCACGGGCGCCUCCAUUUAUUACACUGCAACGCAUAGCCCCACACCCUUGGUUUUUGCCUAUAAUUGGGAUCUCAUGUACUUAUUCGAACGAAACCCACAAGGAGAGCCCCGUGCGAGCUCGGGAGAAGACGAGACCCAACGCGAUUCACCCCGGCGGCGGCGACGACGCAUGUUGCCCCCUCCCACCCUCUUCCUCCUCCUCCUCCCUCAGCCGUCCCUUCCCUCCAGCAGCCCCCCUCCAACCCUAGGUCAACGGGUGGGAGGCGGAACUACGACAGCGGCUGACUAGGAGGCCGAGAUUGUCCACCUUUGCAUCUCCCCAAGCCGACCUCUUCUUGGGCCUCUUCUUCCGCUUCGAAUACUUUCCUCGUAGUUGCAGCCGAAAUCAUCAUUUUUUGGGGGGCUAAUCGUUAGAUCUGUUGCAAUUGAACAAUUCCGUGAGAAGUGGUAACACGUGAGGCCGAUUGGAGGUAGUAUGAUCUUUCCUAUUUUUCUGCUCUAAUGUGAUAUGAUUUCAUAAUACAUAUGUGAUGGUGUUUGUUCUGGAAAAUUAGUGCCUAGACUCCGAAAAUCAAUUCACAAAUUGGUGCCUCCCAAGUCCCAACGCGGGCAGUGAAAUUAUUUCCUGCUGCUGCGAAAUUUUGGAAUCCCGUUUCCACUAAUCGGAAAAAGCACACCCCAAUAGGCAAUAGCGAAGAGAGAAAAUCCCAGCGUUCUGAUUGGUCCGUCCGACCGUCCCACGGAUCGCGCCCCCCCCGGAAAGAAUCCCAGCCGCCCGAUCCUCCCAGAUCCAACGGCGGGCCCACCACGUCACGCGGAUCGGGGCCUCCGGGCCCUCCCAUAAAAUCUGCGUCCUUCCACGUCAUUCCAAACUACUCCAAAUUUCAAAAUCCGCCGCAGAAGCCGAAGCCUCGUCCCCAUUUGAAAUCCACCGCAGUCCAGAAGGUUCAGCUCGUCGGAGAAGAUGGCCGGGAGGAAGGCCGGAGGGGAGAGGAAGAAGGCGGUGUCGCGGUCCGUCAAGGCCGGGCUAACGUUCCCCGUCGGCCGCAUCGGGCGCUACCUCAAGCACGGCCGCUACGCCAAGCGCGUCGGCUUCGGCGCCCCCGUCUUCCUCGCCGCCGUCCUCGAGUACCUCGCCGCCGAGGUAACCACAACACUCAGCAGCGUGCCUCUUUGCUCUCAACCAUCUCGUCUCGAUUCCUGUUCCGUUCGUCGGCUGAUUUCGUUUUUCCGUGGAAUGUUGUUGUUGUUUCAGGUCCUGGAGCUCGCCGGGAACGCGGCCACGGACAACAAGAGGAAGAGCAUCAUGCCGCGCCACCUGCUGCUCGCCAUCCGCAACGACGACGAGCUCGGCAAGCUGCUGGCCGGCGUCACCAUCGCCCACGGCGGCGUGCUGCCCAACAUCCACUCCGUGCUGCUCCCCAAGAGGGCCGCUGAGAAGGCCGCCGCCGCCGACGACGAGAAGGAGUCGCAGUGGCCCAAGAAGAAGAAGACCGUCGCCAAGAAGCCCGCUGCUGCCGCUGAGGACGCUGCCGACGGCGACGCGGACGCGGGCGCCGCCGCUGAGGAGUAGCUCCGUUUGGUCUGGCCUGCAUUGCAUAGGGGAGGGAUGGGAUUGCGUUUUUGCUGAUUAGUUCCAAAUGAGAGGGGGGUGAUACCUUUUGCUUAGUAACUGUAUGUAUUGGUGGUGGUGGUUCAACAUAACAACUAGUAGUGCUUGAUGUCGAGUUCUUUGGUAAUGGAAGCUUAGAACUGAACUGUUUUUGCAGUCUGAUCAUCUACUCAAUCGGUGCAAUAAUUUUGUUGCAACCUCCUAUCCUAUGUGCUGUUUCUCUUUGUUAAUUCUUCACUGUAUCUCGAUCACGAGGCGCCUUGUGAUUUGAUUUCCUUUGUGCUACCAGUAGAUUUUAGAUUGUGUUCUCUUUGUUUUUCUGCUGUGGCUUGUGAGGAUGAUUGGUGUAAUAACUAGGUUGAACGGGGUGUAAAUCGUAAAUGUUGGUAGGGAUGGUCUGAUUCGAGCGGACUGAGCUCUGUUGUUGUUUUGGGUUCUUUUCUAGGGUUUACCGGGGAUGCUGAUUUGGGGAGGGAAGGCGUUGGCUUCUUCUACCAUUCCUUUGCGGAAUCUGCUGAAUCGAAGUGCCAAUUUCUCCUCAUGCUCCAAAUUGUUCGUCGGAGGUAAGAUUUCGUACAUCUCUCUCGUCCUGUGUACGCAUGUUCUGCAGUUUCUGGUCGAUUCGUUUGAAGCCCGUAUACUCCUGGUCUUGAGUUUCUAGUCAAUUUGUUCGAUGCUUGUAUCCAAACAAUUUUCUUCAGAUCGGUUGUGCUUCCUGUUAAGACUUAAGACAUUGUAAUUUGCUAACCUACCUAGGAAGAUGGGGCUUCCUGCUGAACUGCGAAUCGUCCUGAUUUGCUGUUUGGAAAUGUUGUGCAUCAUAUUGUCUCUUGAAAUUCAUGCUAGCACUAUCUCUGACUUCAACUAAAUGUAAAUGUUAGGAAGAAUUUUCCUGAACAUCAAACAAUGCAUGCCUAGUGCUGACUUAUGUUUUGAUGGCCUGCUUUUUCUUCCAUUGAGGUUACAGGUUUGUCCUAUGACACCAAUGAAAUUGCUCUGAAGGAUGCAUUCUCUCAGCACGGUACUGUUACCGAAGGUGCUUCUCUAUCUGCUUUGACUCUGUUUGGUGUUUGAUCUGUGAUUUGUGUGGAUUUGGGGUUGUCCUUGUCCCCUAACUGAUGGAUUUGUCCGACAGUGAAAGUAAUAUGUCAUCCUGUGACGGGGAGAUCGAAAGGAUAUGGGUUUGUCAAGUUCUCUUCAGAAAGUGAAGCUGCUGCAGCAUUGGAGAAGAUGAGCAAUGAGGUAAAAUGUGCUUCACUGCAUCUGUAGAUAUGGCACGAGUCAGUGCAAUUCUUUUCCUUUUGCUAACACAAUUUAUCCACAUGAUAAUCGUUUCAGUUGCUCGACGGAAGGAACAUACGUGUACACUAUGCAAACAGCGGAUAAUCUGCGGCUGCUGUUGAGAUUGGUAAGUUGCUUAUUCGAUAUCAUUUCUUUUGUUUGGAACCUGUGAUGUUAGAUGAACCCCUAAACAUAGCUCUUGAGUAUUGAUUAUUUCAUUCAGGUUCUCUCUAAAUUCCCGUUGCAAUUUCUAAACCAGCCUGGGGCGUCUCUAAAUUCCCGUGCCAUUCUCUACUAGAACAGAUUUGGGGGGUCUAUUUUAGGUAGUGCUGCUGGAGGAAACAACGAAAUUUGGGUAGAAUGAAAAAAUUCAGUAGCUACCUAAACAGAGAAGUAGUGGGUGUGUUUCAGGUAGUAUUGCACGAAAGGUACCUCAUUGUCGUCGCCACCGAAUGAGAUCUAAUUCCCGAGCUGAAGGGCGUUCUUCUGCUGCUUGAAUCUUCCCUAUCUGUAAGGAAGAAACUCUAAGAUCCGUUGAUAAGCAUCGAUGACAACUAUAACACAGGAAAAUGAGCUUUUGUACCUUGUGUCAUGGUGUGAAAGUAAUAUGGAGGCUUGGGGGUGGAGUCUGCAAAUCAGUAAUGGGAGUGAUUACAGAGAAGAAAACCACAGGAAACAUCUACAGGAUAGUAAAUAUGCAAGGUAAAAAUGAACAACAAGGAACUCACAUGCAUCGUGAAGCAGCGGUGGAGACUGUUCACUGUCCGAAAUCAACUGGGAGGAAGGAGUGCAUUGACCAACCCCAGUAGGCAGAGGACCACCAUUUAGUUUAUCUUCGGCCGCAUGCUCAGUGCUGGAGCAUCAUUUUUGUUUGGAGUAGCUUCAUGCAUCUGUGCUGGAGCACCAUCCUGGGUCGAUCAUGGGCAUCGGUUUAUCUUCUCACUGCAUGCAUCUGUGUAUUUUCUUUAUUUAAAAGUUGAGUUUUCGGAAUUUUGGAAAGAAAGAAAUAGUGCCCCAUUUUGUUGAUGAGCACAGCAAGGGGCGGUAGGAAUGUCCUUUAUUUGUGACUUGCUAUAACACAAAGAAGUGCAAUUCUCUUUCUUAUUUUAUUAAAAUAGAUAGCUUUGUGCAGCUUGUUUCAUUCGUUGAGUCGUACGUAUGUUUUGUUUAUGCGCCUUGUAUGGUAGAUUGCUUCCAUUGAACUCACACCUUAUACCAUUGUGUCUAGUCCCACCGGCCUACUAUGCCCAGAGUGGCGCAGUCGAUGCAGUCCUAGAAUGGAGAAGAAAGAAUGAAGAAAAGAUGAAGUAACCCUUCCAAGAGAUAAUAAAUGAGAUGCUCUAUGUAUUAACUCAAGUGCAAGGUUCAUUUCUUCCUGUUGAACAGACGUGAUAUUUGUCAACCUGAUGGUCAUGUGGAUAUUUAGUUUUGUUAAUGUUAACAGUUUGGAUAAAAUUUGCUCACAUUGAAUGAGAUGUUCUUAUUUUAGAAGGAUGCUAUCGUGUUUAAUCAUGUGCGUUGAGAGCUCUUAUUUAUUUAGGGUAGAUUUACAUGAGUGAUUGCAUUGUUAGCCUUAUUUGUUGUAGAUUUGUGAGUGGUUGCAUUUUUAAGCUAGAACAACACUUACAUUUGAAAAUUUUGAUUGAAGAAGAAAAAAACGCUAGUUUCAGAUGUACGGCUCCCAGCGCUAAUGGGGCGACUUAUUAGUACACUCUGUUCGUUGUGGCCACUUAGACCUAAUUUUGGUCGGUUACCCUUCCGUUUUGUACUUUUGGUAUGUCCAAAAGCCUGUGUGUGUAGGGUGAUUUACACCAGAUUUGUUCUAGCUUUUAAAUAUGGGCUACUCACUCUGUUUUUGGUAUGUACAAAUGUUCUAGGUUCAGGAAAAAAUAUUCCAGCAUUUUAAAAAACAUUCCAAAAAAAUUAUCCAAAUAUUGUCAAGUAUGGUCUUAUUUCAAAAAUCUCACCAUAAGAAACAUAAUUGUGCAAACGAAAUUUAAUUUGCACACCUGAUUUCUUUUGUUUUUAAUCAUGGUGGGCUUUGUUGGUACUGGGCCUUAUUGGGCCAAAAUUGCAGUAGGAAGAGGGCUGUCGUACUUAAAAAAAAACUUUGUAGAGUUGCACUUUAUUUUAAAUUUUUUGGCUAUGGUGGUAUAUGACUGCACUGCAAGCUUGUAACUAUUGAUUGUACUUUCUUAAAAAAGCUUAUUGAUCGUACUAGAGCUACAUGGGGAGGAAAUUUUCCUGCAGGGUGCGAAGAAUGAAUCUGUAGUUGUGAGGAUAGACAACUGACGAAAUGGUCCAGCUGCAUAUCUGAGGAUUCUGUCAAGAUUCAUACUUUCCUGCAGGGUGCGAAGAACGAAUCUGAUGUGGAAACUUAAAGUCCCCCCCAAGAUUCAUACUUUCCUGUGGCUGCUGGCCAAAAACAAACUUCCCACUAGAGACAACUUAGAAAAAAGGAAAAUGGGAAAACCUACUGAUUGUGUAUUCUGUGCUCAGAAGGAAUCGAUUAAUCAUUUGUUUUUUGAAUGUGCUGUAGCUCAGUGUGUCUGGGCUGAGUUUAAUUCUAUGUUUCAACAGCACAUUUCAGAUUUUGUUUCUCUCGCUGGACAUUGGGUUAAUCAUAAGACGAUGGCUGUGCUUAACCUAAUGUCAGCAGCAGUCCUGUAGGGGCUGUGGAAAUGUAGAAAUGACAUUGUAUUUAACAAUGGCAUUGGUUGAACAUCAAGCAGGUGUGCGGGCUGGUGCUUCGGCAUGUCAACUUCUGGAGCUUCCCCCUAAAAGAACCUGCUCAGGAGGCUCUAUCCUAAGGUGCAACUCGGAUCCUGGGAUUUCUGAGACAGCCCUUGCUGCUGUCUUAGAAGGUGACUGGCUGCGCCUGGAGAUGCUGAAGGAGUCGACAAUGUUCAAGCCUGUCGUCAUCGAUGUUGGGGAUGAGGCACCAGGCGUGGCGGUCCACUCGUUCUACAUGUACUGAGGACCUGCUUUUCAGAUCUGCGAGUAGGAAGUUUUGUAAUCUGUCCAGUAGUUUGCUCGUUUAGGCGUUUUAUUGCUGUUCGGUACUAAGGCCUUUGUGGACCUGGAGACUUUGUUUCGGUUGGUGAGCCUGACGCUGGGGCUUCAUCUUUAUAAAAAAGAUGGCGACCCCUGUUUUUCUAAAAAUUAUUUGCUGCUUCUUUCUGAAUUUAAGUGCAGUUCGUAAAUUAAUUACAAGCAUCCCUUAUCUGCCUUCAAUUCUUUAGCCUGAAAACUUCUGUUUGAUAUAUAACUGUCAGUGGCUUGUUUAUAUGACUUUUAAAAUGCCGUUUGGCAGUGUAAUGGCGGAAGAAAUGACACAGCUUGUGAGACUAAAUGCACUUAAUAUUGCUAAUUCUUUUGAUGCAGGAACUAUGAAACGCCAGUGUUCCUUUUGUUGACAAGCAUGUCCUGAACCUUAGCUUUGGUCAAGUGAAUUCGGGUAUUCCAGAAAAUCCACAUCACAGUCAGUUGAUGUUACUUAACCUGUUUAGUUCUUCCUUCUCUAGAGCACAUGUUUACCAGUGAGAUGAUUUGCACUUGGAACUGGAAAAAGGGGGGAAGUGCACUGAGCACAUGUUUACCUUCUCAGGUUUUGGACUGUAGACAAGGCAACAUUUUUUAAAAACCAAAGCUGCCUCUUAUUUUUGUUCUGAGAUUGCCAACUCUGCUUUGUGUCAUAGAUAUAUAACUGUCAGUGGCUUAAGCAACAGGAUGAUUGAUUCAGCACAAAUGGGUAAAAAAAAAAUACCAUAAAUCUCAUAUUCAGCGCAACCAGCCAAGAAUAUUACAUAUGGUAGCUGGAAAAAGAAUGCCUUCUUUACCUGGCCUAGUGCCUUAAUUCAGGCUUGAGAUGAGCUGUAGCUCAUGAUAUACUAGAGUAUAUAUAUAUGUAGGAAACAGAAAACAAGAAUGUAUAUGUGUUUAUGAAGUAACAUCUGGAUCCACAGUAAUUUUUCGUCAACAUCUUCCAGCAAGCGACAAGGCAGCAGAUGCCUACCUCCUUAGGCCCUCAACAAUGUAGGUAGCAUAAAGAUCCCUGAAACAAAAUGUUGCAACAUGAGCUGACUGAUAUGAUGACUUGGAUAGACAUGAUUCAAUAAGAAACCGUAUAUAGCUGAGGUUGAGAACUGACAUGGAAUGCUGAAUGGCCUCGUAAGCAUCAUUUGAAGGGAGGAAGUCAUUGACAGCCACCUCCUUGUUCUCAUUCUUCUUGUCUGAAUUCCCAAAUUAAAGAAACUAUAUAGUUGGCCAAAGAAGUAGGCAUAGCAUGUAGUUUCCAAUACACAUGGUGACUGGUCAGAAGUAUUGAAGAAUCCAACUACUUCUAGCUAUUUCCAAGAUCUAGAGUUACCAAGUGUCUGUCUAAUAAAAAAGGGAAACUGGCAUAAGCGAUUAACACAUAAGAAAAGGAUACAGUCCUCGAAGAAACGCCUGAUUUCAGCGAGACGGUGGGGAGGGAGGUCCUUGAUGUCAUUGAAGUGCCUGUACUCGGGAUCGUCGGCGCAGACGGCGAUGAUCUUGUCAUCGGCCUCUCCCUGUCAACAAGAAGAUGGAGCUUGGUCAGACAACAACGAAAAAGCAAGAGACGUUGUUGGUCAGUAGACAAUGAAGAACAACAACAAAAAAAAAACAGAACCUGGUCGAUCAUGGGCAUGAGCCCGAUGGCUUUUGCCCUGAGGAAGCAUCCUGGGACGACGGGCUCCUGCAUGAUGACGAGGACGUCGAUGGGGUCGCUGUCGUCGCAGAGCGUGCGAGGGAUGAAUCCGUAGUUGUGCGGGUAGACGACGGAGGAGUAGAGCACCCGGUCCACCUUGAUGAGCCCCGUCUUCUUGUCCAGCUCGUACUUGACCUUGCUCCCCUUGGGGAUCUCGAUCACGCAGUUGAAGAUGGUCGGCGCCUCGGGGCCGAUCUCCAGGUCGUGCCACGGGUGCGCCGCCACGGACCUCCGGGAGAUGGACGACAGGAUCCGCUCGUUCAGAGCCGGUGUCUUGGGCUUCUGCUGCCCGUUGGUCGCCGCUGCCACUUCCGCUGGAGGAGCCAUCUUCUUCUUGGGUUCAAUCGAUCUACCUGAAAUCAACAGAGGAAGAAGAGAGGGGAGAGAUGUGCAUAUAUUGAGUGAGAUCUGAAGAAGGUGAAAACGGGAAGAACAAGAGACGGACGCAACGCACCCUGGAACUUUGAUUUGUUUAAUCAAGGAAUCAAUCAAUCCUGUUUGCCUUUGGUGGACAAGAUGGAUGGAUGGAGAAUUGGUGCCGCCUUCCUUCUCUUCUUAUAGCCGGCCAGCCAGCCGGGGAAGAUAAGGAGACGGGCCAGGGAGGGAAGGAGGAAAUUAAAGGAAGAUCUGUAAAGCGCUGGCUGGGCCUGCAAUGGCAAAAUUAACCUCGUUGAUUAAUUCAGUCUGAAUUGCAGUGCCGGCGUCAACCUCCAUGACUCCAUGAGUGACGUGCCUCCACGUGGUACAUGGAUCAGAGUACUAAAAACUAACCUCGUUGAUUAAUUCAGUCUGACUUGGCCGACUGCCGUUGCGACGUCACCACGGCCACAUCUUAUGAUUCUUAUCCCCUCAGGAUUAGAGAUUAGAUCGAUCGGGGGAGUGUUUAUCUAGCUUUUUUCACACAAGUCACCCAAAUUCACCGACGAUUUCACGCUGCCACGUAACCAAGGUACUUGUGCCUUUGUCGGUGCCACUUAAUUUGUGCAUUGCACCGACGACGUUGAUGCUUCCUCCUGUGCAUCAUGUACUCCAAAAAGAAAAAGGAAACUAUGCAGCUGUCUCCGUGUGAUCCAACUAACCCCAAAUCACGCAUUUCAGCCUUUGGACGUGCGUGCAGGACUACUACUACUACUUCAGUUGGACGCGCUUCUAGUUGCAUUCCUGCUGGCUGCCUGGCUGGUCUCGUUAAUUUUCUUCUGCAGCACCAUGUAAUGUAAAUAUACUCCUACGUGUGUACGUAAACGUAGCUGGGGGAGAACCAUCCGCCAGAAUUUAGGACCAGUGUAUAUCCUAAACUAGUCUUGCAUUGCACAUUCACAUGCCACAGCUCAACCAAUUGUCUGCUUAAUUUAGUUUUGCUGCAAAGAUAGUGCUGGUGGAGUAGCAACAGCUAGAUAUGGCUUCUGAUAAACAAUUCAUCCCGCGCCUUGUUUGUUAGAGACCUCGCAGCUUUAUGCGGUACUAUAAUUAAUUUCGUCUAAAAUAAUGCUUACAUAUGGAGUACCUAGUCUACUAGCUGUGAUGUGAUGUUGGCAGGCGCACAUACAUCACCACCCCCUCCUCAUGACACUCUUGUUCUGCUUCUUCUUCCGGUUUGUCAGUUGAUUUUUUUUAUAAAAAAAUACUAGUGUUACUUUGAUGACACUCGAUCAAUCUGGCUCCCAACCACAACAGGGAGCACAAAAAAACCGCACUUAAGCAACAGCGCUAUGUUACUAACUUUGAGACUAGUGAUUCAAGUACGUACGAACACUUGUGAAAGCCAAAUUUUGGUGAAAUGGAAUUAUACAUGGCAUCAGUUGGGGAGUCACGUGUCAUUGGGUCGAUUUUGGGGAGAAGCAAGAGAAGCAUCGUGGACUAUCUAUGUAUGUAGCUGUUGGUGCUAUCGGAUAUCCCGUCAGAAUAUCCAUCCCAUCUGAAUUCUGAAACUCUGCGUGCUCAUGGACGCCACCGACAGCUCCCAGAGUUGAGUGGCAGACUUAUUACCUGACGGAGGAUCCAGCACCGACACACGCUCCUUCCGGCGUUCCAUCUUUCCCUUUUUUCUUUUCUUUCCUUUUCCAGUUGGGCGAGAUGCUUGGCUUAGCAAUCACAGCUCAUCGGCAUAUAUAGGAGUAUCUACCAAACGAAUCGCACAUAUACGACACCUGUAGAUUAAUGAUUCCUUAAUUAAUAUAUUUCGUGACUUCGCAUCUCGCGACUCAACAAUUAUGCAACCAACAGGAAGGCACGCACGCACGUAUGACCUCUGAAAAAAAAGAGAGGAAAAACACGGUCAAUUCUUUCCUGUACAAGAAAAAUAAGACAAGAAUCAAUACUCGCACAAACUUUUCUCCGUGCCAUCUCAUGCGCCGGAGUAUGCGAAAAUGGUGCUAGUAGAGAUGCGACGGGAGGAAUAAACUGGUUCGAUCCGUUAUUCCGGUCCGAUGGUGCUGAAUAAACUGACUGGCCUUAAAGAAGCAGCAACAUGCUAUGCACAGGCCACAACGUCCUCAAGUCAAUAUCUCACCUUCUAGACCGUCCGUUACUUUUUACCAAUUUUAUUUUCUUUUCAUUCACCACCUCCAUCUGCCCAGCACUAGUCACCCAUCAACAUAAUGCACAUGUGUUUAUGCCAUACCGUGUUUGUGUGAACAAAGAGACAGGGCAUCAAAAUAUAUGCUGAUUGAGUGCCUACAGCCGCUUGGACAAGCAGGACUAGUCCUGCCAGAAUCUGUUGACAGCUUCCUCUCUUCCUUUCGCUGCAUCAAUUUUUUUUGUUUUUUUUUGGGUGUGAUUUUAUCAUGUGUUUAGAUGAACCAAUACCAGCAGGCAGCUAGCAAUCCGUCAAGUUCUGGCAGGAUCUAGAUAACGGCUACACAGGGCCCUCUCUCAACAGCAGCUGGCUCAUCGGUACUCAGGAAUCACUCGCGAAAUUCUCCUAGCUGAGAUGGAGAAGAAGCAAUUCAGUAGUUGCGCUUCAUUUCAGAAGCCUGCAGGACCGAGAAGCAAAUACCACUAGAAAGCGGGAUAAUAACGAAACCAAACCAAACCAUCGAGGAAUUGCACUUACUUUCAUUCAUUCAGUGAGAACAGAGCAGUUUGGCUACUCCUGAUUAACUGAACCGAGACAGAACCUGAGAUGCACUGCUGUAUGACAAAAAACAUACUGGAGUAGUAGGAGCCAAGUUUCGCAGCAGCUUAUACACAUGGAUUCAUAUACGCCCUGAUUCAGUGAUCUGUUUGGUCUAGGAAAACGAGAGAAAAGAAGAAGAAGAAGAAGAAAAAAAAAAGGGGAUCUCGUUGUCAUCUAUCUGAAUUCGGCGUCCUCGGUGAGCUGCUCGUUCUUGGGCGGCGGCUUCUCUGUCUCGGUGAGCACCUUGUUGUUAGGGGCUUGGGGGUCGCCGAACUUGUCCUUGAAGGCGUCCUGCCGCUGCAACCACAUCAUGUGCCCCUGCAACCACCACCAAUUUGGAGCUCAGAAUCUAGGGGACUGGAUUGGAUCCGGCUUGGGAUGAACACAAGAGUAAGGGAGAGAGAACCUGGAGCGCGGCAGCCCAUGCGACGAGGAAGGAGGCGACCCAGAACUUCUUCUCCUUCACCAGCUUCGACAGAUCCAGCGCCGCCAUGCUUCGAUCUCGGCUCUCUUCCUUUUCUUUUUUCACUUUUCGGAUCGGAGACCCCUGCUGUGUUCCUCUUCGUGGAGAAGAACUCGGCAGUUGGUUUGGUUUGGGCCAAGCAAGAAUGGAAAUGGACCAGGCCAAAAGUAAAGCAACCACUAGACUGUCUGUCCUCCAAAAUGCGUGUUAUAGGAUUCAGUUUGCAGGCCCACGGGCUUUACAACCUCUUGUCCGUUUUCGCGGGUUGGGCCGGCAUAUCCAGGGCAGAAGACCCAGCCAAUUACACGAGAUGAUUGCUUCUGCUUCCUAGUUGUACAUUUCUUCGGGUCGCAAGAAGAAUAAUCCGAGACCUGUCUUUCUGACAUUUUAAUUUGUACAGUACAAAAGUCACGCCCAGCUUGUACACACACUAACCAAGGAUGUUAAUCAGCUGUUCGUUUCGUUUAUCUUUACUAUUGGCUUCACUUGAACAAUCGGGCUCUAGCAGCACGACACGGAGCAAAAUAAUUCAGCGCUUGCCUCUCCCCACCGGCAUGCAUGCAGAUGCAGGGCUACCCGACGAACGGGGGCACUGUUAUUCUAUGCACGCGAGUCCAAGGAAAUGCAGGCAACUUUAAUUUGAAGCAACGCUGGCAGUAGCCGCGAAUCAAGCAAAAGGGCGAAAGUCAAACACCGGCACUGCAGGCGAUGUUUUGUUCAUUCAGGAAUUUCAGACUCAUGCAUACAGUUGAGGCAACACACAGACCAACGGUGCCAAUAAAUAAUGCCGUAGUACAGACGUACACUUUGAAAGUCUGAAAUUGACGAUUCAGGUUCAGGUUCGGACACCACUUUGCACAGGCUACCUAUGUGCCUAACUGCCUGCUACCAGUACCCACGCUGGCACACACACCUACUGCCGUGAAGGAAGAAAGUCUGAAGUUGAUGAGAGAGUUGUCCAAGGAUGAAUCAACACAGGGACAUGGCAUUUGGUUACCGGCGUUUCUUGCCUUUGGAUCUUGAUUGAGUCAGGGCUGUGCUCCGUCCGUGCCUUGUGUCUGCGCCCCAGCUGCUGGUGCUAACUUGCUGUUGCUGCUGGGCAAUUUCCUUGGGAUGCAGCGUGCGCGGACGCCGUCCACCUCCUUCUCUGCCAGCUCCAGCUUACUGCUGCCCCUGCACGACACGCCCACACUGUCAGUGGGAGCACACAUAAAUUAAGCAUUGCUGAUCAAAGCAAAGACAUUUUUAGAUUUGCUUAGCGGUACAAUCAUGCUUGCUGACGCAUGCAAAUCAAAUGCAUGGAUAGACGAUGGGGAUCCAGAUCGACGACAGGGUUGCGCAAAUAGACAGACAGACAGGGUGCGUGAUCGAGCAGCUAGCAAAUAGCAGUGGCAAAUGACAGUGACAAUAUGGCGCUAGUAUCCAUCGCUUUUCGAUGCAAUGGAAAAGCUGAUGGCUUUUUUCCACUGUAAGGCUAAAGGCCGGCUUUCCUGACUUGUCCCCGUGCUGUGCCGUGCCCAUUGCCAUGCCUACGUCUCCACCUGUCGUGUACCAUCUCUAGCUAGCUUCCAUGAUUCCAUCCAAGCUCAGCUCACUACUAAAUAAAACUGCUAAUUAAGCUAAGCUAAGUAGCAGAAGAACAAUCAGUUAAGUGAGUAAUUACCUGUCGGCAUUGUAGGAGGACGACCUCUUGAGCUCGCUGCCGGCGCCGGCGCCGUCGCGGUCGAGGCUCUUGUUGUUGGUGGUGGUCUCGACGAGGCUGCCGCUGAAGUACUCCCUGUCCAUGCCCAUGCCUCCUAUGGCAAUGCUGCUGCCGGAGCCCGAGGAGAAGCUGGCGUCCACGCGGGAGCUGAGGUCGGAGCGGCCUCGCGGGAGACGACUCCGCUGGUGCUUGGGCUUGGCGGCGGCGGGGAUGGAGCCGCAGGAGAUGAGCUGCAUGAGCACCGCCGACGCGCGCAUCCUCCCGCCCGCGAUCACGCCCACCACCCGUUCGGCCUCUGCCGCCUCGCGCUGCGGCGCCGCUAUGGCGACUGCUGCAGAGGCGGCGGCGAGGCGGGCGUCGUGGUUGAUGAGCGUCUCGAGCGUGUCGGGGCUGCUGGACGACGGCGGCGGCGAGAUCUCGUCCGCGCCCAGCUCCGUCGCCGCCGGCUCCCUAGGAAUCCGGCGCCGCCUGUCCUCCGUCUGCGUGGCAGCGUCGGCGCCGGGAUGCACGGCUGCGGCCACCCUGUACUCGCCGAGGUCAAACGAGCUCCAGUUCUUCCGGCGCCCAGCCCUGCCGGUCGCCAUGGGCGUCUUUGUCUUGCCCUCCGGCUCCUGCUCCUGGACGAGGCAGCUGGAAGACGAAGAGGAAGAAGAACCAGCGGAGGCGUCGCGCGGGCGCGGCGGCACGAGGAGCUUGGACCCCUUGAGGACGUACUCCUCGGUUCCGUCCUUGUCAUUGGCGGGGUGGACGAGGUCGUCGGCGGCGAGGUCGUGCCAGACGUAGCCGUUCCGGUAGCCGCGCUUGGAGGACCACGAGUAGGCGCCCGCCAUGGCGGCGCCGCGGAGCAGGGCGAGGCGGGCCAGCACGUCCUGGAGGCUCAGGCCUCGGUGCGGCGAGGAGAGCGGCACCUCCAUGAAGUGCGGGUGGUCGAGCUGGCCGUCCUCGCGGGACAGGUAGUACACCACCGCCGCGGUCGCCUUCUUCUUCGGCGCCGGGGCACGGCGGGUGGAGCUGGUGGGCUUGGGAGGCUCUGUCCAGACGAUAGUCCGGUCGGGGCUCGCCCAGCGGCCUCGGGAGCUGCUGGCCAUGGAUGAUGGAUCGGGAGCUUAAUUGGAGGGGAGUGGAGUGGAGUGACAGGUGCUGCUGCUAGUGAGAGCGUGGCACAACGUCAGCUGGUUCCGACCGGGCGGGCUAUCUAUAUACUCCGUGCGACUGGAAGGUGAGGUGUGAAUGAAUGAGUGGCGGCGGAAUGGGUUCAAACUUGUGACUUUGUGAGUGAGGCGAGCUAGCACAAUGAAUGAGUAAGUUUGAGGUGCUGCCUGAAGAGAAGGGGAUUCGGCAUUGGAGGAAGAGUACAGGGAGAUGGAGACAAAGCUUGAGGUCAUGCUGUUGCUGCAUAGUACGAUUCCAUGUACAGUUCCCACGUCCCUGCCCGCGGCGGCCUUCAAUUUCCAGCAAUCCUGUGCUGAAACGUGUGCCCGGAAAACAAUACUCCUACUCCCUCACAGCUGACUGCUCCUGCUCCCUACUCUACGUGCCGUGCCGUGUCGUUGAACGUAUGUAUAACAUUCAUUGUUCCUGGAUGUAGGCCUUUCGUGUACGGACUAGGUAUGGAUGGAGGAGGUGGACUCUGUGACUGUCAUUCCUGAAUGUACCCUAUGUACUCAUGUGCAGUAAAGCAGGUGGCCGCCACACCCACGCUGCUGCGGCGAUAGGAAGAAGAUGACUAGUAAUUGACUAGGAGUAGUGGUUUGAAAGCUCGAUAAUUAUGUGGGACAGACAGGGCACAUGCUGCGUCGUUUGACUUGUUAGCACAAUCAAACCCCAUGGAUCGCACAACGCGCCCUAUUUGUUUAUCCAUAAUACGACUAGUAUAUUAUUUGGACCUCUGAUUUGACUGACCAUCGUGUAGAGUAGUAGACCUCUCGACACGUCACAACUUUUCAAAAAAAAAACCCAUCCGAUGAAAUGGGCCAGGCAAUCUCUCAUUUUUUCUUGGUUUGUACUAAGUAGUAUCAUGCAUGUCAGUUUUGUUGGACGUAAUUAGGUUGUGUUUGUUUGGGCUGGAACUUCACGGCUGCAGAUUCUACGGCCGUAGAUUUCAGAAUCAGCUGCGGCCGGAAAGUUGGAGCUGUCUGAUAUCUGUUUGUUUCGGCGGCUGGUGCAACUGCAGCUGCAAGUGAAAUGUGAUGAAAUGACCUGAAUGACCCUAUAGUUCUGUAGAUUGGAUUUUAGUGCUAAUUGUACCGUUUUAAAUAUAAAUUACUGAUUUAAGAGUUGUUUUUCUGCAAAUAUCAACUUUUCUCUCCAUUAUACAAUGUAUACAUACUGCAUUAAAUAAAAUAAGUAAUAUCUUAUCAAUUUAUGGUCAUCGUGACAAUGCAAUAGCAUCACAUCUAGAAAAAUGGUAAUAAUAUGAAUCACUAUUUUGCGUUACAGUUUCUAUCUAAACAAGUAUACAUCAAAGAACAGUGAGAAUUUGGACAAAAUACAAACACAUGUACACUGAACCUCGAUUAGCAAGCACCCUAUCUAGCGCUACAAGCCACAUCAUCGAUCAAGUAUUCUGGGAUCUUUGCAGUUUUGCUACUGUACAACCCAACCCGAAGAACAGGUAUGCUGACAUCGUACAAAGUACAAACCCAAUUCAAGCCAACCCGAACGAAACCAAGAAUAAUUACAAGAAUUGGGUGAGAACCAAAAUAAAUCACACAAGGAUUUGCAAAAGUAAGGAAGAAGAAACAAGCGGGUGGCGGCUACAGGUAGGAGCUUCAAGAAGGGGUAGGCGGGGACCUCGGGGAGCAGCCCCGAGCCAGCCUGCUUGCUCCGGUCCGUUCGCGUGCCCCCGCCGCUGCUCCGUCCGCGCGCCGCCCCUCCGGGCCACUGCUCCGCCCGCGUGUCGCCGCGCCGGCCGCUGCUCUGCGCCUUGGGCAGGGGCUGGUGGCGCAGGCGUCGGGGACAGAGGAGCAAGGGCUGGGGGAGUCAGGGCCGUCGGGAGCAGGAGGUCGGCCGCCGGCGGCGGCGGCGUUCUGAACCCUAGUUCACCACUUCGCCAUCGCGCGUGAGAGGCGAGAUAUUUUGAUCGGGGUUCUGCUCGGGAGUCCGGAUGUGGCUGGGGCGAAGAAUAGAUGGUGAAACGUUUUGUGGCAUUUGGUACGUAAUAUGUGAAUUGGUGGGAGGGUAUUUCGGUACAAUGGUUGAUUUGGAGCGGCAGCAGCUGCAGGAAGCACCCAUUUUCCAGCUUCUCGCUUGUAGUGCAUUUGGGUGGAGCGCUACACGGAAACGGCUACGAGAAUCCGGCCCCAAAUUUGAUGCUUGUUUGGGCUCCACCUUUUAGGGUGUGGAAGCCGUUGGAGCAGCUCUUUGGAUCCAGAUAAACAGACCGGCUGCAGGUGCCGGAGAAGGCAAUGAAGCGCGCGGGUCAACCAAGAACAUUUCCGUGGGAACGCACGGGGUCAAAGAAGACGACCAGGUCGCAAGGCACAUGCAGACACGUCCGCGUAUAGUCCUUCCUACACAUGCAAUUUUAGGCACUCUCUGCUACUCUAGUCUCCAUCCGACAUGUUGCUCACUGCACAAACAAAUACUGUCAUUCUAGUUCGGAAAUUUUCUUCCAUGCAUGAUGCAUCUUCUUUACAACAAAAAAAAGAAUAAACGUUCCGUACAAAUGGUGGAUUUUUCUUUCUUUUAUUUUUGAGCGCAACAAACAAACGGUGGAUAGCUAGCUUAAUCCGUACAUGUCGCAGUCCUUUCUCAGAUGGCCCGGCAGGGCCUGUAGUACCAACGUACGGCUAUCACUUGGCCCAGAAAAUCGUCUGCCAUGGCGGCUACUAUUCUAUGUACCUUUGGGCCUUAGCUAGGCAGAAUGCCAACCAGCCCAAGUAGGAAAAAUACGAGUCCGAAUUGGAUGACUGGGCCGGCCGUCCUAUAGUGUGCAAGUGUUGCAAGGUGCAGUUCCACCCUGCGUGGGGAACUGGCUUCUGCAAGAUUGUAAUGAAACUGUUAUUUAUUUGAUCUAUAAAGCUUCCAAUUCAAAAAAAGAAAAAAUCCGAGUGCAAAGCCAAAGAAAUGCAGGCUUCCACCCCCCUCUCUAUUCGCCAGGCAGUCUUUGAUUAGCCGAACCGUCUGAUCCACCCCGUGGUAAUCGGCUUUGAAAAUUGUGAGAUUGGUUCAUAAGCGGAAAAGAUGAGUGCAUUUAGGGAAACAUGAAUUUACCCCAAGUAGUAGCCAUCCCAGCAGAUUCUCUCGUGAUUCCUGCUUCACAGAUCUGCAAGAGCGCAUCGACUAAUCCUCACGGACUAAGCAGAAGAACAGAGAGAGAGAAGCAGAAGGUGGGGGUGGGAGGGGGGAGGUUUCCCACACGAUUACAUAACAUCUGCUAAUAAAUUUCGUUGAACACCACCGAUUAAGCUGUGAUGAUCGUCGUCGUCUUUAGUGAAGUGCAUAGAUGAGCGGCAAAAGUAACAGAUAUUGAUGUCCCAAAGCAACAUCAGUCUUUGGUGAAGUACGUUCUGCAUUGUCCGCACCGGGCUCAUAAAAAAGACGCAAAUGGGCCUUCGGUUGGUCGCGAACAAAAUUGUCCAGCCUCAUGGGCCAAGACAAAUGCCUCUUAUCGCUAGAAAGAAAUGGGUGAUUUUCACCAUUUUGUCAUCACAUAACCAUGUCACAGUGUGUAUAAAUAGUGUAGCAUAUAUUUUUCCUGCAUAUACGGAGCAUGACUUAGUUUCAGAAUUUACGAUCUAUUCAUUCAAUAUUUCCCUUUUUAGAAGACAAAUUCUUGCAUUUGGAUUAUCUAUCACAUAUAGAAAUACCUUAUCCUAUCCAUUUAGAAAUCUUUGAUUUAACUCCUUCAAUAUCGUCUCCAAGAUGUUCCAUCUUUGCAUUUUUGCAAUUUUUCUCAACUACCAUUCGAAUCAGAAUAGUCUUCUUACUUCAGUGAAAUCCAUUUUUCUUUUAAGAAAAUAAAAUAAAAUACUAUUUUGAUUCCUAUAUAACUCUUAUGUAUCAGAAUAUGAUUUUUUUUCUUACCAAAAAGAAUAAUGUUUGACAAAUUAAUGCAAAAUGAUCAAUUAAAGAAAAGAGUUGAUACAACAACAAUCAAUUAGGAGUAUCCCUUGAGUCCACUACUCCCCCAUACUACUAGUGAAAGAGAAAAUGUAAAGACUACCAUUAAAGCAGCCCAAGCGAGCACUGUCAAGCUCUUCGCAUUUUUAACCUCUAUUUUUGUCAGUGUUAGGAUUACUGAUUGAAUUAAAAUUUCAGAGCAUGGACGAAAAAAAUA
Molecule: long non-coding RNA, 89232 nt
Filed under: Brachypodium distachyon (stiff brome)
Lineage: Eukaryota; Viridiplantae; Streptophyta; Magnoliopsida; Poales; Poaceae
Description: long non-coding RNA (BDIS_LNC002772)
Rfam family: MIR1120/MIR1122 microRNA precursor family (bases 10268-10392)
Source: RNAcentral